CCUUUUUAGAUUUUCCAUAUCAUCUUUGAUUUCUGGAAAGCCCUUUAAAUUUGAACACCCCGCCAAGAUGAGAGUUUCAAGAGAGCUCAAAUUGCAAAUGCUCUCCGAAAGACUUCUUAGGCUUUCGCAAUUAGACAAAUCUAGGUGUUGAAGAGCCUUUAGAUGUCCAAUUGAGGAUGGAAGCUCUUCUAUACCUGUAAAACUCAAAUCAAGCCUUUUUAGAUUUUCCAUAUCAUCUUUGAUUUCUGGAAAGCCCUUUAAAUUUGAACACCCCACCAAGAUGAGAGUUUCAAGAGAGCUCAAAUUGCAAAUGCUCUCCGAAAGACUUCUUAGGCUUUCGCAAUUAGACAAAUCUAGGUGUUGAAGAGCCUUUAGACGUCCAAUUGAGGAUGGAAGCUCUUCUAUACCUGUAAAACUCAAAUCAAGCCUUUUUAGAUUUUCCAUAUCAUCUUUGAUUUCUGGAAAGCCCUUUAAAUUUGAACACCCCGCCAAGAUGAGAGUUUCAAGAGAGCUCAAAUUGCAAAUGCUCUCCGAAAGACUUCUUAGGCUUUCGCAAUAAGACAAAUCUAGGUGUUGAAGAGCCUUUAGACGUCCAAUUGAGGAUGGAAGCUCUUCUAUACCUGUAAAACUCAAAUCAAGCCUUUUUAGAUUUUCCAUAUCAUCUUUGAUUUCUGGAAAGCCCUUUAAAUUUGAACACUCCGCCAAGAUGAGAGUUUCAAGAGAGCUCAAAUUGCAAAUGCUCUCCGAAAGACUUCUUAGGCUUUUGCAAUAAGACAAAUCUAGGUGUUGAAGAGCCUUUAGACGUCCAAUUGAGGAUGGAAGCUCUUCUAUACCUGUAAAACUCAAAUCAAGCCUUUUUAGAUUUUCCAUAUCAUCUUUGAUUUCUGGUAAGCCCUUUAAAUUUGAACACCCCACCAAGAUGAGAGUUUCAAGAUAGCUCAAAUUGCAAAUGCUCUCUGAAAGACUUCUUAGGCUUUCAUAAGAAAACAAAUCUAGGUGUUGAAGAGCCUUUAGAUGUCCAAUUGAUGAUGGUACUUCUAUAAUAGUCGUUUCACUUAAAUUAAGCUCUCUUAGUUUGCUCAUAUUUCCCUUGAUUUCCGGAAAACUCUUUAGCUUUGAACAGUCCUUACAAGAGAGACUUCGAAGAUGUUCCAAUUUAUGAAAAUUCCUUGGAAGACUCUGAAGUCUUGUGCACCCUAUUAUAUUCAAGAAAAUAGUUAGAUAAUAACUCUAAUAAUAAUAAUGGUGAUGGGUGAAUUUUGAAGUAACUUUAUACAACCUUCGAGAAUUAGAAUCUCCAAAUUUGGUACACUCGAAAAGUCUGGGAUUUCAACGAGAUCCUUUGAAUAACUAAGGUUGAUGACUUUCAACUUGUCAAGAAUCUAAAACAAAAUAACAUGCCUUAAUAGAUAAUUUUUUAAAAACUUUAACAUGAAUAUAAAAAUUAUUAAUGAAAUAACAAUAAAAAUAUUACCUCAUUCUCUUUCCAAAGUUGCUUUAUGCUGCUAUCUAUCGAUUAAAUCAAGUUCUACAAGAUUCUUUGCAUGAAAAUUCCUUGGUAAGCAUUGUAAAGGGUAUCCCUCAAAAUGGAGAUAUCUUAACUCAAAGGAAGGAAUUUCAAAAUCCUUGGGAAGGUCCACCUUAAAAUAAUCCAAAUAAUCCUCAAUCAUAUAGACUUUGAGCAAUCUAAGACUUUUCAUCUUCGCGAAAAUAUUUGCAGAAAAUUGUAUUUGGUUUGAUGUAGAAACUUCUACAAAUAGUCCUUCAAUUGCUUUAGUCCCCUACAAAAAAUAAAAGCCAAUAAUAAGCCAAGAACAAGGUGUACAAAAAUUAACCAAAUUAUAUAGAUAUACAAUUUCUUAAACAAGUUACAUUUUGCUCUUACCGUAUUUCCUGUUAACACGCUCUCAACAUCUUUAGGAUCCCAAAGUCUACUCCUUUUUCCAGGCUCUUGAGGAUAUUUGCGAGACUCUUUAAGACCUUCUUGACGAACAACUUCCCGACCCAUUUGUUGUAAUAAAUCAUGCAUAUCUAAUAUGUUUUCUGAAAUAGUAAUGAGACAUCUAUCUUCCAGAACUUUUAUUCCAACCUCUGCACCACUUCCUAAUAUUCUUGAAACAAAAUGUUUGUCUUCUCCUCUAAAAAAGCAUGCAAUAUCCAAGAAUACCCCUUGUUAUCUACUAUCCAAUUUAUCAUAACUUACUUUAAGCACACUUUGGACUGUUGUGUCAGGCAUUUCUUGUAGUUUUUGCAAUUCACUUUCCCAUUCCUCUGUUGACUUCUUAAAGAGAAAGACACCCAAAACUUCAAGUGCUAUUGGAAGGCCACCAGCAUACUUUACUAUGCUAUCUGAAAGGCUUUCAAAUUUGGGUAUGGGAGUAUUUUGCUUAAAGGCCCACCAAUUAAAAAGUUCAACCGAUUUUUCAUGAUUCAAUUUUUGUACUUCAUAAACUACAUUUACUUCAUAUUGUUUUAACAAAUGUUUAUUUUUAGUUGUUAUGAUGAUUAUACUUUUUGCACCAUACCAACCAUAUUUUCCGGCCAAGUUUUCUAAUUGCUUGUAGUUGUCCACAUCAUCGAGAACAAUAAGGACUCUUUUCGAUCGAAGUCUUUCCUUUAUCACAGUGAUUCCUUGGUUAAUAUUGUUGAAUUUUGGCUUUUUACACUUUAAGAUAUCUUGAAGAAGUGUCUUUUGUAAUUUAAGUUGACCAUCUUCACAUUUCCCCCCAACAUUUCCAAGAAAGCUACUACCAUCAAAUUGAGACGAGAUAUCAUUAUAAAUAGCCUUGGAGAUGGUAGUUUUGCCAAUUCCACCAAUCCCAUAGAUACCAACCAUGAGAAUGUCAUCGAUUUCAACUUUGUCAUCGAUUUCAACUUUUAUAAGUGAUUUUAACUUCUUCAAAUGAAAGUCCAUUCCAACUAUGUUGUAGCCCAUAUCUAAAGGCGUACGAUUCAAUCUUCUAACGAUAUUUUCACAAAUCCUUUGAAUAAACUCUGCCUCAAAUCUAUUAAUCAUAAAGUAUAUGGUAUUAGAAUCUGUCACAAAUAUAAUCAAUAUGAAAGAAACUUGAACAAUAGAAUGUAAUAGAAAAAAAAUCAAACCAAUUUAUUAAAUUACUUAUUUAAGUACAUUCUAAUUAUUCCUAGCUAUAAAUUCAAGUAAGAAAAAAGUGAAAAAUGUGAACUUUAGUUGCUUACUUAGUUGAAAGGUUCAAAUUGAAGUCGACUAGUAUAGAACAUUAUUUGACUUCAUGAUAAGGGAUCCUAUAAUCAUAACACAAACAGAGAUAACUCUUGAUAUGUCAAGCUUCAAGAUAGCUUCCAAUUUGGCAUCCAAGUUCCCUAAUCUAGUAAUACUUUUCUUGAUUAAAGAGAAUUCUUAACAACUCUCCACUGUGCUCUCACAUAACUUUCUUUCCCCCUUUAUUUAGUAAAAAAGAUCUUUAAAUUCCUCAUUCACUUGUUUCUAUGUUUUAUCAACUUACCAUUAUUUUAAUGAUUUGUUUGUUGAUUAAAAACCUUGAAUUUAAUUGAAGAAGAUUUGAAAUACUUCUUAAAGAAAAUUAACAUAAGAGAAUAGAGACUCAUUUUUGUUAGUGCUUUCAUAUUCACAAUGCUUUCAUUAUGAGAAUAAAGUUGGUAAAUUAAGUAUAUAUAUAUAUAUAUAGUAAGAGUUUUUGGGGAUUGAGCAUAGGGCUAACUAACCAAACGAUCAAUGGAAUGGACCUUUUAUUUAAAAAAAAAUGUAUCAUUAGAUCAAAAAACAGGUUAUCCAAGAAGAAUAUCAUACCAAAAAUAUGAUCAUUAUAGUGUAGCAAAUUUGGAUGAACAAGUCUUUGAACAAUUUAUGCACAAAUACUAAGAAAAUUGAGACUCUAAAUAAUAAGGAAGGUGCAUGAGAAUCUUUGCGGUGAGUGAGCAUGGAAUUCAUUGGCAAUAUACAAUCACAAAUGUCUUUGCAAUAUAGAAUGGUUAAACAUUAUACUAGGCUUGUCUAUAAAUUCUAGAUCUCUGAAGAGACGUGACCAUUCAAGGUGUCAUAAGAUAAUUGACUACAAACAAGAUGUAGGGAUCCCAAAGAGAUGAGAAAAUCCUUCAUGCAAGCAGCCUAUAAACUACACUUUUGAACUAGCAUUAAAAAUGGUUCAAAGUUUAGACAUGUCAUUUACACUUUCACUCUUUAAAGUAAUAUCUUACUAAAAGUGUUCAUUAAAUUAAACUACAAUAUUAAGCACCUAAAAAGCUUUAGCUUUUGAAUAUAUUAGAGUGAAUAUGAUGAUGAUGAUGAUAGUGAUGGUAAUGAUGAUGAUAAUCAUAAUAACAAUAACAAAAUGAUGAUAUUAGUAAUAGCAAUUAUAAUUAAUAUUGAUAGUAUUUGUAUUAUAAACUGUAGUAGCAGUAAUCAUAAUCAUAAUAAUAAUAAUCACAUGAAAGUAGAAAAGAAAAAUAUGAAAAGGAUAAAAUAGAAAAGUGAAAUGGAAGAAAAGGAUUUUUGAAAAAAAAAGAGAAGAAAUAAAUGAAGCCAUUUGGACUUUUUUUUAUUGAUAAAAUAUUAGUAAAAUAUUUAGUAGUAAUUUUCCUGUAGAAAAAGAAAAUUAUGAAGAAAAAAAACAUAAAAUAAUAAAAUUAAAAUCAAAGAAAAAGAUAAAAUAUAAAUAAAAUAAAUAAAUAAAGCUAUUUGGACCCUUUUUUUUAUUGAUCAAAUAUUAGUCAAAUAUUUAUUAGUAAUUUUUCCUCCAACCCUAUGUCCUUACACUAUUAAAUUAUUUAUCUCAACUAUUUAUUAAUAAAAUAAAAGAAUGAUUUACUUGUAGGUCUCACCAUGAAAUCCAAGGUCAUGCUACCGCAUGUAGACGUGAAAAAAAUAUCAAAAAGGGUUGAAAAAUGUAAAACUGCAUGAAUUAAAUCAAAUAAAUGAACCUUAUAUUGAAUCAUAGGAAUGAACAAAAUUUUGAAGAUAAAAAUAAGCAAUACCACAUGAACGUACAAGUAAUAACUAAAAGGUAUGUUUGAAUAUUAGUCACAAACCAAUCAAAACUUGAUACAAUUGCUAUUAUUUCAUAUAUUAACGGUAAUUUAGAUCAAAUUAAAUUAAUAUUAGUUCAUGUUUAGGCUUUAUACAUUUUAUUUUAAUAUUAUUAUUAUUUUUUUAUUAAACUUAAAAUGAUGAAGUUUAUAUGAAAUCAUGGUGGGUAAAAUAUUAAAUGUUAUAUAUUCAUAAAAUCUCAUAGUUCAGAUUUUUUUCUUUUUUUAAGGCUAUGUUUGGUUCCCGGAAAAUUUGAGGGAAAAUGCGAGGGAAAGAAAAUAUAAAGGAAAAGUAGAAGGAAAGAAAAAAUGAAGGAAAAUAAAAAAAUAGAUUAAAAGUUGAUAAAUUAUUUUUUUUGUUACUUCAAACUCAUUUUAUUUAUUUUAACUCAUCAAUAUAAAGAUUAAAUAAUUUAAAAAUACAUAAUUUUUUAAUUAGUUUUAAUUAUAUUUGAUUUUCUUUGAUAUUUUUCAUAGGACAACCAAACAUGAGAAAAUCAUUUUCCUUAGCAUUUUUUUUCUUUCCUUUGUACUUUCCGGGAACCAAACAUAGCCUAAAUACUUUGAAUAAAAAAACUUCACCAUGUUGUAUAAAAUAAAUUGGUCAUAUAAACAAAUAGAAAGACAAAGCAGGAGGGUAAUAUAUCUAAUAUUAAGUAGACUCGAUUCAAUAACGGACCGGUAAAGCCUCAAUCCAAUCUUAAACUAGGCUAAUUUAGAAUGUCUCAACCAAUUCAUCUAUUUUGUUUAAAAUUUGAUAGUGAUAGAAUGAAGUAAGUUUCCAGAUAGGCUUAAAGAAAGAAAUAAAAUGAUUAAAGUAGGAUAAAAUUUAUCUAGUAGAGGUGAAAAGAAAUAUAGUUACUGAUUUUGCAGAUGAUAUCCAGAUAGGUUGGCUGCUGUCUUCAAGGCAUUCUUCCACGUUUCUAUUGUCUUCUUCUUCUCUUGAUCUGCAUCUUUUGCAUGCUCCAAAAAUGCAUCUUCAAAACUUCCUCCUUGAUUUCGUACAUCUGUUGGCUCCACAUGGUAGAAAACCGGCAAAACCACUGAUUUCUUUUCUGUCAUACAAUCGAUGAUCUUUACCAGUUCAUUCAAACACCACUUGGAAUCAGCAUAGUGUUCUGAGAAAAUAAUAAUAAAAAUCUUUGAUUCUUCGAUAGCUCUCGAGAGAUUUGAUGCGAUAUCUCCUCCUUUCUCAAGUUCUUCAUCAUCUCUGAAGGUGUGAAUUCCACGUGCAACCAAAUUAGCAUAAAGAUGACUUGUGAAAGUCCGGCGGGUAUCUUCACCUCUAAAACUCAAGAACACAUGAUAAUUAUUACCAUCACAAUUAGAAGUGGAAGACGACGCUUUCAAGGAGCUGCUAGAAGCCAUUUCUGGACUGGAUCUGGCAAAGUUACAAGGAGGCUAAGAACGAAAAGAAAGGGUCUUUGGUUGCAAAUGACUGUUCUUCUCCUCUGGCAAGCAAUUAUCCUUUCUUUUGGGUUGGAGGCAAAGAGGGAAGAAUGAAAGUUCAUGCAAGAAGAAAGAAUAAUACUGUUCGAGUCCACAAGCUAAAUUGUCCUAUUCCAAUUGUGGGGCUGCCAGUACUUAAAUUACUUUCAAUGGAAGCAUUUUCCCUAAAAAUAUUUAUGUGAGAAUCAUUAAUCAGGUGAUUUUUUAGAAGUAUUAUAAGUAAUUUUUUAAUUUUUUAAAAGUAUUUUUUAAGAUCUCCCUUGGUUUAUGCAUUGUUUUUAAUUAAGGUUUAGUAAUAUUUCUAAUUUUUUUGGCCGAAAAAAUUGAACAAUUUAAUCUUAAAAGAAAUACGUGGAUACAAGCAAGGAGGAAAAUGUCGGGAUAUAUCGCCGAUAUAUCGUGUAUUGCCGAUAUAUUGUGUAUCGGAAGGGGUCGACACGAUAUUUCGUGGAGAAAAAUCGGAUGGGAGAUAUUUCCGCAAAAAUCGCCAAAAUAUCGGCAAUAUAUCGAUUCGGGGAGAUAAAUCAGCGAUUUUGUGAAAAAAUUGCAUCUGAUGGCAAUAAAUCGCCGAUAUAUCAUAUAAACUAGUAUAUUUUGAAUAUGAAAUAUGUUUAUUUAAUACAAAUUAUUGAUAUUUAAUGAAAUGAAGUAUUUUAUGUGACUUUGUAAUGAGAACAAUUGCAAAAUUAACAUUUCUUAUAAAUCGACAUGAUAUAAUUACAUCUAAUAUCGCAAAUUAUAUCAUAUGUAUAUCAAAUUUUUCAAUAAAAUAAUUUUAAAAUGUUUAUUAUAUUUCUAAUUAUAUUAUUAUGAGGUUUUUCUUAUAUUUUUAUGAGUUUUUAAUAAUUUUAAGUUUAUCGAUAUUUUUUUUCAAAAUAUCCACCGAUAUAUCUGUAAAAUCGAAGUACGGAUAUAUUCCUGAUUAUCGAUAUUUUCAUCUUUGGGUACAAGUAUUAAUAUUAUUGGCUCCUGUGACCAUAAGUAAUUAGUUAAAAAAAUUGAAAAGAUAAAAGGAGUUCUUUCACGAAAAGCUAUGGACCCUUUCUUUUUCUUUUUUUUCUAUUAAAAAAUUGUUAUAAAUUCAAGUUGCUUUUGCUCUACCCAAGAAUGCAUGGUGGUCCUUUCAUGAAUGCUGGCACCCAUGUGGCUUCUGGGACGUUUUCAAUGAAUCAUUGUCCUUGUGCAUGAGUUGCACCCGUGGAGAGUGAGAUAUUUAAAAAAUUUAUAUUUGAAUAGAAAAUAGUCUCUGUGAAGAUCCUUUUUCUCCCGAUUUGAUUUGGACAAAAACAGGCUCCAAGCUUAUUUUCAAGACUAAUGUACCAUAAAGAGUGGGAAGGCCACUUGCAUUGUAAACAUAUAUCUACAAUGGAAAGAAAUUCACUAAGGUUCUUGAUGUUUUAAAUAUUUAAUUUUCAUGAUUUGUAGGAGGUGCAACUUGCUUAUGAUAUAAAUAAAUGCAAUAAUGAUUGAGGUAGGGAGUUAAGGACUUUUAUAUGGUAUCUUAGAAUAAUGUUUAAUUAUAAUUAUAAUUUGAUUAGAUGAUCUUGAUAGUUCAAAGCAAAGAAUUCAAUUUUUGAAUUGGUAAUUGUGAAGUAAAAAUUGAUAUUAAAGGUAAUCUUGAUAAGUAAUUACACUAUCAUAUUAUAUUACGAACACCAAUUAAUUUGUGUUUUGUCUUAUUCUGAUUUCAUAGGAUAUUGAAAUAUAAUUGAUUAUAUUUUGUGAAAUGUUGAAUUAAUUUCAUAAUAAGAUUAUAAGAGAGUUAGCAUUUUUUUAUGAAUCCCGAUAAUUCUCAUUUGUGAACUUAAUUCAUGGUGAUACAUUAGUUUUGAGGAAUUUGGAUUUAAUCUUCAUAAGUGUACAUAAAAGUGUUUUGAUAAAAGCCUAAGGUUGUACUAAAUCUUAUAAAUUGGUUUUUUACAUUUGACUGAUUAAUUAAUCAAAUUUGUAUUAAUUAAUUAAUUAAGAUUUAAGUAAGUUAAAUUAAGUAAUCCAAACUCAUUUUGAGUUUAAGUCACUUAAAGCUCAUACAAAACUUUAUCAAUACUCAUAUAUUUUUAUUAUAUUUCAAAUAAUUAAUAUCUAUAAACAUUGAGAGACAUAAAUACAAAGGCACAUACAUGUUUAUUUAUUUUACUAAUUUAUAGGUUUUUACGUCCUUCUAUAUAAUUAUAUUUAUUUAUUUAUUUAUUUUAGUGUAAAAAAAAAGGUAAAAAGAUAUUUAUUUUUAAAAUAAAAAUAGAAAGUUAUUUUAAACUGUCUCAUUUGAGAGUUUUUUAAAAUAAAAAUAAAAAUUAUUUUAAGAAUGUAUAAUGAUAUUAUUAUAAAUUUAUUUUUUUUCUAUUCUCAUUUCCAUUGUUACAUGACCUUAAAAAUUAAAAAUAAAUAAUAAUUUCAACCUAGCAUUUUUAGGUGCAUCGAAACACACAAAUUAAUAUUAUCAAAUUCGUAUAUGUUUAAUCCCUAUUGAGAGAUAAGUGGCUUCCACUGACCUUCCUAAGCAAUUUUAAUCAUGGUAGGUAGAUAGAAAGAAAACAUGUUGAAAUUUAGUAAUAAGAGCCAGGAAAAUAGGAAAAGAAUGUGAUUCUUUCUCUCAUGAAAGGGAGUAGUAAUAAGAGUCAGAAAAAUAAGAAAAGAAUGUGAUUUUUUCUCUCCUGAAAGGGUAGUAAUAAGAGUCAGAAAAAUAAGAAAAGAAUGUGAUUCUUUCUCUCUUGAAAGGGAGUAGUAAUAAGAGUCAGGAAAAUAAGAAAAGAAUAUGAUUCUUUCUCUCCUGAAAGGGAGUAGUAAUAAAAGUCAGAAAAAUAGGAAAAUAAUGUGAUUCUUUCUCUCCUGAUCUUUUUGACAUUCAACAAUAGUGGAUUAUAGAGAGGAUGAAGUUGAAAAGAAAAAGGGCCUUUGGACGGUAGGUGUGAAGGCAACAUGAAAUUUCCACAUAUUUCUGUAGAAGAAUUUUUAGGGAAUGCCCACGGGAUAGUCAACAAAACUUCCAUUGUACCUCUAGUCAUUAAUGCAAUUAUAAUAUCUAUUUUUCAAAUGAAAAAUUGUACAAAUAAAAUUAGAGAAGAAAAAAAAAAGAAAUAAAAUAAAAUAUAAAAUUAAAAUUAAUAAAUUAUUUUUAUUUUAUUUAUUUAAUUACAUAAAAAUAUAUAAUUUUAUUACUAAUUUUAAUUAUAUUUAACUUCAUUUAUUAUUUUUUAUAAUACAACCAAAUAUCCAUCAUUUCUUCUUCCCCUACAACCUUUUGAAAAACAAACAUAAUCACAGUAUUUCAUUAUGUGGCUUACAGCUUUGCAUGCAGGUGGGUGGAUUAAAAGCUAAUAUAGGUAGGUGUACUCUCCACUAAUUUUUUUCUCAAUUUUCUCUCUUAUCCCUCUUUCUUACAUUUGAUUUUCUUUAUCACUUUUUCAAUUUUCUUUUGUUUUCUUGGGGUCAUUGAAAAUAAGCCAUUUCUGAACUGGAUCUGGCAAAGUUACAAGGAGGCUAAGAACGAAAAGAAAGGGUCUUUGGAUGCAAAUUGUUGAUACCUCGCGCUCCUAGCGUUCCAUGUAGUUGCCAAAUGGAUUGAUACGCGAUCUCAACCCACAAAGGUUCUUGAUUCAGUCGUCAUACCUGCAAAAGACAUCCGGACAGGGUGUCCGGAUGCACCCUCCGAUGGUUUUGUUAGCCAUGGUUAGAGAGGGAGAUAUAAAUCAGUUGACCUUUUACUAGGUAUCAGGAGGUUACCUUCUUCUUCGUGUGAAGGUUCAUAUAUAGUGCUAGGAGUACUGUUCCUCUCAUUAAUGGCGAGGAGAUAUUUUAUGUUUGUCAUGAUGACAUUCGGAGGCAGCAUGGUCAUCGCCACCCUACUGGCGGCUGUCAGAAACCGUGGUAGGUGAUGCUGCUGUUAGAGAUCGUGGGAAGUGAUCAUGUAGAAUGAUCGUGGGAAGUGACUUGUUGUCACCUCAACCCGUCCUUUCACUCUGCAGGUGAUGGGACGUAGGGCAUGACAGGCUGUUGUGGUAACGUGUGAGACUUGCUUACUUCAAUUAAUGAUCCGGACCAUUGUAUCCGGAUGGAAUAUGGCGAUCAUCCGGAUGUAUUGUGUAAGCCGUCCGGAUGAUAUGUUUAUAAGUGUCGCUUGAUCUUCCUUGAGGUAGUCCGAAAAAGCGUGCCAUGUGUGCUUUAUGAGAAGGUCCGGAUAAAGAUGACCCGGAUGACAAUGCGUGUCACGUGUCACUGUAAGAUGCGUGCGACGUGUCUCGGAGGGAGGGGUCCCUACAAUGCCCCCCUUUUUAACUUGCCUAUUUUGCCCGAGCAAAAAUGGGCGGGUUACAAAAUAAUUGGUUUUUUGAAAUCGAAUCGACCUUUUGUCUGGUUGGGCCACGUGGCAAGUGGGGGUGCGGAGGCCAAAAAAGGCAUUUAUGACGAGCCGUCGACUCUGGGUAUUCCCAGGCAGCAUGUCGUUUCAAUGAUGGCGUUGUUUGGGCGUUUGGUUUUCCUAGGGGCUGUCCCCCUAUAAAUAGCAGACUGUGCCUUUUGUUGCUUUUUUCUACUGCGUUUUUUCUGAGAGUUUUUGCUUCUUCUUCCUUCUGUGCUUUCCUUUGUUUUUCUGAGUAAAAAACCCUAGAGUUUUUCUUGCCGGUGAUUUUGUAUCACAACAUCAACCUUUCUUCUCGGAAUUUGUAUUUGGUACGUGCACUUUGCUUUUGUUUUCCCUUUGUUGCGCUUGUUUGUUUAUUGACUUGAUUUCUGACUUGCUUUGGGCAAAUCGCUUGCGACUGUGUGUUGAAUGUUGGUGUUUGUUGAUUUUGCUGUGCUUAACUGUUGCGCUUUUUGUAUGCAGGUUUCGGUGCAAUCUUGUCCUAAAAAAUGUCUUCAAAGAAGAAAGCUGCUUCAUCUGCCCGAGUUGGCGACGCUCAUGAGAAGUCUACAGACAAACUGAGCGUAAAGGAGUUCCGAGAUCGAUUCUGCAUUCCAAAUGGCGUAAUUGUGGAACUUUUGAAUGGGGAGGAUGUUGUAUCUACUGAGAAAGCUGAACAAGAUACCGUCAUCUUCUCCAAGGAACAAUUCAACGCGGGGCUCCGGUUCCCCCUGCCGGCGUUGUUCAUGGAAUUCCUCCAUUUCACCAAGAUUCCACCCGUCUUCAUUCAUCCCAAUACCAUCCGGGUGCUGAUGGGAUGCAGCAUCAUCAAUAUGCUGUACAACCUCGACCUCAUGCUGCUGGAGGUGUUUUUCGUCUAUUCGCUGAAGAAGGCGAAAACUGACAUCUUCAGCAUGUCCGCGCACCUGCCUUCCCUUCAAUUAGUGACGGAACUGCCAGACUCGACGAAGGGAGGGGCGAAGGGACAUGAUGAGCGUGAGGCUCCAUCAACUCGCAGAGUCCACCAUUCUUGUUUACUUGAUUCGUGGCGUUGGCUGGGUCUUCGGGAAUAUUCUAGCACGAAGUCAGCCAUUACUUGGCCUUUCAUGGACAAUCUGGGUUGGAAUUCGAUUCCAAACUCGCUUAAUUCAAUGGCCCAUUGUAGCAUUCUCCCUGUUAAAUCUGGCUUGUGCAGAAUAUUGUGAAGGGGCUGGUCUGUUAGUACGAUCACUGGGUGAGCUUGGAAAUAAGGGUGGAGCUUCUGGGCAGCGCUUCUAAGGGCUAAGGCUGUUAGCUUCAUUUUUGAAUAUCUGGUUUCUACGUCUGCCAAUGCCCUACUGACGUAGUAGAUAGGUUUCUGCUCCUUGGGUGAGGGGCAGCGGAAUAGAACGGAGCUGAUUGCCCAUUCUGAUACCGCCAGAUACAUAUACAAUUUUUCUUUUGGAAUGGGGCUGCUUAAGAUGGGUGGUUGCGUAAGACAAUGCUUAAUCUUUUCGAAAGCGUUUUGGCAAUUGUCCAUCCAUCCGUGUGCUCCAGCUUUUCGUAUUGCCAAGAAGAAGGGUCGCAAUUCAUCAGUGAAGCGGGCUAUAAAACGCCCUAGUGCGACGAGCUUGCCUGUAAGUCGUUGUAGCUCCUUCUUGUUCCUGGGAGAGGGUGUUUCCAUGACUGCCUUGACUUGAUCCGGACUGACUUCUAUGCCCCUUUGGCUGACCAUAAAUCCUAGAAAUUUGCCAGCACUUACGCCAAAGGCGCAUUUAGAAGGAUUUAGCUUCAUGCCAUACUUUCGUAAGAGGUGAAAAACUUCUUGUAAGUGAAGGACAUGCUGCUCUCGGGUUUUGCUUUUAACCACGAUAUCAUCGAUAUAUACCUCUACCGUGUGGCCUAUCAGAGGUUUGAAGAUUUUAGUCAUCAAUCUUUGAUAAGUGCCACCAGCAUUUUUGAGUCCGAAUGGCAUGACUUUGUAGCAAUAUAGGUCGUGUGGCGUUAUGAAUGCUGUCUUUUCUUCGUCAUCCGGGGACAUAGGGAUUUGAUGAUAUCCGGAGAAGGCAUCCAAGAAAGAGAGCAUCCCUUGCCCGAAAGUGGAAUCCACAAUCUGAUCUAUUCGUGGCAAGGGAAAACGGUCUUUCGGACAUGCAUUGUUGAGAUUGGUAUAGUCUACACAAACUCGUCAUUUUCCUUCUUUUUUGGGUACCACCACUACGUUUGCCAGCCAAUCCGGAUAAGAAACUUCUCUAAUGAAUCUGGCUUCGAGCAAUUUGUCAAUCUCAUUCCGGAUGACUUUUUGUCUAUCUGGGUGAAAGCGCCUAAUUUUCUGCCGGACGAGUCUGGCAGUUGAAAAGACGUUGAGCCUGUGAGAUGCAAUAGAGGGAUGAAUUCCCUUCAUAUCAGAAUGUGCCCACACGAAGAUGUCAUGGUUUCGUCUGAGAAUAUUUUGCAUGCUAUGAGUUUCUUCUUGUGUCAUGAGGGAACUGAUGUUCGUGAGGUGAGUGCUUUCCUCCGAAGUUUGGAUUGUUUGUAAGGGAUCUGCUGCCGGGGGAUCUUUGUCCGCCGGACCCAAUAAUUGCUAUUGGUCAUGUGCAAUGCUGGGUUCAAGGGGAGAUGCAUCCUCCUGGUUAGCCCCUGCUUCACGUGCUAUCUGAUAGCAUUGGCGAGCGGCUAAUUGGCUACCAUAUAGGUCGAUUUGGCCAUCGUUGGUGAGAAAACUCACAAUUUGAUGAUAUGUAGAGGGGAUAGCUUUCAUGUAGUGGAGCCAUGUGCGCCCCAAAAUGACAUUGAAGGGUGAUAACUCCUGUACUACUGAAAAUUGUACGUUGAGAGUGACCGGGCCUACUUGGACCGGCAGCACAAUGUCUCCUAAGGAUGUAGUUGAAGACCCGUUGAAUCCGGAUAGGAUUCGUCCAGGGUUUUCGAGACCUGUGAGACUGUGUCCCAUGUGGCCAACGACUGAUGCUUGCACAAGAUCGGCCGAACUGCCUGGGUCAACCAAGAUACGCCGCACAUCGAAGUCCCCAAUUUCCAGGGACAAGAUGAGGGCGUCGCGAUGUGGUUGCAGUGUCCGGGUGGGAUCUAUCGGUGGGAAAAUGAUUGUCCCAUCUAUGGGGCGAGGGCCCCCUCCAGUUAGCCCAGGCCGGAUGGAAUUGAUGCGUUCGCGUAUUGAUGCGGCUCGCAACAAUUUUUGUCUCUUUCGCCUAGAGUCAUACUCCUCGUCAGAUGGACCUCCGUUAAUAUAGUUUAUAACGGCCUUGGGGGCAGCUGGGGCCCUAGGGUUCCCGGGGUUGUGAUGUUGAGAUGCGUCCCUUCCUCCAUUAUCUGAUCGGAGGUAUUGCUUUAAAUGCCCUGCUUUUAUGAGCCUCUCGACCAGAAAGUGGAAAGCUCGACAUGUCUCUGUUGUAUGGCCAUGAUCUUUGUGGAAGGCACAUCUCCUACCACGAUCCCUUGUGGAUGGGUCCGUUCCAAUGGGUCUAGGCCACUUGAAGUCGGACAAGCCCUGGAUCAUAGGGAGAAGUUUCUCAUAUGAUAUGGAAAGAGGUGUGAGAGGCGGCAUUUCCGGGCGACUUGGCUCUUCCUGCCUUCGGUCAGACGGCUUUGGCCGAUCCGGAGGUUUAGUAUUUCUCUCCGCAUUACUUCUAGAUGGCCGUCCGGCAACCAGAACUUGCUGGGUGGCUGCACGUACGUCAUCUUCGAGCAUCGAAUAUUUGUUGGUGCGCCUGAAUAAAUCAUCCAUUGUUGUAGGAGGAUUUUUAGCCAGUGAUUCGAAAAAUGGAGUGCUUGGACAGAUGUUCCGCUUGAAGAUCUGUAGGACAGCAUCCAUACUACAAGCCUCUACUUGAAGUAUGGCUUGGCCAAAUCGCUUCACGAAUUCCCUCAAGGAUUCGUUAUCUUGCAUUUUUAUGUUCUGCAAGGUGCUGAUAUUUUGCUUAUGUCGAGCGGAGCACAAGUAUUGUCCCACGAAAGCUUCGGACAGGUCCCUGAAAUUGCCAACAAAGUUGGGAGGUAGGCGAUGAAACCAUGAGAGGGUCUGUCCUUGUAGGCUGGCGGGAAAUACUUUGCAUAGUAGUGCAUCGUUGCCAAUAUCGAGCGUCAUGAGCUGUCGAUAAUGCAUGAUGUGAUCGAAGGGAUCGUUGGUUCCAUCGUAUGUGGAAAAUUUUGGUACAAGGAAUCCCCUUGGGGGCUUGUAAUUAAUGAUAUGAGAGCAGAAAGGCGUGGAGAGCAUGUCAUCUAGCCUUUUGUUGAUGAAGCCAAUGGGUGGCUCGUUUGGGAUGUUUCUCCUAGUUGGUUGUUCCGCUGGGUGCGAAUGAACGUUCCGCAUUACGGGGGUGACUACAGGGUCACGAUGCGGGUGAACGUUUUGCACCAUGGGGGUGGCCAUGGGGUCAGGGCGUGGUGCCCAGGUUGUGGCCAUUGGUGGCCUCGAUCUUCCAGGCUCUUGCGGGCCUAGUCUUGCUCGCAUCGAAUUUGACAACUGGGAUUUUUUAUCACGUUGUCUUUUAGCUGAAAAGUGAGUAGAAUCUGAGCUUUCUUCACGGGAAGCUCGAGACAUAGGCGUGCGUGGCUCAUGAGGUCUUACGUUGCAUGCUCCUGGGAUAGCUCCUGUUGUCCCAGGAUAUAUUGAUUCCGGUUCUUGUUGAGGCCUUGAGUUUGCUACUUGGCCCCUUGAAUGCUGACGUUAAGGAGGCCCCGAUGUUGAGGCCUGGAUGCGUAACACAGCGUUUUCUUCUCUCAAUCUUUCUGUCUCCUGGAGGAGAGCUUUUAGUUGUCUUUCGCUUGCCACUGUCUCCUUUCGAUGGCUAGGCGCCAUUCAAGAUUAUCUUCCACUCCUCUACUAGAUGAUCGGCUUUGGGAAGGUGUGACCAUCUUUUUUAGUGACUGAACCAAAGUAAAAAAGUUCCCACAGACGACGCCAAUGUUGAUACCUCGCGCUCCUAGCGUUCCACGUAGUUGCCAAAUGGAUGGAUACGCGAUCUCAACCCACAAAGGUUCUUGAUUCAGUCGUCAUACCUGCAAAAGACAUCCGGACAGGGUGUCCGGAUGCACCCUCCGAUGGUUUUGUUAGCCAUGGUUAGAGAGGGAGAUAUAAAUCAGUUGGCCUUUUACUAGGUAUCAGGAGGUUACCUUCUUCUUCGUGCGAAGGUUCAUAUAUAGUGCCAGGAGUGCUGUUCCUCUCAUUAAUGGCGAGGAGAUAUUUUAUGUUUGUCAUGAUGACAUUCGGAGGCAGCAUGGUCAUCGCCACCCUACUGGCGGCUGUCAAAAACCGUAGUAGGUGAUGCUGCUGUUAGAGAUCGUGGGAAGUGAUCAUGUAGAAUGAUCGUGGGAAGUGACUUGUUGUCACCUCAACCCGUCCUUUCACUCUGCAGGUGAUGGGACGUGGAGCAUGACAGGCUGUUGUGGUAACGUGUGAGACUUGCUUACUUCAGUUAAUGAUCCGGACCAUUGUAUCCGGAUGGAAUAUGGCGAUCAUCCGGAUGUAUUGUGUAAGCCGUCCGGAUGAUAUGUUUAUAAGUGUCACUUGAUCUUCCUUGAGGUAGUCCGGAAAAGCGUGCCAUGUGUGCUUUAUGAGAAGGUCCGGAUGAAGAUGACCCGGAUGACAAUGCAUGCCAUGUGUCACUGUAAGAUGCGUGUCACGUGUCUCGGAGGGAGGGGUCCCUACACAAAUGACUGUUCUUCUCCUCUAGCAAGCAAUUAUCCUUUCUUUUGGGUUGGAGGCAAAGAGGGAAGAAUGAAAGUUCAUGGAAGAAGAAAGAAUAAUGUUGUUCGAGUCCACAAGCUAAAUUGUCCUAUUCCAAUUGUGGGGCUGCUAGUACUGCCCAUUUUCUCAGAUUGCUUUUAGAUGGAGUCAUGGCGUGUUCACACUGGCCUCAAUAAUGAGACUUGCGACUUUGGAUUUCAUUUUUUUUUUCUUUUUUUUUCACUCUCUCUCAUUGUACUUUUAUUUCCUUUCCUUUGCUCAUUCUUUUACAUCUAUGCCAUGUCCAUGUUGCUUGCAUUCUUCCUUUUUGAUUUAUUCCUUUCAUUUUUAUUUGAUGCUUUUAUUUUCCAAUGAAGCUGUGAGACUCUUACAGUCCGUUUAGAAGUAUUUCGAAAAACCAUUUUAAGUUUUAAUAUGAAAAGCAUUUUUGAAGGAAAAUAAGGCAUUGUAUGGACCCCGCGUUUUAGCUCAUGCGCUUCCAUUUGAUGGCGAGUUCGAUUUUGAUUUUUAAAAAAUUGAUUUAUUAUUUAAAAAAUGAUUUGGAGUCGCCACUUAUUUUUUGUUUUAUUUUUUAAAGGGUAAACAAAAUAAGAAAGAAAAUCGUAAGUGUAACUCCUUAUUUUGGAAAAGGUGGUCUGUGAAAAACCGAAUCGGGCUCAGGGGUCAGGUUACUUAUCGAGAAGGUACGGUAAAAACCGUAGCACCUCUCUAAGUCCUUAAAGUCGGGUAUUUGCUAAUAAAAUGAAACGAUCAUGACAAUUAAUGAGUAAAUCAACGGAUAUCGAAUGAAAAUCACAACAAAAUACCCGAAUGAAUAUGAGAGGCAAUGAACGUACAUGAGUGAUAACUUGAUUUAUUUCGUGGGAAGCAAAUGUUAGUGAAUAAACACAUAAUAACUAUGUGCAUAUCAUAGGAUAGAAUAAAUCAAUCACAUAUAACAAUCAAAUCAAUCAAUCAAUCAUAAAAUCUUAUAUGUCGGGCGUCCAUCAAAACCCGUUUAUUUUUCGCGUGAAUUAAUUUCAUAGAUUCCAUUAUUCAGGAAUUACAAAAUUGAGUUCACGCUUAUUUGAAAAAUGUUUUAAAAACUAAGAAAAUGUAAAGAUUGCUUACCGAAUGGGAAGUGGCAGCAACUUUUAUUAAAAAAAUGUGAUUUUGGGAACCUAAAACUAUAAGGAUGAGAAUUUGAAAAAAACUAAAAUUAUUUGAAGGGUUUAGAAAUUGAAAACUAUUUAAAAGCUAGAAUUUGAAAAAGAUUUGAGAAAUAGGAGUGUGAGAGAUUAUUUAUAAAAACCAAACAAGAAUGAAACAGAGGGAGGGGGACACGUGGCUCAAAGGUGGCCCAUACUAAAGGUGGCCAUGCAUGGCCUGGUAGGAAUGGGGGCCAGGGAUGUUUGCUCAACUUGCAGAUUCCGAGAAUCAUGGCCGGCGCGUCGUCACCGGAGGUGAUGCUCUUCUGGAACCUCUUGAUCGAGCCUAUGAUCGCCGUCGAUGUUGACUCUGUUUUGCCUUGGUCUUCAAGCUUUAGCAAUCGGCUGUAGGUUGCCGUUCGUAACAUGGCCUCUGGGAGCUCAAAGAAGUAUCUUCUUCGUCGUACGCUGUUCUCGAAGCUUUGUGGUUGUGUUGCCAAGAGCAGCAACCAAUGUCAUAAUCGGAAUCGAGAUCAAGAUCUGCAUUCUGACGCGUUCUCUUCAGCGCCGAAACACCUCCGCGGCCUCUGACAGAGAACCUGCUCGAGGCCUCCCCAUCUUCGCUGCUGCCUGUGCCGCCGCUACCAGCAGCACCACCCCCCAGCUGCUGCUGAUUCUGAGCCUGCUAAAUCGCGGACCCACCGAAGUUCAUCUGGCCAUGGAUCCCCAUCUGCUGGCGCACCAUCAUCGGAUAGAGCGUUCUGUUUUGCAAUACCUGGUUCAGGAUUCAUGCCCGAAACCCAUAAUAGAUGUCACGUGUUGCGCAGUCAGCUUAAUAUCUCCUGCAUGAUCUCUGUUCAUGUGAGACGCCACAGGCUUAGAAAACUGAGCUAUUGGAUCAACUUUUGCAGCUGUAUAGACCUCUUUAGUAAACUCUUCUGAUCCCAAGAGAGCCGUUGCAAUCCCAGACACAUAACGCACUACUUUUGGUUCAAUACGCAUAAAUUAGAAGUCACCAAAAUCAACCCAGAAUGCAUCGGGAUGCCUUGUCAAGUAUGCUGUACGAAUAUUCCCUUUAUCCAUGCACAUCGUCUUCAUUGAUUGGGUAUGUGAACUCCUCCAGGAGUAGUCUAGAGAGAGGAAAUGGAGACAUAGGUGUAUGGUGGGUAUGAGAUAAUGAAGGUAGGGUGGUGAGGAAAAGAGUGAAUGAGCUGGGUAUUAGAGAGUAGGGUGGUGAUUAGUGAGGCAUUUGCAUGGGAAUAGGGAUAAAGGCUAUGAAGCAUAUACACGGGUAGUGAGAAAAUGGGUAUAAAGGAUAUGGCUAUGUGGAAUGGGUUGUAACAGAUGGGUGUAAUGAAUGGAGGUAAUAGGCAUCAUGGGUGGAAUGGGUAAUGGCUGUUGACACGGCUACGAAGUUCCAACAUCUCUUGAUGGUCAGGAUCUACAGAGAGGGCAGCUCUACAGUCUCGCAGUGCACCCAACACAUCUCCAAUGUGCUCAUGAAAGGCUGCCCUCAGGUGUAGAAGGUGAAGAUCUGCCUUGAAUGCUAUUGCCCUUGACAGUUUUGCUAUUGCUUCCUUGUCCCUGAUGAGCACCCAACAGAAAACCAAAUAUUGACCGAAACCUUCCGCCAAUGAAGCCCAUGUAACUGGUCCUGCACUCAAGGGUUUGCCAAUCCCUCCAACAGCAUGCACCUCACCUCUCAUAAUAUUGAUGACAAAAAGUGCAGGAUGCCUUUUGUCAGCAUAAGUUUCCAUCCCGUUCUUCGAAAUUUGAAUUCCAUGGUCCAACAGUAUUGGGAAGAAACUUCAUAGAUAAGUAUCAGGGACAGGGAAAGGUAUCCAAAAACAGAGCACAAAAAGAUAGAAAUAGAAUGAACCAAGAAAAACCAGGUUCCAUGUUUCAAAUCAGUGGCCUAUGAACAGGUGAGACAAACAGGGAAACAUAUAUGUGUUCACCAAGUAUCAGACUCAAGAAUGAAUCAAGCUGCUUACAGAGAGAAAAACAAAGAACCCAAGAAUACGACUAAAACAGAGCUAGGUUAUAAACAAUCAGAUUCAGCAAACAAACAAGUGAUCAUGAUGUCCAUACCAAAUACAAACGAUGUCUAGGAAUUAAAAAAAGGUAUAAAGAAGAACAAAAUGUGAAUGAGAUCAUAGUAAAAUGACAAAAACCAUACCUGGGAAAAACUCUACUCAAACCAUGCUCACACUUAGCCUCAAGUGGGAUCUGUCCUUACCAAAAAAAAUACACAAGCCAGCACAAUCUCACCUCUGCAGCUGGCUCCUCAAAACUCAACGAAUACCCUCAAGCCCCAGGAUCUCUCUAAGAGUAUCUCAGAAAACUCCCUCCUCUCUCUUGCUUGCCGCUCAAGCUAAAACCCAUACUCUCCAAAAAAAAAAUCUCCCCCUCUGAAGUUCUCCCCUUCACUCUCUCUGCCUACCUCCAGACUUGCCCCCCAAGCCAAAAGGAACCCCCUAAAAAUCUCUCCACCUCUGAAGGUCACCGCCCAAGCCCAAGCCAAAAGGAACCCUACAAAAUAUCUCCAGCCAACCUUUCCAAAACGCCACCUCUUCUGCCAGUAACAGAAGCACCACCCUCCACUAACGGCCUGCAGCUUUUCCGAAUAUUCCUUGGACAGGUGUCGAACUCUCAUUCGCUCCUCAAUUCCACUUCAUACAACCUUUAGGCUUAUCGUGUUACUUGUUAUCUCCCUUGAAGGCAUAUGUAAGAAAGUUGCAAUAGUUUAAUGAAGCUAAAAAAGAUGUGAUCUAGGUUUAUUAUUCACAUGGAGCACAAUCCGUUAUUCUUAGAGAGUAUUUUGCUAGUCACAUAGAGUGCAUAGAAACAAAAAACUUAAGGAAGCUAGUAAGUAGCUUUAGUCAAGCAUAGUACCUUUUUAGGUAUGUCGGGUUCAUGGACGUGGCAACUAAGUGCCGUUGGGGUAAGUAAGCCCAUAGGUACUUGUAAGUGACAUUUUCAAGAUAUGAAAAGGGUUAUCCUAGGUCGGAACAUUGUUGAUAGAUUGACAGGUUGGGUAAACCCAUGGGAUAGCUGGUUGAAGGUCCUUAAUGUCUAAAACAUGCCAUAAGCUGUUGAAAAAUAGCAUUACGAGAUUUUUCCACUAAGGGUGGGGCUGUAGUAUGAGCUAGUCCAGCUUUUGCAUCAAGUAGAACUGUCAUAGAAAGACUUUCCAUAAGAGCCUAUAGUUCGAGUCAAAGUCAUAACCUCUUUAUUUGUUGAAAAUAAUCGUUAAAGAGCAUGCUGGGUGAGCUUCCUUGCAUUGGAAAGAUAGCUCAACUUUUCUUUGAUCGAGAGUUAUAGGUGUAGCAUUUUAAGAAGACCUCGCAAAGCAGAUGGAGCCAUGUAUUGACUUUCUAGGUGAUUAGUAGGGCCAUAUGAGGGUAGAUUGCCGCAAAUUGAUAGAAAAAAACUCUGAAAAAUAGUCCUUCGCGGUUGCCUACUAGCAUCAUGAAUUGUUGAUAAUGGUAAAAAUGUUCGAUUGGAUUUUUCAUGCCAUCGUAUAGGUUGAACCUUGAGGUCACAUAAUGAGUAGGCGACUCUCUUUGAAGCAAAUGGGGAACAAUAGGUGAUGCACAUGCUUGGUUCCAAUGCUUUGAUGCCUCUAGGGCUAAGUCGUCUUGUAAUUUUAACCAAUGGACCUUCGUCGAUAAUUCUUUACACUUGUGUCCCAACUUUGUUUAACUCCAAGCUUGGUCAUUUGAAGAAUUUUCAAUUUGAGGUAAGCUAAUAAUGGAGUUGCGGUAUCUUAUAAUGCUAUUCUCUGAGAGUCCUUCAUGUAGUAUCUAGUCCAAUAGGCUUUAAGGCCUUAGGAUGAGCUUUCUGUGGAUUUGUAAUGCACUGCUACCUUAGCUCUAUACAAAUGAUGUACCUAUUUUGUGGGGUCACCAACCAUGAAUUGAAGGUAAGGUAGACAAGUAAGUAGCACACGAAUUUCGAACUAUUUGUGGUUGAAUUCUAUUAUUGUACUUCACCAUUAGAGAUUUAAUCGUGGUCCUGGAUGCGUUUUUAUUAGGGCUAAUUUUUUUUGCUAAACUUCCUCAACUUGUUACUCUUGAUUAAGAGGUUGUUCUCACAUGUUAGUUCGAGAUUCCCAAUCUGUUGUUUGAAUGAUGUUACCAUGAGGUGGACACAUUCUAUAGCUUGGCUUGCCUUGGGAUAGUUCCUACAUCAUAAAUCAAUAGGCAAGUUCAAUUACUUAGUUCACAUGCAAUAGAAUUCAUACUGUUUCCAAAGUAGAUGGUAGAGAAAGAUUUAGGUUAAGUUCUUUACACAGUGGAAUUGUUAGACUUGACUACUUAGGCUUCAAUCAUUGAUGGAACUAAAUUGCAGUUGUCAUAUUUUUUAAUGUGAUUUUCUUUUUGAAUCUUCAUUUGCUUUUAUCAUCAUUAUCGCAAUGUCCUUUUCCUUCCGUUUUUUGAAGUGUUUGAUUUCUUUUAUUAUCAUUUAGUUGUUUAGAAGGAGGUCAUUGGACGACUUUUCUAUUUUUUAAGAUAUAUAUAUAUAUAUAGAAACUAAAAAUAAAAUAAAUAUAAAUAUAAUUGGAUAACAUAAUUAUGAAUAUGAGAAAUCCCCUAUUAAAAACAAAAACAAAUAUUUUUUUGUUGGUAAUAUGUAUCAUUUUUUUGUUUUUUUUUUCUGUAUUUUUGUUGGUGGUAAAAUAAAUAUUGCUAUACUUUUUAUUUUAUUAUUAUUAUUUUUACUCUUUUGCAACUCCUUACAAACUUGGUACUAAAUUUUCUCUACCUUUCAAGAAAUUUACAUCUUGAUAAAUAAAAUCAACUCAUUGUUUUUGGAAUAGGACAUAUUAACAACAUUUUUUGAAUGAAUUUUAUGUAGCUUUAUUUGUAAUUUUUUUUUCCUUUAAUGUGAUUAAUAUUUAUUCAUAUAUUUUACUAUAGUGAUAAGUUUUUAUAUAUUCUAAAUAAUUAAUAAUUAUCAGUACAUAAAAAGUAGAUACAAACACACAUGCAUAUUUAUUUAUUUAUUAUUAUUUACUUUUAUAUAAUUAUAUAUAUAUUUUUUUCAGUUUUCUUUUCAGAAUAAUCUUUAAGCAACCUUCGUCAUAUUUUUUUUUUUAUAUAUAUAAAUUUUUUCAUGCAAAAUUCCUUGAUCCAUGUUGUUGUUCUCCACCCAUUUAAUUUUUUAGCCACAUAUUGAGUUACUCAAAGGCCACAACCGUUAAUAUAAUUACUUUUAAUUACAUAUUUAGGUAAAGAUCAGAAUUAUAAUUAUUAAAAAAUUAAUAAAUAUGAAUAGAAAAGUGAAUGAAAUUACACAGAGGGGAUGAACUUGAAGAGAAAGUGGGUAGUUAUUGCGAUGGUGGGUGUGAAGGGAAUAUGAAAUUUUCAUAGAUUUAUAUGAAAGAAUUUAUGGGGAAUUCCCACCUAUGGUCAACAAAGCUUUUCAAAUAAAAAAAAUUAUAGUGUUUCAUUAUGCUAAAAAUAUUUAUUAGUUAUAAUCAAAUUCAAAAUGGUGGGUCGGUGAGCAAUUGUGGCUUAGGGCCUUAUAUGUUGGUUGUAAGGGUCUCCAAAAAGCCCGCGGCCCGCUUUAGGCCCGACCCGGCCCGAUGGGCUAAAGCCCGGCUCAAGCCUGUCAGGCCCGAGCCCGUUUCUGGAUUUUAGGCCCGGCGGGCCGGCCCGCUCCUUUAAAAAAAAACUACAAAAAUAAAAAGUAUUAAAAAAAAAUAUUCAUUUCAAAAUUUUAUUCAUUGAAUGUAUAAUUACAUUUAAAAAUGUGGGAAAAGUUUACAUCACUACAAAAUAAAUACAUCCCAACUAGGUUGGCACCUAUUUAUUUGUCAAUCAUUGUAUUUUUCAACCACAAAAAAUAAAAAUAAAAAUAUAAUAUACAUUUAGUCAUUAUUUUCUAGUGGUGAUGGCGAACUAUCAUGCAUCUAUGAAGAUCUUGAUAAUUUUAAAGAUUCCAUAUCGGCAAGCAUCUCUGUUUCUCGAAUGGAAUCGUACAUCCUUUUAUCUGCUAUUUCCCAAUCUUUCACACAUAUCCCUACUUCAAUAACAUCUGGUGUUAAGUUGCAUCGUUUUUUACUAACUACUCUUCCACCUGCACUAAAAGCAGCUUCUGAUGCAACUGUACUCACAAGAACUGUUAGUACAUCACGAGCAAUUAUAGAAAGCACAGGAUAUUUGUGUUGAUGUGAUUUCCACCAUAUUAAAAUAUCAAAAUCUUCUUGAUUUUCAAAUGAAAUUAUAUCAGUAUUAAGAUAUUUAUCUAAAUCAGAUGUAUUAUUUGGAGAACUAUUUGUUGUCUUUUUUUUACUUUUCAACAUUUCUAGAGCUCCUUUAUAAAAAGAUGAGGAGUUUGUAGAUGUAGGUGGUAAUUUAAUAGUAUUAAUAUCAUUACCCUAUUUUUCUUUAUAAUAGUUAUAUAAAUUAUAUAAUAAUGAAUUUAUUUCAUUUUUAAUUUCUUCAAUUUUUAUUUGGUCAUUAAAAUAAAUAAUUGUUAACCAUUCAUCCAAAGCUUCAAAUUUCAAUCUAGGGUCCACAAUUAAAGCAAUAUAAAAAAUUAAAUGUAUUUCUCCCCAAUAUUUUCUAAAUUUUUCUAUCAUUGCAAAUAUUGUAUCAUUAAAUAUUUCAAAACUUAAAUAUUUUUGAAGUACAAUAAAAAUAUUAGUUAUUUGCAUAAUAACUUGAUUUGAAGUUGGAUAAUAUACACCACAAAAAAUGUUUGUUGAAGUAUCAAAACUUUCAAAAAGAUCUCUUAAAAGAUCCGCAAUAUUUCAAUCAUAAUCAUUUAAUGCAUAAAUAUCUGCUUCACAAUCAUUGUUAAUUAAUUGUAUUUCAUAUAAUUCGACUACUUUUCUAUAUUUUGUAAUAUUUUGUAAAAGUUUAUAUGUGGAAUUCCAUCUAAUGGCCAUAUCCAAAUUUAUAUUUUUUCUUUUCAUAUUUAACAUUUUGCAACAAUAAAAAAAUAAUUCAUGUUUUGCUUAAGAACUAUUAAUACUAUAUGCAAUGUCUCUAAUUUUUUCCAAUGUACUAUCAACAUUUUUUAAUCCAUCCUUUACAAUUAAAUUUAAAAUAUGUGCACAACAACGUACAUGAAAUAUUUUAGCAUGAUCUUCUUUUNNNNNNNNNNNNNNNNNNNNNNNNNNNNNNNNNNNNNNNNNNNNNNNNNNNNNNNNNNNNNNNNNNNNNNNNNNNNNNNNNNNNNNNNNNNNNNNNNNNNCUUCUUUUACUUGUCAAUAUCGUUUUAGUCUAUGUAUUACUGCAUCAUUAUUAGCAGCAUUAUCUAAUGUUAUUGUCAAUAUUUUAUCACGAAUGCCUAAAUCUAUAAUUUCAUCAUUUAUUAAAGAUGCUAUAUUUUUACCACUAUGUGGAGCAUUUAUUAAUUUAAAUGAAAUUAUUCUUUUAUUUAAUUUCCAUUCAUUAUCAAUGUAGUGAGCAGUUAUACAUAAAAAACCAGUGUGAGUUAAAGAUGUUCAAAUAUCAAAUGUUAAACAAAUAUUUCCUUCAAAAUUUGCAAAAAAAAAUUUUUAAAUUUCUUUUUGUGUAUAAAUUUUUUUCAUAAUAUCUCUUUUAACUGUAUUUCCAAACCAAUCUUUAAAUUGAGGAUUAAUACCUCGUUGAAUUGUUCCUGCAAAAUCAUGAGUUUCCAUCAUGUUGAAAGGUUGUUCUGCUCUUAUUAUAUAAUCAAUCAUUUCUUCACGACAGUUAGAUUCAUCAUAAGAAAAUGUUUUUAAAUUUCCACUUUCAUUUUUACCUAAUUGCAUAUAAUUUCUAAUGUCUACAUUAUUUUUAGUUUUACAAUUUUCAUGAUGUCUUUUUAAAUGACUUGUGCCUGCAUUUGAGCCACCAGUAAGAAAUUUAUUACAAAUUUUACAUUUUACUUUUAUUUCUUUUUUAUUAUUUUCUAAAAUUAUUUCUAUUCUAUCAAAAAAAUUCCAUAUAUUUGAAGUAAAUUUUUUGUUUGAUGAUAUUUCAUCACAUGGACUAGAUGAAGAAGCACUUGUCAUAUUAUAAUUAUUGAUAAAAUAUUAUGCCAAAAAUAAUAAAGUAAUAAAUAUAAAAAAAAAAUGUAACAAAAAAAUAAAGUAGUAAGGGUGAAAUAUGUUACUCAAUUAGAGAACCGAUGCAGAAAUUCCUAGCAAAUUUGAACUCUUGGAGCCACCAAUGCUUAUUUUGCACCACCAACAAUAUUGUAUAAUUUGAGGGAAAAAUAAAAGAAUUUGAAAUAUUGUAGAAUGUGAGAGAAAUAGAGAGAAUUUGAUGAAAAAAUGAAAAGGAAGAAAAUGUAUUUAUAGGAAGGUUAAAAAAAAAUUCAAAAUUCAAAAUAAUUGGCCAUGUGACCGUUGGAGCCUUUAAUUUUUUUUUUUUUUAAUAAUAUACUUUAUAUAUAUAUAUAUAUAUAUAUAUAUAUAUAUAUAUAUAACUAACUCAAUUAAUAAACAUAAAAAGAAUGUAGUUUAGCUGGUUAGAAACUUAAAGUUUAAACAUGAGGGGAGGGGUUUGAAUCCCCCCCUCUUCCUUCCCUUGGCUUUUUUGAAAGCCAUUUUGGCUUAAUUCAAAAAGUCUGCCGGCCCGGCCCGCCCGCCAGCUCGCCAGCCUACAGGCUCAUAGGCCGAGCCGCGGGCCUAGCAUUUUAGCAUGGCCCGGCCUGUUGACCAAUCAACUGGCCCAUAGGCUCGGCCCGAGCUGGGCGCCUCCUAUUUACGGCCCACCCCGCCCGUUGGAGACCCCUGGUUGGUUGGAGGAUUAAACACUUAUUGAAUCCAAGUUGUGAAAUUGUGAGUUCAUAGGAACACACGUAUUAAUAUUUAUAAUCAAUUAAAAUGCUUCAAUUAUAAUUAUUUUUUAUUGAUAACAAACACUAGAUAAAUAGAAACUCCUACUAAAAUAAAUGAUAAGGCACUAACUUAUCAUACAUUUCUUUUGUAAAAUUACACAUGAAGAAAAGUCUCUCCUCUUUGCUUUAUGCAUUGUUUUUAAUUAGGGUUUAAUAAUAUUCUAAUUUUUUUAAGCUGAGAAAAUCGAACAAUUUAAUCUUAAAAGAAAUCUGUGGAUACAAGUAUUAAUAAUAUUUGUUCGAUAGACCAUAAGUAAUUAUUUAAAAAUUUUGGAAAGAUGGAGUUUUUUCAUGCAAAGCUAUUAAAGAAUUGUUAUACUCAAUUUUAAUUAUAUAAAAAAUAUUAUAAAAUUUCCUUUUAUUACUUUUUUUUUCCAAAGAAAAUAGAAGGAAAGAAAAAAAAUAAAAAAAAAAUAUUAGAAGUUUAUGAAUUAGUAUUUUAUACCACUUCAAAUUCAUUUUCCUUAUUUCAAUCCUUUCAUAUAAAGAUUAAAUAAUUUAAUUAUAAAUACAAGUUUGUAAUUAACAUUAAAUAUAUUUUAUUUUUUUUUAUUUUUUUAUAAUAAAAUCAAACAUGAAAAAUUAUUUUUAUUUAAGUUUUUUUUUUUUUUUUAACCAAACAUAACGUUAAACUUUGGCGAAAGGAAGGACAUUGCUAAAAAAUCAUAAAAGUUGAAACCUCAACUUGUUGAAAUAGAUAUUUUUCACACUUAUUUAUUAUAGAUUCUUAUUGGGUGUUAGCCAUUAUUUAGCUUCAAUUUUUCUCCUCACUUUUGCUCUUUUUAUGCCUUUGGGUUGCUUUGCUCUAUAUAUUUUUAUUCCUUAAGUUCUCCGGUAAAUAUUAAAAAUACAUUAAAUCAAUUGAUAAACCAAGAGAAAGCCCUAACCAGGUACAGUAGAAGAAUUUAAUUGGUAAAAUAUGUCUUCAAGAGAAACUUUUCUUGUAUUUUCUUUUCUUUUCACUUUUCACUCUUUCUUUUUUUAGUCAUUCAAUGAUCAUCAUUUGGCUCUUAGACUUUGCUUGCCUAACAAGUUAAUGAUUUUAUUUGAUUUUUUUUUACACUUUAUUCAUUAUCUCCUAUUUUAUUAUUACUAUAUAUAUAUAUAUAAUUUCUUAUUUUUCUUAUUAUUAAAAAAAAAGUAAAAUGGAAGAGAGAACAAUAAAUAAAUAAAUAAAUAAAUAAUAUAAGCUGGCAGGUUAGGUAUACUAAACUAGAGAGGGAGACAAGGGUGGGACCAAACUAUAGUUGAAGCCUAACAUAGUAAACAAACAUAUAACAACCAGCAUGCAAACAUUCUAAAGUGAUGAGAUGACAGUAAAAUAAUAUACUAAGAUCGUAUUUGUUAUUUUACUUUUAAUUGUCUAGAUUGUACUUAAUAGACGGUUUAUUUUAUUUUAGCUUUUUGACUUUAGUUAUUUUAAAAACUGUUUGUUUUCUAAGGUAUCACUUUGUUUAAAAUAAUUUGAUCUUAAUGAAAAUGGUAACAAAAAAUUUACUUUCAUCUUAAAUCUUUACUAUGUAACAAGUGUGUACAGAUGAGAACUUGAAGUCAGUUUCAUGUGGAGAAUGAGAUCGCCAACAGCCAUAAUUUUGUCUUUAAAGGCAUCCUUCAUUUGAUCAGCUGAGUGAAUAUCUUAAGUAGAAACACUAGAUGAGCAUGACCAUAAGGCCUGGUAGCAAGCACACAAAAUUCAGCUCAAACACGAAGGAUUAUUUUGAAGCCAUUGGUAAAUAAAAUUAUUACUGUUAUCAACAAGAAACGAUUUCUUAGCCAUGUCCUUUCAUUUUCUCGAGAACACUUCGUGUUCAAUUAACAAGGCCAAUCAACAACCCAAAAUAAGAGUAUUCACAACCACUGAACAACAUAUGUAGCAGACACAAAUCUAUCAUGUUCUUUUCAAGCCAUUACUUUCUAUCAAGAAACCUAUUAUACACUGAAUCAGAAGGGGAUGCAUUUCCUCCAACAUACAACUGCAUUAUUUGAAGCCACUCACUGCCCUGAUAAUUAAAGAAAAUAAUAAUCGCCCUGGUCCGAUGAUGAGCCCACAUCCAAGGGGUAGUUGUUGUAACACUAUUUGUAAUGCCCCGCUUUUAAUUGUGUAGAUGUUGACUACUUUAAACUCAAGAUAGACCUAACAACCUUAAAACAUGUCUUCAUAGUUAAGAGGAGUUUGUACAUGUUCUCAUAUACCAUAUCACAAUUGUGCUCUAAAUUGCAUUACUUAAAAAGCCUGUUACCUUCCCAUGGAAUGCAGCAACAAAAAACAAGCUCGAAAACUCCCACCAGUUUCUCAUGUAGGCCAACAUAUCCAUUUAGGGAUGCAAAGGAGUGGGUGGUUGUGACAGGGGGAGUCGCGGCAAGCGAAGGAGUAGACCGCAAAAUGGGUUGCAGAGUGAGAAGUUGCACCUCUAUAGAGUUUCCGGAGUGAGAUCAACAGAAAGAUAAAUGAUCAGAAACUAUAUUAUAAUGCGGUUUGUUUGCAUGUAUACUAUCCAGUAUAAUGCAGCAACGUACCCCAAGCAAGUAUACUAAAUCGUAACAAAUAAGAACCAAGGCUGCUGUAUGGCAAUUUCUAAGAAUAACUCACCAUGGUUUGAGAAUUUUUAUGACCAGUUCUCCUCCACAAUGGAUGCCGAAAUACUGGGAAGACAAAGUGGCCUUGUAUGAAUCUUGACUGACAAAAACACUAUUGGCAGGUAGUGAUCGCUAUACUAUGGAUUAGCAGUCAUGUUAAAGUGAUAUAAUCCUCCACUAUUUCUCUAGAUCAGGAAAUGGCUACACAGAACAUGCAAAAGGCCUUAUUUCAGUGAAGGGACUGCAUUCAUCUCUUUGAAAAGAAAAAAUUCAAGACGAAAAAUAAAACAUACCAUCAAUACAAGAACAAAAUGGAGAUGGAUACAAGGUAUAUAAUCUAUAUAUUGUACCUCUUAUCCUUCAACAAAACAACAAUGGCAGCGACUUCAGCAGGAGAAACACGUGACCGUGGCUAAUUAGAAGGUGUUUGCAGACAGCAGCUACUAGAAGACGUGGUCGUGGCGAAGCUUUUUGCUCUUGAAAUACCUUGAAAAGCAAAAAUCAUUAGGACUUUGGUGCAGUCUAAAAUAGAAACUAAAGAAGCUAAGUAGUUCUGCUUUUAUAAAAUUCAUUUGGUUACCAAUGAAUAUUCAGGACAGCUUAAACGAAAAGAAUCUUUGCUCAUGCACCCAGUGAUCUGAGUUCAAAGCUUGACAUUAAUUAGUAUCCUCUGAUGGUAUUGAUCCAUCAUCACCAAAAUUCCUAAGAUCCAAAGGCAUAGGAAUAUGGUUGUGUUCAUCAUCUUGGAAUGUUGGGUAUUGGACAUCCAAAUUUCCUUGAGCAUCCAGUAAGUCUAGCGCAGCAUGGUUUUGUUGAUGAUCUUGGAUGUAUACAAGAUGUAUCCCAACUCCUUUGAUGUUGACGCAAGUUGCUUGAUGACUAUCAAAUGAAAUUUCAAGGCUUCUGCGUUGAUUGGAGUCAUGCUCAUCUAGAACAGCAACCUUAGGGUAAUACACCACCCACAAUCGAUCUGACACACCACCAUUACUCUUGUAGCAUUCACAUGGGUCAUAGUUAAUAAAGAAGGAAGAAUCCCCUUUAUCAGACGAGCCACCAAGCAAUUUCCAAGAGUAGAGUAAAGGAAAAUCAUCCUCAAAAUGUUUCUCAGAACCAUUUACUUUCUGAUAAAGAUAGAAGAAAGCAAAUCCGAAGAAGUUGUUAUCCUCGUACAAAUUCAUAGGAAGCCGUAUUCUUAUAUGGUUCCCCAUUUUCUGAUAGGAUACCCACCUUGGAAUUCCGCUACUUCCUGGAAUAUUAAUUUUACUGAUUCCCGUUUGUGUGUCACAUUCUGAAUCCUGCACAAAAGUUUAAGCACCAUCAUCAAAUACAAAGCAUAGUUGGUAUAAAAGAACUUUUAUAUCUAAUACAUCGUACCUGAGUAGCUGAUUUCAACAAUUUGAGGAAAGAAGACCAGAGUGGACUUGAUGGACUAAACAAAGUUUCCAAGGCCGUGCAAUCAUGAGCAUCAAUUUCUCGUAAAGUUGAUGGAAACUCCGGAAUUUCUUGAAGCAACUUGCAGUGGCUGAUAUUAAGCUCUCUCAGCUUAUAAAAUUGACCGAUAUCACUGAAGAUUGCUCCUUCCAUCCCAUCGCAAUAACUCAAAUCUAGGUUUUCUAAGGAGCGUAAGCCUUUCAGAUUCCCCAUGUUCCUAGGAAACUUCUUCAGUUUUGGACAGCCAUGGGCAGUCAGAUCUACAAGAAAUUCCAAAUCAUAAAUGGUGUGUGGAAGAGUCUCAAGGUUCUUGCAAUUACUCAAAUCCAAAUAUCUAAGACGCUUUAUUCGUUGAACGGAUGAUGGUAACUCUUUUAUAGCCGUUCCACGUAAAUCAAGGUUUUUCAACUCUUGCAUGUCCUCCAUGAUUUCCGGAAAUGUCUCCAGGUUUGAGCAAUGAUUGAGAUCGAGUGUUGUAAGGGACUCCAACCUACAAAUGUUGCUUGGAAGACUCCUCAGGUUUUUGCAGAAACACAAUGAAAAAAAAAGUAGCUGAUUCAGAUGUUCAAAUGGUGCUGCUAUCUGUUUUAUACCCGUUCCACGUAGAUUAAGACUUUCUAAAUGUUGCAUGUCCUCCAUGAUUUCCGGAAAUGUCUCCAGGUUGGAACAAUCUCUGAGAUCGAGUGUUGUAAGGGACUCCAACCCACAAAUGUUGCUUGGAAGACUCUUCAGGUUUUUGCAUAUUCUCAAAGAUAAUAACUCAAGUGAAGUGAUGUGAACUAUUGAGGAGGAUAAUUCUUCAAUAGCAGUAUUAUCUAACCAAAGCUCCCUUAAACCUUUCAUACAACCUCUUUCCAUCUCCAGAAAUUUCUCCAAGCUCGAGCAAUUACGUAAAUACAGUUCUUCAAGGGAGUCCAAGUACUGAAUGCUACUUGGCAAACUCUUAAGCAGUUUGCAAUUACUCAAAUCCAACCAAGUAAGCUUUGUCAAGACUCCAAUAGAUGAGUCAAUCUUGUCCAGACUUCCACAAAGUCUAAGAUUUAGUCUCUCUAGAUUUGGCAUAGUUGAGAAAUUUGAUAUAUGGUCAAGCUGCGUAGAUCCCUGUAAAUUUAAGACCUUCAACUUUCCAAGACACUGUAGCCAAAGGAAAAUUAUUUUAACAAAUAAAUUUUUAUAAUCCUCAAAAUUAAUAUGUGACAAAACCACAAUAACUAAUUAGUAGUCAUACCUUAUUCCCUUGCCAAAGUUGUCUUAUGUUGCUCUUCUUCAAGUUGAUUUCAAUCAGGUUCUCGCCAUAAAAAUUUGAGGGCAAUGAUUUCAAAGGAUAUCUUUCCCAAAGAAGAUAACUUAACUCAUAUGAAGGAAAUUCAAAGUCUUCAGGAAAAUGCACCUUAGACUCCAUUUUCAUAAACUCUUCAUCAUCAUUACAAAUGAUUUGGAGCAACCUAAGUUUCAUCAUCUCUGCCCAAACUUGUGAAUUGAAUUGUAUUUCCUUCAUUCUAGACAAGUCCAUAAAUAUUGCCUCAACGUUUUCCAUUCCCUAAAGAAUUAGAAAAUAGAAUAUAUGAGCUAACUAAAAUUAUACAUACAUACAUACAUAUUAUAUAUAUAUAUAUAUAUAUAUAUAUAUAUAUAUAUAUAUAUAUAUAUAUAUAUAUAUAUAUACAUAAGGCAAAAAUAGUAGUAUGAAGGAAAUUAAAUUUAUGUAUUUUCUUCUUACCUGCUUCCUUAUAAAUGCUCGAUAGAUAUCCUCAGGCUCCCACAAUCUGCUCCACUUGUUAGGAUCUCUAGGAUAUUUUUCACGAACAAUUUCCCAACCCAUUUGUUGUAUAAGAUCGUGCAUAUGUAUCUUGUUAUUUAAAAUAGUGAUAAGACUUCUGUCAGAUAGAUGUCUUAUUCCACUAUAACCAUCCAAAAUUCUUGACACAAAAUCCAUAUCUUGUCCUUUGAAAAAGCACGCAAUAUCAAGAAAUAUCUCCUUUUGUUCACGAUCUAAUCCAUCAAAACUUAUUCGAAGAACAUGUAAGAUUUCCAUGUUUGGUAUUCUUUUCAAUUUAUGCAAUUCACUCUCCCAUUCAAGUAUUGUUCUUUCGUAUAAUAAAGAACCCAAGAUUUUAAGAGCUAAUGGAAGCCCUUUAGCAUAAUCUACUAUACACUUUGAGAGGUAUGCAUACUUUUGUUUGGGAUGGUUUUGUCUAAAGGCACUCCAACUAAAGAGCUCAAUGGAAUCCUCAACAUCUAAUUCCUUCAUCUGGUAUGAAUCAUCUAGAUGAUGAAGUUUUAAUAGGUGCUUAUUUCUAGUUGUAAUAAUAAUUCGACUUCCUGGACCAAACCAUUCCUUGCUUCCAACUAAGGAUUCUAAUUGGCUCAGAUCAUCUAUAUCAUCAAGGAUAAUAAGAACCCUUUUGCAGUUGAAUGUAUUUUUUAUCAUUAGCUUUCCUUGGUCCAAACUACUUACGUUGUGAUUUUCCCCCACUAAGAUAUCCAAAAGUUGUUUUUGUAAGUUAAGUAAACCACGAUGAUCUGCACAAGCUUCUCUCACACUUCCAAGAAAGAUGGUACCUUCAUAUUGAUGAAAGAUUCUAUUACAAACAACUUUGGCAAGGGUAGUUUUACCUAUUCCACCACAUCCAUAGAUUCCAACCAUUCGAACAUCAUUUGACUCAAUACAUAAUUUCGAAGUCAUUUCAUUCAAAUGGGAAUCCAGUCCAACAAGAUUCUUGUCAACAUAUAUGAAACCAUGAUUCAACCUACUGAAAAUAUCUUCAGUAAUUUUCUUAAUGUACUGUGACUCAUACCUGUCAAAAAUAAAACAUCAUAAACAUAUGAUAAGUUAAAAGAACUAGAAAUCAUAAGAAACAUAAAAUAAAUUUGAUAAUACUUCAUUUAGAUAUUUUCUACAUUGAAGUACAUUAAUUUCCAUCAUAUAAACAUGAUUACUAGUAGAGUUAAAAUGUAGAAUAUAUAUGAUCGAUGCUAUUUGUGAAGUGCCACCAUUUAAGUUAUACUUGUUCAGCACACCAAUCAAAUUGGAAUGGCCUAACCAAGUAUUAUAAACAUGAAAAAAAAAAUUCAUGCUUUCAUAGUCUAUAUUUCUUCUGGAAAGUUUGGAUCUGUUUCAUAGGUGGUAAGUUUCAACCUUAAAAACUAUUUCAUUUGCAUUUUGUCACACAUGGUUACCGCAUGAAUGAUAAUGAUAAUUAAAGGAGUAAUAUAUGAUAUUCUAUAAAAUAAUGUAUUCUCUUUUCUCACUUUACUACAUGGAUCAUAAUUAAAGAAUUAGUACAAGGAUGUUCUUUAAGCACAGUAUUGUAUUCUUUGAGUGCUAAUUCUUAUCCUCUCUCUAAUCAUAUUCCAACAUUCCUACACUCACAUAUAUGCUAACAAUUCAAUCAAAGCUUAAAGCAAAGGUAUCUUCAUGACUUCUUAAUUAUUUAACCGCCCAAUGCAUAUACUGAGCAAACUCAAAAUAAAAAUUGAAAGCCCAAUUUCUUUUGGGAACUCCAAUCGUAAUUUUUGUUUCUAAAACUUAAAAUCAUCAUAUCUCCUAAUCAUGGAUUUCAAUUCAUGUAUUUAUCAAUAUUCCAAUGAUAUGACUAUAAUUAAAAUAGCCAAAUUCCUCACAAUCCUAUAUAAAUAAAACUCCCUUUUAUAUGAACCCUGAAAGAAAGUUAAAGUUUUACGUUCUUCACAGUCCAACUUUGCACCUUACAAAAUUGGUUAAAUAAAUUGGCAGAUUGAGUACAAUUUGAUUAAGGUGUUUUAUUGGUAUUCAAGAUACUGGUUAGUUUACAAUUUUGUAGCAUGUUAAUAGAUAUUAAUAACUUUUUAAUCUUUUUUCUUAACUUUAAUUUUAAUUGUUAUAUAACUAUGCAAACAAAUUUUUAAAUAAAUUGAUUAAUUCAUUUUUGUAAGAUUAAUGGAUUAAUUAUUGAAAAUUGUAAAAUUAAUAAUAAAUUUUGAUUAAAUAUUUUAGAUAUGGAUUCUUAUAAGGCCUAAAAUAGUCAAACUUAUUAAUUGAUAUUUAAUAAGUUCAAUUUAUAAUUUAUUAUGAAUAAUUAUUCAAUAUAAUUCUUCUUCUAUUAUAAUAUUUUUUAUAUAAUAAUAGAAGAAAAAUGAUAUUUAGUUAUAAAAGAUAGUAAACUUCCAUAAAUAUUUAUAGUUUAUUGCAAUUUAAUUAUCAUUUAAUAAAUUAAGCAUUUAGGCUUUAGAUAUGAAAUAAAAAGCAAAAACAUUUGGUCUUUCUCGUUAUCAUUCCAUAUCUAAUAUAUAAGAUUAAUCAACCAAUAACGUAAAAAAAAAAAACAAACAAACAAACAAACAAAACAAAAAAAGUUUCAAAUUUUACAAAACAUUUAAAAAAAUUUAAAGAAUUUUUCAAAAGAAUUAUAAAAAUAGCAAGGGAUCUUAUUAGAAAAUUUUCGAUAUUUUUAAUAAAUUUCAUGGAAUAAAAAAUAUUAAGGUGGUGUUUCUUUUAUUUUAACUUUUUGUGUAACUUGCUUUUAAAUUUUAGAUAGUUUAUUUUAAAAUUUUUAUUAACUUAUUAUUUAUUUCUUAUAUUUAUUUUCAAAAAAUAGAAAAAGUCAAAAAUAUUUUACUUUUCCUAAAUGUUAAAAGUAAUUUAUUAAUAUUUAGUUUUAAGUUCUAUUUAUAAAAUUAAGUUUUAAAAUAAAAAAAAACAAACAUCACUUAAGUCUUUUUUAAAAUAUUUCAAUAAUUUUUUUAACUAAAAACGCAGAAGAUUUGUAUUCCUAAAUUAUCUAUAAUUUAAUAAUUGAGUUUCCUAUUAAACUCACCGCUUUUUAAUUAAAUAUCCAAAUCUAAAAUGUUUAAGCAUUAGAAUGAUCAUUAAAAAAAAUAUUUAGUAAAGUAUGAAAUACAACAUUAAAAAGGUCAAUUUAUUAGACAAGAAAACCAAAAAUUUCCCAUAACAAAUGAAAAGUUAAAAACCAAAAAAUAAAAAAAUAGAUUAGGAUAAAAAGAAAGAAAAUACUGACAAAUAUAAAUAUUAAAUAGAUUUUAUAAGAGAAUUUACUUUUCUUAAAAUUUGAUUUUAGUAUAUGAAAUUUAUGUUAUUCAAAUGCCCCACCACACACACCUAACAUUCUAGAAUGUUAGGUGACAUUCUAUAAUGUUCGGUCACCACAUGAACACACCUAACAUAUAUAAUGUUAGGUUUUUUGCCGACAAUAUUAAAAUUGUAUAUUUUUCAAGGGGUAGAUUCUUUCUUUUAAAUAAAUAAAAUAAAAUAAAAAUUAAAGUUGAAAAAAAUCCAACUUAUAAAUAAAAGCUGAACAACACUUUUUAUUUAAGUUUAGUUCCCCUUUUUUUUCUUUCAUUUUUAUUUUAUGGCUCCAUAGAAGCAUAAAAUAAAUUCCUUAUAUUCAUCAGAAGUAGUUUCCAGAUUUUAACAUUAGUAGGCCUCCAAAUAAAAAAAUUUGGUUCAUGUGUUUAUAAAUAUUUCAAUGAAUUUUUCAUGACUAUAAUUGUAGAACCUCUUAUUCUUUCAUGACUAUAAUUGUAGAACCUCUUAUUCAUGUACUAAUAAAUAAAAUUCACAUAAAAAUGAAAGUUGAAAGGAAAUUUAAGUUUUUUCUUACCCAUCAUCUUUCACAUGCUCUCCUGAUAGAUUGGCUGCCUCUGUCAAUGCACUCCUCCACCUUUGCACCAUCUCUUUCUUCUCUUUUGUAUCUUCUUUGUAAUUCUUAAAAGCUUCUCCAAAACCCCCUGUUUGCUUUCGUACAUGGGAUGGAUCAACAUGGUAGAAAAUUGAGAGGACGAUUUGUCCCAUUUCUUUCCUGCACUCCAUGAUCUUAACAAGCUCAUUUAAACACCAUCUUGAAUCAGCAUAGUUUUCAGAGAAAACGAUUACGGAAAACCUUGAUCUUUCAAUGACUUUGAAGAGUUCUGACCCAAUCUCUUCUCCUCUCUUAAGUUUAUCAUCUCUGAAGGUGCGAUUGCCUCUCUUGAGCAAAGCUUGGUAGAGGUGAUCAGUGAAAUUAUAGCGGGUGUCUUCGCCUCCAAAACUCAAGAAAACAUCAUAGUUCUUUUGAGGGAUGGAAUUAGUAGUAGUCGUAGCAGAGGAAGAAGAAGAAGAUGAAGAUGAAGAUGAUGAUGAAAAGGGUAUUAGAAAACUUAGGAACGCAAUUAUGGAAGCGAUUAGGGAACUUAUGGAAGCUAUUAGGGAAUUUAUGAAAGCCAUGGUUGGUUUUUGUUUCAAAAUCACAAGAGGGUGUGAGGCUUGAUUUCUCUUGAGACUUGAGGAUAUGUAGCAAGCAAACUUUGCUUAAUACAUAAACUGUUUCUUAGUAAAAAGCUGGGGAGGUAAUUAAGUGGCUUCCACUGACCUUCCUAAGCAACUUCAAUAUUUGUAGCUUGGUAGAUAGGAAAGAAGGACAGCAUUCCCAGUGCCGAAAGAAAGAGAUUCUCUCAUUCUUACAUUUGCUUUUCUUUUAUCACCUUUUGCUUUUGUUUUGUUGUCUCACAGGUAGGCCAUUCAAUUCAAUGAUCAGCAUUUGGUUCUUGCACUUUUCAGUGUAUUCUUCAAGCCAUGAAUGGAAUUGAAAGGUAACUGUCAAUUUUUUAAUGUACGGCUUCACGUUCUCUUUUUUACUUUUGCUUUUGUCAUCAUUACUGCAAUGCCAUUUUUCUUCAAUUUUCCCUGUUGCCUUUUUCUCUUUUAUUAUCAUUCAGUUCUCUUUGAACGAGCUCAGCGGGGCCAGCGGGCAAAGAAAAGACUUCUGUAUACCUUGCGUCUGUUUUUCUUGCCACUUUUUCACUUUUCUUCUGUUUUCAUUUGGGUGUUGCAUGCACUCAACUUCCCUUUUAAAAAAUAAAAAUAUUUUACUCUUACUAAAUAAUAAAAAUAAUUUGUUGAUUUUUAUUUAUUUCUUAAUAUUUAAUAAAAAUAAAAUAUUAAAAAAAUACGUAACUUAAUACUUGACACUAUUAAAUAUUAUUUAGUUUUAACUUAUAUUUAAAAUUAAAUAAAGAAAACAAAUAUCAUCUAAGACCUUUUUUUUAAACAUUUCAAUAAUUUAUCUAACCAAAAGUGAAGAAAACUUGUGUUCCUAGAUUAUCUGUAAUUUAUCUAACCAACAGCCCCAGCCAAAAAUAAAAAUAAAUGCAACCAUAUCAUAUUGUUGCAAUUGAAGUUGACCGCCACAAAGCUGGAGCAAACAUAGUAUAUGGUUGCGGCUAGUGUUAUUUCCCCUAUUAUAGUUGAAAGACAAGGCAGCAGCCAAAAGGAGGGUGCAACUGAAGCUUCCGGAUAUAGUUGUGGCAGUUUAAUUCCCUCCACCAAAAGGUAUAUAAAGCAAUAUAGCACCUGUUUUCCGCUGCUGUAAGCAUCUUAUGGUCAAACAUUAAAUGGUGGCUGUAGAGUUCCACAAGUUACUUUGUGGUUUUUUUAUAUAAAAUGUCUGUGCAGAUAUGCAGACUUAGUUUCAGUGUACCGCCAUCUCACUUCACAGGUUACAAACCGGCUAUUAUAAUAAGUUUUUCAGAAUUUAAGCACAAUGAACAAUACAACAUAUCAACAACUAAAGUUGAUUGACUCUGCUAUUUUGGGUCAUUGACUGUCCUUGAGAGUUCAAGUUGUCAUGUUUGUACUCGCUUUGCAUUACUAUUGCAACAAUUACAUACUACAGUUGAAACCAACAUCAACGAGACUUGACGUUUACAAAUUAAAUUUUGCCAGCUAGAAGGUGAGGUCUCACUUUCCUCACCAAGCCCUGAACUUCAACAGCAUCUGGAAACAUGCAUUCAAUGCGGAUGCCAUAGUGUUUCUUAACAGUAUCCAAGAAUUGAUAUGUUUCCAGGUUGAACCUUCCGGUGUUCAAGUUGAACACCUUUAAUGGACAAUUCAGCAGCAUCUUCAGCACCACUGCCAAAAAAACAGGAAAGCAAAUAUUUUUUUCAGUACACAGCUUUGAUUCUGAUUCCACUAGUAAAGAUGAUGCAGAAUAUCACACAUGGAUUGAUCAAUGACAGAUACAGGAGUAGCAGAUAGAGAUAAAAGAAACACAAUAUAAAGUACUUAAUUCCAUUCUGGUGGAAAUCCCAGUUUUUCAAUUGAAAAUGGAGUACCAGUACUGGAUUAAUCAGGUGUUCUGUUUUGAAACAAUUGUCAGAUAACCAUAUAUAGAGCUUCAAAUGUUGCAUAUUGCAUACAACUUCAUGAUUCUGCACAUCCCAAUAAAAGUUCCUACGAGAUCCAGUAUAAAAGUAUAAACCUAACUCCCCAAAUCAGUAAUGCUGGCAUUAAAAUGCUAGCACUAAACUAAUGGCUACAGUCAACUUGUUGCACACUUUUUCAAGAAUGAGUCAAAACACAGUAACGUUAAUGGAUAUGAUGAUCUGUUGACAAGAGAACACCAUUCCAAAAAGAUAUCUCAUGUGUUUUCUAAAACCAGAUAAGGUUUAGAAACAGUUACAAUAGCAUGCAAGCAUGUCUGCAAAAUCGUAACUCCACAGAUCUAUUAGAAUAUGUAACACAAAUUUCAUCUACCUCAUACCUGCUUUUACAAAAUCUGUAUGUUUAUACUGAGCUUUUCCUUUAACAUCCUCCUCUGUUACAGAAUGUACAUGAACACAAAACUCAAAUCAAUGUCCUCUAUAGUCAAUUGGUACUCCUUAUCUUCUGCUCCAACUAUUAUCACUGGACUGUUCCAUCCUCUUCUUAACCAACUGAAAGACAUAAAUAGAAAAGCUAUGUUAUUUUUUAAUUUCAACAACAGUAAAAUCACUGCUUUGAAAAACCUCACAGUGAUGUAGAACAGCUGGAAACAGGUUCCAAAUUUUAAUAGGAUUUAAUGAUUUUAACUGUAGGGAUUGGAACAUCUGGACCACUCCCUUUUCAGCCCACAUCUUCCACUCCCUCCCUCCCUAUUUCUCCUCAUAAUUCAUUGAGGGUUCAAUUUCCUUUAACUCUAUUUUUGUCUUCUCGCCUAAGCAUACAUUCCUGAGAUGCCAAAGAUAACUCCCUCCUUGUCAACUGCAGAGAGGAGUUGCAUGGCCUCUUCACCUCGCAACACCUUCUCCUGGAGUCCCACCACACUCCAGACAUUCAUGGACAUUGGCACUUAACUGCCAAAAUCAUGAAAAUCUAUGAUUGCCCCUAACAUUAUAUGAAAACUAGUUGCAUAUUAUGUCAGAAAAAUUCAAACCCCCAGCCCAUAUGCUAUGGCCCUCAACUUUGCCAAAGAAAUAGGCAUUAUUUUCCAAUGGUGUUAAUCCCCAUAACUGGAAUGCAAAUUGGAUUCUACUUGUUUGUUCCAAAGGUAUAAACGAACACAUCCCAGGCAAGCUGACCUCGUAGCUAACCAACUUUUUGUAGGUAUUCAGAAAAUGCUACUUGAACAAUGAUGCAGGUGUGAUCGAUUUACAUUUACAUAUUUGAAUCAUCAAAAAAAGAAGCUGAGCAGCACAUAGGAAGUUCAUUUAACAAUAUAUUCAUUAUUUGUAACCAGCGGCUUAAAUUAUGAACAUUCAGUGAAAAUUACCUGUAAACCCAUUCAUUAUCAUACCAAGAGACCAACUUGAUAAAGUUGUCAUUCAGAGCAAUUCCAGCCUUGGCAUAAAAAAUACUCGACCUGCCAAAGGGCAAGUGAUUAUACAAUUCACUUGCAAAAUAAGAAAAGUAUUGAAGAUGAGGAAGAAUAAAGAUAUUGCAAGAUUUGCCUCACCUGCGGUCCCCGAUAAAAUCACUUGAUACCACAUCAUCCUUAGUGUAACCAAGGAUUUCCUUCAAAUUUCCCUCAUAUUCCGCCCUGGAAGAGAAUCAGAUGGUUAAAUUAAUAAGAAUAUCUCGAGUUAUUCUUUUUCAUCCUCUUUUCUUGCAAAUCAGAAGGUGCAACCAGCCAAGAAAAAGAAAUAAAUAAAUCCAAAUCAGAAUAUGAUAGAAAUUCAAAAAAAAAAAAAAAUUCCUUCUAGAUCCAUUUGUAUAUAUGAAAAAACUCUCACAAACACAAACAUAUAUAUUAGUCAUAUUAUUGUGGAACUAACUAUAAGUAAUGCUAAUAAACAUUGAAGAGUAGUUAUGGAGCAACAAAAUUCACUCUAGCAGCAACUCUCAAGAAGAAACCAUCCUCAAAAUCGGUGGCAUAUAUUGAAAGGUUGAGGCCUUAACUCAAGAGUAGAUAUGAAUGGAGAGAGAGAUUUGGAUGAACUACAACAACAGAAUGGAAAACAUAAGAACAAGAUGUAAGUUUGAAUUCAAGAAUGGUCUAAAAGUUAUCUCUUGUUCCGAUUUAUAGAAACUUACAGUACACUGUCCAAGAAUAAUUCUUGAAACAUUGCUUAGUUUAAGUUGUUUCACUUUUUUGCCAGAGUACCAUAUCAACAUAUAUUCAUCCUGAAACAUGACCUAGGAACACAAAUAUAUGGGAACAGAGGAUGAAAGAAUCAAGAGGAAACAUACCUGUUACUUGCUCCUCCUGUAAGAGCAAAUUGCAACUGAUAGAUGCAGCUUCUUCAAGAUAAACUGCACACAAUAAAUACCCAGAAGCACAUCUUCUCAAAAAUGAAAAAUUUUCAACACCUAUAAAUGAAUGGAUUUGAAUUAGACCUAAAAGGUAAAUAAAUCCUUUGGUUCCAAAAUAGAAGCCAUAGGAUAGAACAUAAUUCCUACAAAAUUGGGGCAAAAAAUAGAAAAACCAUAUAAACCUACCAGUGUCACUAGGUCCCAAGGGUUUUACGGGCCUAAAAUGAUUCAGGCCUAUCUAUUCUCCACCAUCUAGAAUCUGUAAAUCAGGGGUUACCUAAGCACAGGAAUGAGUUAAAGAUCCUUGAGAAAUGAAUUUUCAUAUUUAGAAGUCUUUUCGUCUAAAACACAAUGAUAUCCAAGUAGGUGGAUGAUCUUCAUACCUUUCCUGUCUAAAACACCAGUAAAGCCUUUUGGGGCACCCUCAGGUGGAAUUUUCAUACCUACAUUUAGGGCUUCAAAUUACACCAACAACAUCUUUGAGAAAUCAUCAAACUUAAGAGAUUAUCUCAAUCCAUAAGAAAGGAAGAAAAAUCAGCUAGAAAACCUCCAAAUCGAAAUUUCUACAGUAAUGAGUGGACAAAAAAAAUGGAGAAGCCGUACCUGAAAACCCUCCAAAUCCUCUGGUAACUUGAAACCCUAGCAAUUCAAAGCCCUAGAGAAAACCAUAAGGUAGAAAAUAAUAGAGUGAAAUCGAAAAAAAUAAAAAUAAAACAAAGUGACAAUGUUGAAAGAAAAAAAUACCAAGCUGCAUCCCACAAUGCCUGAAGAAUCAUCCAGCUAUUACAAGAGAAAAAAAAAAAACCAAUGAGUUCGGUACCGACAAUGAUGAAAGAGGAAAUGGGUUUGGCAAUCAAAGGUGAACGGGAGAGAAGUGGGUUUGGCAACGAGGGUAAGCAGGAGAGAAAUGUUGCAAUUUAUAUAUGGGUUUUAUGGUAGUGGUCUGGUGGCGUCCUGGGCCAUAUAUGGUAGCGGCCAAUUUUAUCCCACAGCUAUAGGAUGUUUAUAGCAGCAUCCAAUUAAUCCUGCAAACUAUAUGUCUGUUGGGAACCACUCUGCAACUGCGACUUGUGUAGCUGUGAGAUUAUAUAUAUACUUUUUAGUUGCGGAUGUUGUCGACCCUUCCUAAAAUUACGCGACUAUAUCUCACUUUUUUAGUAGUGUGAUUAAUGUCUCCCCACAUUUCCAGAGAUUACCUUAAUCUCCCACAUGGUUUUCAAUACAGAAAAGAAGAAAAUCAGAGGUUUGAGAGAGAAUUGCAUGUCAAGGAAGUAUUCAAUUGUAUUGAAAAAAUUCUUUUAGCUUAUGCAGGACCAAGAUUAGCUGCCAUGAAUAUACCCCUAACAAUGUGACCAAGAUACGAGCACCACUGCAACCUAUUGGAUGUCCCAAAGAUAUAGAUCCACCAUGAACAUUGACCUUUUCCUGAAUCCACAAAAGAGCACAUGCUUAUAGAGGCAGAAAUAUGAAAAUGCUCAGGAAAAUAAAAUUGUACAAAACUGAAGUAAACAAAUUCAAUGUAUAGUAAGUCACUAUAGGUUAAAAAAAAAAAAAAAAAGUUGAGACGGUGAACCAAAACACUCACAGGAUCAAGACCGCAACUUUUAAUUAGCAAGAGCUACAACCUGCAGAAAGCAAAUGAGAUCAUAAAAUUAGCAUAAACUGUUACUUGAUAAAAGAGAUGGUAGAAGUAUAACAAGCACAAGAAUAAAUCCUUACGGCGAAAGCCUUGUUUAUUUCAUAGUAAUCAAUUUGAGAAGCCUUCAGGCCCGCAUUAGAAAUAGCUUUUGGAAUUGCAAGGGCUGGGGUAGUUGUAAACAACUCAGGUGCCUGCCCAAGCCAAUCAUGUUUUAGUAUCAAGUCAUCUGUGGUCGUAUCAAGAUCGAGACAGAUAUAAGUUAACUUUUUAACAGUACCUGAGCAGCAUCACCAUAUCCUGCAAUCUUAGCAAUCACUUGGAGUCUAAGCUCAACUGCCUUCUUACCACUCACUAGCACUAAUGCAGCCGCACCAUCACUGUCCACAAGCGAAUAGCACCAACUUACAGUGAAAUGAUUGGCAACACCUCAUGGGUUGACAUGCUUGGUUACAUAGAAAUAUACAACAGAAAUCUAUCAAAGCAAUAUAUGGGUUUAACUAAAAUCUGAUGAACUAAAAGAAUCACUAUCUCUUUAGUGGGUUAACAAAAAAGUAUAUGCCCCUAACUUAGGUGUUUAGAUAUGAAUUUAGUUAUUUAUUUUCAAAGUGAAGCCCUAUAUAAAGAAUCUGGCAAGAGUUUCUCAUUUUGGCCAGAUGGUUGGGAAAUUCAAUUGUUCAUCUCACAUGCUACAACAAGAUCAGGUGUUUGAGACUCUUAAGGACAAGGCAAGCAUGUGAGAGCACACACACACACACAUACCUUAUGCUAGAAGCAUUCCCUGCAGUAACUGAACCCCCAUCCUUGAAACUUGGUCAAAGUUUCCUUAGUUUAGCAGCAUCAAACUGUCAAGAUGGAAAUGGAUAUCUUAGAAAGCAAGGAAAAUAGAUGGUACUGAGAACCCAGAACAUGAAUUUGUUUCAUGACAGGUAAGGUAAUUACUGGGUUAAAGAUGAUCUGACUAAUACCAUUUGGUGAUUAGAUCCUAUAUAUUUGUUUUCAUACAUCAAAUUACCCAUUACAUUACAGCAAUGCCCAGGCCCCUUUUAAUUGAUGAAGAUUGAAAUGGCUUGAUAGAAAAAUUGAAGAAUGAUUCGACAUAUUAGGCAAAGUAAAUAAAAUGAAGAGAACGGCACAGGAUUGCUUAUAUCAAUAACCAGUUGCAAAUGGAAGAGUGGCGUCAACAACUUUUCCCAAAUUACAUGUAUGAAUAAGAAAUUUAUAUUUCAGAUGAUGGACGUGAAUCCCUAUGCCCAUAAAUAAUAUUUACCUUUCCUAGACCUUCAUCCUUAUCAACAAGUGCAGAUGGCAAAGUCACAUGGACCCGAUUAGUAUUUUCAAAGCCAUUUACAGUAACUUUAAGAAAAAAUGAUGUGUGAUAGUCAACACAUAAAUCACCCUUGCAAGCAGUACUGUUAUUUUAAUUUGUGUUCACUUGUUGUUCUUGUGAUGCAUGGUUUCACCAAGAGUUCGUUAGACAUGUCCACUCGAAUGAAAUUAGACCGAAGAUUGAAAAAGUAGAAGAAGAUACAAACUAAUCACAGUACAAUUUUCAACCCUACUUGGUAAAUUUCAUUUAAGUUCCAAACAACUAGUGGGUAAAAAACAUUGAGGAAAAUUUCACAACAGCAAACUGUUACCUGUUGUUCUCUUGUUAUCUUAUGCUGAUCAGCACAUAUUUCUGCACAAAUUGCCAUUCCAAAAUCGUUGUAAACAUCCCAGAGGCCAUCUUUGGCCAUACCAUCAACAAUAGUAUCAUGGCCUAAUCGAGAUCCAUUUCUGUUUAUAAGCUCAGAGUCAGCUUAGAUACAUAGACACUUCUCCCUAUUAGUAAGAACGGCAACAAUAUGUACUGGCCCAACAUGCUUCGUUCACAUACUGAGAAUCAUGUUAAACUAAGCAAGCAACUCAAUAGACAUAAUUGAUCACAUGACCCAAAAAGCUAACGUUGCAUCUACUAGGUAUUUAGGCGCAUUAGACAUUCUUUCCAUGCCACCAGCCACAACUACAUCAUUUUUACAUACUCUCAACCCUCUUAAACUAUCACCAAAAAAUUGUAAAAUAAUCCUGAUCUUUAGUUUAGUCAUUUGCUGAAAGUUCAAUUUUUGAAGGGAGUAUUAUGGCUGUUUAUUCAAUUGUGAGCACCCAAAUUGAACUCCCCUAUGAAGAUGGGAUUGACUACACACAGUUCUCAAUUUUCUUCUCUGAUAGAGAGGCAUUGGAACCAGGUUACAUGAUAGGGCAGCUCCGGCAAAUUCCCAAAGAGAGAUGGGCUAAAAUGUGGAGGCAUCUAAAGUACAUCUCCCAUCACUAUGAAUUCCAGUACCCCUAAAGAAAGGAGACAAUAUUGAUAUGCUAUGGAGACAGGUAAAGCACAAGCUUCCCAGGGCCAACCUUGAUGAACAUAGAAGCCAAAGGUUGAAAGCUCCAGACUGGUGGGACCGCAGGAGAUAGUUUCUGCAUCCUGCUUUCAUUACCUUGUAAAUUAAAAAAUCAUUCCUAGUAGCUACAGUCUUAAAGGGGGAAAAUUUUCCACACAACAAAUGGAUAUAUCAAUUCCAAUGUGCUUUGCUGGCUCUUCAUGUCUUGGAAAAAUUUAGAAAGAACCAUCACAACUUUCCCUUCAAAUUUAUGUCGACUAUUCUAGCAUUUUCUCUGAAUAAUUGAGGUGGUUGGUUGCCUUGAAAUUGGUUUUCCCUCUAGCCUUAAUGGGGAGGAAGAAUUUUCUGGACGUUAUAUUUUCCUAGCAGUGUUGGUGGUUGAAAUGAAUUCUUGGAAAUGUAUAUGUUUUUGGUGGUCAUCCUUGCUAGCUGUCUAUGUUUAUAAUGGAAUUUCAAUGAUGAGUCAGCAAUCUUCUUGUUGGCUUUGAGUGAGAGAGUCUUCUUGUAUUCUGUUAAACCAGAGAUUGCCCAAUAAUGCAUUAAUAUGUUAAUUCUUUUUUACACAAUUUAAUUUUUAUGUCUCAGAAUAGUAGUGAUUUGAACUCUCCUAUAUAUCACUCAGUGAACAGAUCGAAAUACAUCUGGAAUCUGGAUGGGUGCCUUGUCCUUCAAGGCAAACCUGGGUUUUCUGAGUUGUCUCAUAAUUCCUAAUUAUCUCUCACAGUCCCUGAGAGUUAAUGCAUUACAAGGAAAAGAGGAAAAGGGAAAAGGCUUAUUAUGGUUGCCAAUUAGAGCCAUCCCACCGGUUGAUGGGAGUGAAUGCUGAUAUCCAUCACCUACCUGAAAAGUGAAAACCUUGGGACUAAUGGUUGUCAUAAUCUGCUCACUGAGUUUCUUUGUGAUGCUCUUGGAAUCAAAGUUUCUGUAUUAUCCUACCUCUAUGACCCAUUUCCAUUGUGAAAAAUUUUUAAGUUGAGUUUCAUUUGGAGAGGGAGACAAAAGCUCCUACUGCCCCCAAAAAAUAAAUAAAAAAUAAAAAAUAAAAAUGAAAGAGAGAGAGAACAGAAAAACAGAAACUAGUGAUGAGCAGGUGCUGGGAUCUGAGGUUCCCUAUGAUUGGGCCUCAAGCAAGGAAGCAGAGUAGUGCAAUGCAAUUGAGCGGUGUUGGCCCCCAAAACAAAACAAAUCAAACCAAGCAGGAGGCAUCCAGACACAAUGAACCCACCACAACCACACAUGUCCACAACUUUCUAUUACAUCUUCUACUUUACCACUAUCACUACUAAAUAUUUGGUGGUAGCAAAUAAAAAGAAAAGGGAAAUCAGAUAUCUGUAUAUCUGAGCUUUAGACUAAUUAGGCUUCUUUGGUGGUAGAAAUGAUUCUAAAUGUAUCACUUUCAAUCAGAUCCACAAAGUUUCCCUGAGGCCAAAAUCCAUAUCCAUGAAAUCUACUAAUCACAAUGCUAGCAUGAUUAUUUUAAUUGCAGAAUUUAGAUUAUGCAAACCAUAAUCAGAUUCGCAAGCCUAAAAAACACACACCGCAUCAACACUGAAAGUGUAUCUCUCUAUUUCCCCAAGGCUACUGUGAACACAUCAUCCAUGAAACAAAAAUCAACUAAACAAAACCGACUGGAAAAAUCAGGGGAACACAUUAUCCACGUUCCAAAUCCAGUCAUCCAAACAUACACCAUGAUUCGAGAAAGUGGAGAGCAGAAACAUUAUAGUAGAUAAACAAAACGAAAAGAUUUUAUUUCUUACCAUGUUGCAAAUUGAAUCCUUGGGCAUGAUACUUCGUAAAUAAGAUUUCAUUGAAUCGUAGGCAUGAAAUCAAAACAUACCUUAAGAAUUGAAAUUAGCAAAUCGAAUCCUACAAAACCCUUCAAAUCAGCAGAUCCUCAUACCUUAGGGCUUAGUAUUGGGCUGAAACAAAGACAAUGGGCACUUGAGAAAAUCAAAAUAAGGAAAUAUGAAAAAUAAGCAAAGCAAAGCAAGGAAAGAAAGGGUCCAAGGAGAAAGGCCUGACAUUAAGAGUUUGGCUAUGGAGAGGCAUAGAGAGGGGUUUAUGGCUGAGCUUUUAAAAUGGGAUAUAUUGCAGCAGCGAGGUUCAUGCGGAUUAGAUGCAUGAGAAAGCAGCCAGUACAUGACUGCAUCCAUAAGGAAACACACUAUCCUUUUAAGCACGGUAAUGAUAGUGGUCUUCACUGUAGAUUUUUGCCGAGGAAAAUUUUCUGCUCAUGCUUGUAUAUUUAGAUGCGGGUGGAAUAUUAUUGAUCCUGUAUAUAAUCUUUAGUUGGGGACUUUUAGACCCCUACUAAAACUGUCACCAUAUCUUAUGUUUCUUGUAGUGUAUAAUUGGACUUUCAAAAUAGAGUAGCUAGGAAAAAAAAUUAAAAAUAAAAUGAAAAAAAUGAAAAUCAUUAGAAAGAAUUUGGGCCUGUUGAUAAGAAAGACGACUUACCAAAAGCUUGAGAUGAAUGUUUAAUAUCUUCUGCAGCAUAUCCAUUGGACAAAUUUGCAAAGAACCUCCAACCACUUGUGCAUAUAGGCGGGCGCGGCCUGUACUUUAUGUGAUUAGGGUGUGAAGAAUAUAAUUGAAGUGUAAAAAAAAUAUUAUAAUAAGAUGAACAACAUGAUCAAGGAACUAAAAAUAUGAUUAGAACAUAAAGAAUAUGAUUAAGAUACAAAAAAAAUUAUGGUUUAGGUAUAAAAAAAAUACGAGUGAGAUUAAAGUAUGAAAAAUGUAACUAAUUAAUUUAUAAUUAGGGUCAAACUUGGACCAAAAUGGUAGAAAAAUAAAUACUAAUUCUUGAUUCAACUAGCUUAACUUACACCAUAAUUAAGAAAUUUAAAAAACAUAUGAUAAUUUUUAAAACUUGAAUAUAAAAUUAAUUUAAAAGUCUUUUUUUUUUUUUUCACCUUUUGCUAAUCAAUAUAUGCAUUCCAUUUUUUCCUUCUAAAUUUUGAACUUAAAGACUUCUAAUAUCUAAAUGUGCUCCUUUCCUUCCAAUAACUCAUUCCAAAGAUUAGCUUUUGAGUAUUAUAAAAUUAAAAAUUAAAUAAUAAAAAAGAAAAGAAAAAAAAAACGGAAUAUCAAUCUAGUAAAUGAAAAGAAAGAAGACGGACCUUAUAGGAGGAUGAAGAAAAGUGUGUUAGGUUGAAAACUAGAGAAGUCUCGAUUUUUUGUUGUGUGGGUUCUCUGCACCAUCAAGACUUCUCCUUAACAUUGAAAUCUGUAUUUUCACUCAAUAACCGAGGCCAAUGGUUGGUGGCAUUGGAAUCUCUGUUGAAGAUGUUGGUUUUAUAUAUAAGAUGAAGCCCACACUCUUCCACUUUCACUUCUUCACCAUAAAAUGAAGCCUUCAAAUGUCUCCAUUCAUUUGACCAAUGCUUAUUCUCAAUAGCAACCUUUGGAUAAAAUGCCACCAAGACUCUAUUUGAUUCACCACAAUUACGGCAAUGUAGAAAGCUACGGCUAAAUAUGAGUAGAUCCAUGAACUUGGAUUUAGAUAAGCAACCAUCCGGAUAAUCAAAGUAAAAAUUAUGGAAGGUCAAUUGACACCAAGGAUCUUCAUAUUCAAAAACAGAGCAUAAGGCAAAUCCCAAAAAGUUGUUAUCCUCCCACCAAUUCUCAGGAAGUUCUACUCCUAUUUUAGAUCCCUUUUUCUUAUGGCUUAUCCACUCUGGAAUUCCAUUAUUUCCAGGCAUUAAAUAUAAGGUCAAAAUUUCGAAUUUCUUCCUCCAAUAGGACCACCUACACUUCUGUAAGAAAUAUUAGUGUAAUUCUUGUGUUUUUGUCAAAAAAAAAAAAAAAGGAAAAAAAAAAUGUUAAAUGUCUUGAAAAUCAUACCUCAAUUGUUGAUUCGAAGCACUUGAACAAGGAAAAACCAAGUAAACUUGAGAGACUUGAUAAAGUUUCCAGGCAUGGGCAGUCGUGGACAUCAAGAGCUCGUAAACUCGGUGGAAGCUCUGGAAUUUGUAGAAGCUUCUGGCAGUGAUACAAGCCGAGGGUUCUCAGUUUAGAAAGUUGAAUGAUGUUGGCAGGUAUGCUACUAAAAUGGUUCCCAUCCAGAGAUAAGUUUUGCAAUGAUGAAACGUGGCAAAUAUGAUUGAGGAUCUCUCCUUCCGUUAGACUGCAGUUACUUAGAGAUAAAUUUACCAGUGAAGAUAGGUUCCAAAUAUCACUAGGGACUCCUUCUUCCAUUAGAUUGCAGUUACGAAGACAUACACUUUUCAAUGAAGAUUGGCGGAAAAUAUCACUGAGGAUUCUUCUUUGAAUUGGACUGAAGUUACCUACGGAUAAUACUUCUAGUGCAGAUAGGUGGAAACCUCUGUAGUCUCUUGAACAUGAUUCUACCAGUGAUGACAGGGACAAAACAUAAUGGUUAAGGACCUCUCCUUCCACUUCAUUUUGUAGUAGAUUAUUGCUCCACCAGAUUACUCUUUGCUUUAGAAUGCAACAAGUUAGAUCCAAAGAUCCCACUAAGUUCACCUCCACUCUCUCCAGUUUAGGGCAUUUUUGGACAUCAAGUUUUUUAAGAGCUCUGCAAAUACUAUCUGGAAGACUCACAAGCUCUGCACAACAUUUCAAAUUCAAGUGUUUAAGAGCCUUUAGACGUCCAAUUGAGGAUGGAAGCUCUUCUAUACCUGUAAAACUUAAAUCAAGCAUUUUUAGAUUUUCCAUAUCAUCUUUGAUUUCUGGAAAACCCUUUAAAUUUGAACACCCCUCCAAGAUGAGAGUUUCAAGAGAGCUCAAAUUGCAAAUGCUCUCUGAAAGACACCUUAGGCUUUUGCAAUAUGACAAAUCUAGGUGUUGAAGAGCCUUUAGACGUCCAAUUGAGGAUGGAAACUCUUCUAUACUUGUAAAACUCAAAUCAAGCCUUUUUAGAUUUUCCAUAUCAUCUUUGAUUUUUGGAAAGCCCUUUAAAUUUGAACACCCCUCCAAGAUGAGAGUUUCAAGAGAGCUUAAAUUGCAAAUGAUAUCUGGAAGGCUCACAAGCUUUGUACAACAUUUCAAAUUCAAGUGUUUAAGAGCCUUUAGACGUCCAAUUGAGGAUGAAAGCUCUUUUAUACCUAUAAAACUCAAAUCCAGCCUUUUUAGAUUUUCCAUGUCAUCUUUGAUUUCUGGAAAGCCCUUUAAAUUUGAACACCCCUCCAAAAUGAGAGUUUCAAGAGAGCUCAAAUUGCAAAUACUCUCUGAAAGACUCCUUAGGCUUUUGCAACUAGACAAAUCUAGGUGCUGAAGAGCCUUUAAACGUCCAAUUGAGGAUGGAAGCUCUUCUAUACCUGUAAAACUCAAAUCAAGAUGUUCUAGAUUUUUCAUAUAAUCUAUGAUUUCUAGAAAGCCCUUUAAAUUUGAACACCCCUUCAAGAUGAGAGUUUCAAGAGAGCUCAAAUUGCAAAUGCUCUCCGAAAGACUCCUUAGGCUUUUGCAACUAAACAAAUCUAGGUGUUUAAGAGCCUUUAGAUGUCCAAUAGAUGAUGGAAGCUUUUCUAUACAUGUUUCCUUCAAAUUAAGCCUUUUUAGAUUUUCCAUAUCAUCAUUGAUUUUUGGAAAGCCCUCUAAAUUUGAACACCCCUCCAAAAUCAGAGUUUCAAGAGACCUCAAAUUGCAAAUGCUCUCUGGAAGUUUUGCAAGGUUUCCGCACGAUAACAAAUUAAGGUGUUUAAGAGCCUUUAGAUGUCCAAUUGAGGAUGGAAGCUCUUUUAUACCUGUACGACUCAAAUCAAGCAUUUUUAGAUUUUCCAUAUCAUCAUUGAUUUCUGGAAACCCCUUUAAAUUUGAACACCCCUCCAAGAUGAGAGUUUUAAGAGAGCUUAAAUUGCAAAUGCUCUCUGAAAGACUCCUUAGGCUUUUGCACCAUGACAAAUCUAGGUGUUGAAGAGCCUUUAGAUAUGCAAUUGAGGAUGGAAGCUCUUUUAUACUUGUAGCUGUCAAAUCAAUCUCUCUUAGCUUACUCAUAUUUCCUUUGAUUGCGGGAAAACUCUUCAUCUUUAAACAAUCUUUACAAGAGAGACUUUGAAGACGUUCCAACUUAUGAAAGUUUCUUGGAAGACUCUCAAGGCUCCUACACCCUAUCAUAUCCAAGAAAACAAUUAGUUAAUAACUUUAAUAAUAAUAGUAAUAAAUAAACCUUUAUAGUAACUUUAUACAACCUUUUAGAAUUAGGAUCUCCAAAUUUGUCACCCUUGAAAAGUCUGAAAUUUCAACAAGUUUCUCUGAGUAACUAAGGUUGAUGACUUUCAAGUUGUCAAGAAUCUGGAACAAAAUAAAAUGUCUUAGUAGAUAAUUUUUUUUAUAAAUUUUAAAAUUAUUAUAAAAACUAUUAAUGAAACAACAAUUAUAAUAAUACCUCAUUCCCUUGCCAAAGUUGUUUUAUGCUGCUAUGCUUUAAAUUAAGUUCAACAAGAUUCUUUGCAUGAAAAUUUGUUGGCAAGGAUUCUAAAGGGUAUCCCUUAAAAUGGAAAUAUCUUAACUCAAAAUAAGGAAAAUCAAGAUUCUUGAGGGCCUUAAAAUCUUUCUUCCACAUAUGUGGAUAAUAGACUUUGAGCAAUCUAAGUCUAUUCAGUUUUGUGAAAGAAUUUGUAGAUAUCUGGCUUGCUAGAGAACCUUGUACAAAUAGUCCUUCAAUUGCUUGAGUCCCCUAAAAAAUAAAAGCCAAGAAUAAGUCAAGCACAAGAUGUACGAAAAUCAAUUAAGUUAUAUAGAUUUAUUAUUUCUUAAACAAAAUACAUUUGGCUCUUACCGUAUUUCUUGUUAACACACUAUCAACAUCAUUACAAUCCCAGAGUCUACUCCUGUUUCCAGGCUCUUUGAGACAUUCUUGACGAACAAUUUCUUGGCCCAUUUGUUGUACUAAAUCAUGCAUAUCUAACUUGUUUUCUGAAAUAGUAAGAAGACAUUUAUCAUUCAAAACUUUUAUUCCCAUCAUUGCAUAACUUCCUAAUAUUCUUGAAACAAAAUCUUUGUCUUUUCCUCUGAAAAAACAUGCAAUAUCCAAGAAUAUCUCUUGACAUGUAUGAUCCAAUUUAUCAUAACUUACUUUAAGCACAUUUUGAACUAUCUCGUCAGGUAUUUUUUUUACUUUAUGCAAUUCACUUUCCCAUUCAUUUAUUGACUUCUCAUAGAGAAAGCCACCCAAAACUUUAAGUGCUACUGGAAGACCAUGAGUAUACUCCACUACACUAUUUGAAAGGCUUUCAAAUCCAGUUUUGGGAGUAUUUUGCUUGAAGGCCCACCAAUUAAAAAGUUCAACAGAUUUUUCAUGAUUCAACUUUUGCACCUCAUAAAGUGCUUUUACUUCAUGUUGAUCUAACAAAUGUUUAUCUUUAGUUGUUAUGAUGAUUAUACUUUUUGCACCAUACCAACCAUGUUUUCCAGCCAAGUUUUCUAAUUGCAUGUAGUUGUCCACAUCAUCAAGAACAAUAAGGACUCUUUUCGAUCGAAGCCUUUCCUUUAUCACAUUGAUUCCUUGGCUAAUAUUGUUGAAUUUUGGCACUUUACACUUGACGAUAUCUUGAAGAAGUGUCUUUUGUAAUUUAAGUAGACCAUCUUCACAUUUCCCCCCAACAUUUCCAAGAAAGCUACAACCAUCAAAUUGAGACGAGAUAUCAUUAUAAAUAGCCUUAGAGAUGGUAGUUUUGCCAAUUCCACCAAUCCCAUAGAUACCAACCAUGAGAACCUCAUCCAAUUCAACUUUUAUAAGUGAUUUUAAUUGCGUCAAAUGAAAGUCCAUUCCAACUAUGUUGUAGCCCAUAUCUAAAGGCGUACGAUUCAAUCUUAUAGCGAUAUCUUCAUAAAUCCUUUGAAUAAACUCUGCCUCAGAUCUAUUAAUCAUAAAAUAUGUGGUAUUAGAAUAUGUCACAAAUAUAAUCAAUAUGAAAUAAACUUGAACAAUAGAAUGUAAUAGAAAAAAACUUGAACAAUAUUGAUUAAUUUAAUAUAAUCAAUAUUAAAUUACUUAUUUAAGUACAUUCUAAUUAUUCCCAGCUAUUAAUUCAAGUAAGAAAAAAGUGAAAAAUGUAAACUUUAGUUGCUUACUUUGUUGAAAGGUUCAAAUUGAAGUCGACUAGUAUAGAACAUUAUUCGACUUCAUGAUAAGGGAUGCUAUAAUCAUAACACAAGCAUAUGUCAAGCUUCAAGAUAGCUUCCAAUUUGGCAUCCAAGUUCCCUAAUCUAGUAAUACCUUUCUUGAUUAAAGAGAAUUGUUACUCCACUAUGCUCUCACAUAACUUUCUUUCACCCUUUAUUUAGUAAAAAAGAUCUUUAAAUUCCUUAUUCCCUUGUUUCUAUGUUUUAUCAACUUACCAUUAUUUUAAUGAUUUGUUUUUUGAUUAAAAACCUUUAAUUUAAUUGAAGAAGAUUUGAAAUACUUCUUAAAGAAAAUUAAUAUAAGAGAAUAGAGAUUCAUUUUUGUUAGUGCUUUCAUAUUCACAAUGCUUUCAUUAUGAGAAUAAAGUUGGUAAGUUAAGUAAAUAUAUAUAUAUAUAUAUAUAUAUAUAUAUAUAUAUAUAGUAACAGUUUUUGGGGAUUGAGCAUAGGGCCAACUAACCAAACGGUCAAUGGAACAAACUUUUUAUAAAAUAAAAAUAAAAAAAUAAAAAUAAAUAAUGUAUCAUUAGAUCACAAAACAGGUUAUCCAAGAAGAAUAUCAUACUAAAAAUAUGAUCAUUAUAGUGUAGCAAAUUUGGAUGAACAAGUCUUUGAACAAUUUAUGCACAAAUACUAAGAAUUGAGACUCUAAAUAAUAAGGAAGGUGCAUGAGAAUCUUUGCAGUGAGUGAGCAUGGAAUUCAUGGGCAUUAUACAAUCAAAAUGUCUUUGCAAUAUAGAAUGGUUAAACAUUAUACUAGGCUUGUGUCUAUAAAUUCUAGAUCUCUAAAGAGACAUGACCAUUCAAGGUGUUAUAAGAUAAUUGUAAUAGAGAUGAUAGAAACUACAGAUGUAGGGAUCCCAAAGAGAUGAGAAAAUCCUUCAUGCAAGCAGCCUAAGUUUAUAAAUGUCAUUUACACUUUCACUCUUUAAAAUAAUAUCUUACUAAAAGUGUUCAUUAAAUUAAACUAUAAUAUUAAGCACUUAAAAAGCUUUAGAUUUUGAAUAUAUUAGAGUGAAUAUGAUGAGGAUGAUGAUGAUGAUGAUGAUAGUGAUGGUAAUGAUGAUAAUAAUCAUAAUAACUAUAACCAAAUGAUGAUAUAAUUAGUAAUAGUAAUUAUAAUUAAUAUCGAUAGUAUUUGUAUUAUAAACCGUAGUAGUAGUAGUAAUAAUAAUAAUAAUAAUAACAAUUAGCAGUAGUAGCAAUAAUCAAUAUUGAUAGUAUUUUUAUUAUAAAUUGUAGUAGUAGUAAUAAUAAUCACAAGAAAGUAUAAAAGAAUGAAAUAGAAAAGUGAAAUGGAAGAAUAAAUAAAUAAAUAAAUAAAUCCAUUUGGACUCUUUUUCAUUGAUCAAAUAUUAGUCAAAUAUUUAGUAGUAAUUUUUUUGUAGAAAAAGAAAAAUUUUUAAAAACAUAAAAUAACAAAAUUAAAAUGGAAGAAAAAGAUAAAAAUAAUAAAUAAAUAAAUGAAGCUAUUUAUUGGACUUUUUAUACUGAUAAAAUAUUAGUCAAAUAUUUAGUAGUAAUUUUUCCUCCAACCCUAGGUCCUUACACUAUUAAAUUAUUUAUCUCAACUAUUUAUUAAUAAAAUAAAAGAAUGAUUUACUUGUAGGUCUCACCAUGAAAUCCAAGGUCACGCUACCCAGCUUUGUAAUUUAAGAAAGUAGGAUAAAAUUUAUCUAGUAGAAGUAUAGUUACUGAUUCUGCAGAUGAAAUCCAGACAGGUUGGCUGCUAUCUUCAAGGCAUUCUUCCACGUUUCUAUUUUCUUCUUCUUCUCUUGAUCUGCAUCUUUUGCAUGCUCCAAAAAUGCAUCUUUAAAACUUCCUCCUUGAUUUCGUACAUCUGUUGGCUCCACAUGGUAGAAAACCGGCAAAACCACUGAUUUCUUUUCUGUCAUACAAUCGAUGAUCUUUACCAGUUCAUUCAAACACCACUUGGAGUCAGCAUAGUGUUUCGAGAAAAUAAUAAUAAAAAUCUUUGAUUCUUCGAUAGCUCUCGAGAGAUCUGAUGCGAUAUCUCCUCCUUUCUCAAGUUCUUCAUCAUCUCUGAAGGUGUGAAUUCCACGUGCAACCAAAUUAGCAUAAAGAUGACCAGUGAAAGUCUGGCGGGUGUCUUCACCUCUAAAACUCAAGAACACAUGAUAAUUAUAACCAUCACAAUUAGAAGUGGAAGACGACGCUUUUAAGGUGCUACUAGAAGCCAUUUCUGGACUGGAUCUGGCAAAUUACAAGGAGGCUAAGAACGGAAAGAAAGGGUCUUUGGUUGCUAAAUGGCUGUUCUUCUCCUCUGGCAAGCAAUUUUCCUUUUCUUUUUUUUUUUUUUGUGUUGGACGCAAGAGGGAAGAAUGAAAGUUCAUGGAAGAAAGAGAAAUACUGUUUGAGUCAACAAGCUAAAUUGUCCUGUUCCAAUUGUGGGGCUGCCACUAUUGCUCAGUUUCUCAGAUUCAUCGCGGCUUCACAUGAACCAACAGCUGGCCUCAAUAAUGAGACUUGCGAGUCUGUUGAUAUCCAUUUUAGGUUUUUCACUCUAUCAUUUUACUUUUAUUUCCCUUCCUUUGCCAUUCAAAAAUCAAAGCUCAUUCUUUUACAUCUAUGCCAUGUCCAUGUUUCUUCCAUUUUUCCAUUUUGAUUUAUUCUUUUAAUUUUUAUUGGAUUUUUUUUACCCAAUGAAGCUGUGAGACUCCUACGGUCCGUUUAGCAGGAUUUCUAAAAACCACUUUUAGUAUAAAAGAUAAUCAUAAAGAAAAAUUACGUAUCAAGAAAACACUUUUAAAUAUUUGAAAAAUUAUUUAUAAUAUUUUUUGGUGAAUCAUUUUGCCAAUAAUUCUUUUAAAAAGAUUUUGAAAGAAAAUAUUUUAAUUAAAAACAUUUAAAAUAUAAUCAUUUAAAGUAUAUUUGAUGAUAAUUUUAAGAAGUGUUUUAGGGUGUAUUUGACAAUAAUUUUAAAAAGUGUUUCUACUAUUUAUAAUACUUUAAAAAAUUUAUUUUUAAAAUAUUAAAAACACUUCUUAAAAUUACUAUCAAACGCUCUGUUAAUAUUUCUAAUACUUAAAAUAUUUUAUCAUUCAAGUAUUAUAAAUAUUAGAAACACUUUCUAAAAUCACUUUCAAACGAAUUCUUAAUAUACAAUGUGUGAUAAUAUUUCUAUUUGAACUGUUUUUAAUAAAAACGAUUUCUUUAAAAAUGUUUUUGUGAGAAUCAUCAAUUAGAGACUUCUCCCAAAAGCAUUAUGAGUGAUUUUUCAAUUUUUUAAAAGUGUUGUUUUAAGUGUUCUCUUAUUACUUCUCUAUGAAGCACUAAAAUUAUAGUAGAGUUUAAAUUUUUAUUCAAAAAUACUUUUUAUAUAUAAAGUGUUUUUUAAAAUUACAAUCAAAACCCUUAAUUUAAUUUGUUCAAUUAAUGAAAUUUUGUCAAACUCAAGUGAUUCAAGUUCAAUAAGAUCACCCUAGUUGCCAAAAAAUGAUUAAAUUUGUACAUGAUGAGAAAUGUUAAAUUAAGAGACAGAAAAAACAAAAUUCCUAUUAAAAACAUUAGGAAAUUGUAAAAGGACAAUGUAGCCAUGUGAGUAAAGAGAAUUUUUAUCUGGAUGGAUGGAAUAAAUAAAUAAACACAAUUUCCAUGAAAUCUUUUGGGAGAGGAAAUAUGUUGAAGAAAUUAUCAUUUGUAAAAUUGGUCAUGAAAAAAAGUCUCUCCUUUUUGCUUUAUGCAUUGUUUUUAUUAGGGUUUAAUAAUAUUUCUAAACUUCUUAUUCAAGAAAAUUGAACAAUUUAAUGUUAAACGAAAUUUAUGAAUACAAGUAUUAAAUACUUUUGGCUCCAAGACCGUAACUAAGUAUUUUAAAAAAAUGAAAAGAUGGAGUUCUUUCAUGAAAAGCUAUUGCCUUAAUUUUUUUCUACUCAAGAAUUGUGAUUCCCAACUUUAAUUAUAAAAAAAAAAAAAAAAAAAAAUAUUGAAGUUGCUUUUGAUCUGCCCAAGAAUCCAUGAUUCCCGCGGCAUGCUCAAAUAUUUUUGUGUAGCUUUCAUGAAUGAUGGCACCCAUGUGGUUUUGGGAGGUUCUCAAUAAAUCUGUCUUUGUGCAUGUGAGAGGGCACCCAUGGAGAGUGACAUAUUUAAAAUUCUCUAUUUGAAAAUUAGAUUUGCACAAAUGAAGAGUGGGAAUUGCACCUACAAUAUAACAAUACAUCUACACUAAACAAAGAAAUUCACUACCAAACACGAAAUAUUAUAUAUAUAUAUAUAUAUAUGUCACUUGCUUAUAAUAUAAAUUAAUGUAAUAAUGGUUGAGGUAUGAAAUUAAGUACCUGUAUAUGGAAUCUUAGAAUAGAGUUUAAUUGUAAUCAUAAUUCGAUUAGAUGAUUUCGAUCAUUGAAAGUAAUCAAUUCGGCUUUUGAAUAGGUACUUGUGAAGUAAUAAUGAAAAUGGUUGUGUCUUUCCUCCACGCUUGACCUCCACUUUUCAUCCAUGGACACCAAAUUUUCACCCCUAUACACUUGCAUGUGAUAACAUAUAAAAAAAAUUAAAUUUUAUACAUGGAAUAUCUACGAGCCAGAUAAUUUAGCAUGAAAGCUUUGUGUUCUAUUAUCUUCAGAAAUUUGUAGAAGAGUAUAUAAUAAUAAUAUAAAAAAUAAUAAUAAACAUCCUAUAAAUAUAAAAGAAGCAUUAAUUUUUAAAAUCAAGAAAAUAAAAUAAUAUUAAUAUUUGAAUGGUAUUAAUCUAUGGAUAUGUUGAUUGAAGUAAUUCUUAUUAUUGUGUUUAAUUCUAUAUAUUUUCUUUAUCAUUUUUGUUAUAUCUCCUUAAUUAUUCUUAUUGUUUCCAUACAUCUUCUUGAUUAUUUUUUUACAUCUCUUUAAUUAUUUUCAUUAUAUCAUUCAACCAUUUGGUGUUUUGAUUAUUUUUAUUUUUUUUCAUUUUAUGUUUAUUUCCUUUAAUAAUGUAUAAUUGUUAAGGAAUAAGAUUAAAAAAUAAAUAAAGUCUAUUCAAUAAUAUUUUUAAAAGGUACUUUUAAUAUAAAAGAAAUUAAGUAUUUAAUAAAAAUUAAAAAAAUUAGUUUGUAUAAAUAAAUGGUUAAAAACAUCUUAUUUUUCUUUAAAAAUAUAUUUUAUACUAGAAGUGAUUCUCUAAUAUAUUCAUAUUAAAUUUAAAAGUGAAACUAGCCUAUUAUACAAUAAGUUGGAGGAUCCCACCUAUUUCUUGGAGCAAUGGUUAAAACCUCAGAGUUGGAGGAUUAUUUUCAAAGUGUCAACGGAAAAAUCCAAGCUCCAUGGACAAUGGUUUCUCAAAAAAUUAAGGUUGAGGGUAUUAAGGGCCUUCCUCAAAGAGGACUAUGGGCUGUACCACCAAACUCCUCUUUUUGUUAUUAACAUAUGAUAAAAUUAAUUUUCAGACUAAUUUAUAUUUUAUUUUAUUGGAUGAUAAAUAUGUUGGAAAUUAUACUUUUAUAUAAUUAAAAUGGUGCUACAAUAAUUAAAAAAUCUAUUUUUUUCUAUAUUUAUUCAUUACAAGAAAAUAGGAUUUAAUAAUUGGCCAACAAGCCUCAUUAAAGAUUUAAUUAACAUUUUCUACAAAUUUUAUUAUUUUUUAUAUAAAUUUUUUACGUAAAAAAUAGUGUUUUGAAGAUUGAAUCAAGUAUUGAAUAAGAAAAAAUUUUAAUGACUUCAUUAGCCUUUCAUUUAAUAAUUCUAUUUUACUUGGACAACUUUGUCUUUUUCUUUACUUUCUUUUUUUUUUUUAUAAAAAAAAUCUAGUUUGAUAUUGAUUAACAAUUGAUUCACUUAACAUUUAUUCUAAGGUCUUGUUCUAAAAAAUGAUAUCAGAAGAUAAAUUUAUAAAUAUAAAAGUUGAAAUUCUUAACAAAAUUAUAUAUAUAUAUAUUAUUUUCAAUUAUCUCCCAUUUGUUGGAUGAUAAUGGGAUUGCUUUGUUGGUAUAGUGGGUUUGGUUGGAGUUAUUGAUUUUGGUGCUAUCUUUUUAUUUUUAAUUUUCCUAUUUGUUGGAUGAUGGUGGGAUUGGUUUGUUGAUAUAGUGGGUUUGAUCGGAGUCAUUGAUUUUAGUGCUAUUUUUUUAUUUCAAUUAUCACAGUGUGUUCACUAAAAUAGUGAUUUAAUUUUGGUCUAUAUUUUCAAUUAUUUCCCUUUUGUUGGAUGAUGGUGGGAUUGGUUUGAUAGUCAAGAUUCCACAAUUCUCUUACAAGUUACAAUUUCAUUCAUUUAAUUUUGGAAAAUGUUAAGUUAUUGUAAUAGUACCUAUCAUGUGAUAGAUCUGAACCGUUAAAUAUAUAUAUGGUAAAAUACAAGUUUCAAUAAAGGUAUAAAUAAAUUAACUAAGAUAUAAAUAUACAAUUAAAUAGAGUUAGACAAUAAACAAAAGAUCAAAAAUUAUAUAUGUAAUACCAUUUAAUUGAUAAUGUAUUUUUGAUAAAUAACAUAAAAAAAAAUACUAUUCAAGUGAUGUAACCAAACACUUUAAUUUUUCUUUACAUUUCUCAUUUGGAUUUUACUUGAUAUUCCCAUAUCCUUUUUUUCUUAAAACAACUUUUUUUUGCUUCUUGCUUAUUAGUAUUUGGUGUUUUUCCAAGGAAGAUAAGAUCUUUAAUAUUUUUCAUUUUUUCUUCAAUCAAACAAUUGUUACACCCAAAGUGGUUAAAAGUGUGACUGCAUGGGACUAUGCAUCUUAAUAUUUAUAUCAAAUUAAAAUCCUUCUGUUAGAAUUAUAUUUUUGUUAACAAGGAGUAUUAUGAAAUGCUUACCACCAAAAUAAAAGUAGAAAUGUUAAAAGUUAAAAUGUUACGUAAAUAUGGGGAUUUUGGCACUAAGAGUUUGUUAUAUUGAUAAGAUAAAGAGAUGCAUGACAUCAAUAACAAGGAGAAAAAUUGGGAAAGUUGAAUUUAGGUUGAUUUUUUCUAUACAAUAUUAAUUUUUAACCCACAUAACCAAAAAUGGAAAAUCGGAGGAAAGAAAAUAAAUGUUAAAUAUAGAUUAAAUUAAUUGACAAAUCAUAACAAAUACCUAAUAAAAUAUAGUAGAAAAGGAGUGUGUUUGAAAAUGAUUUUAAAAAACGUUUAUAAUAUUUCUAAUAUUUGAAUGAUAAAAAUUUUCAAGUUUUAAAAGUAAUACAAAUAUUUCCUAAAUUAGAACUCUUGAAGUUGGAAACACUUUCUUAUCUUUCAUGUGUACAAGUGAUCCUCGCAAGCACAUAAAUAAAAUAUGGUAUAAAAAAAUUAAGUUUUGUGAAAAAAGUAAAGAAUAUGGUCAUUUGGGUUUUAUGUAAUUUUGACCAAUCGAAACAAUCGAAGCCAUCAAAAGUAGAAAACAAAUAGAGCCAAGUCGUUAAUUUUAACCAGCAGCAUAUAACCAUAAGAUCAGAUUCAUGAUCUGAGUAAAUGUUCCGUCAGACUCUGGAGCCAUGUUUGGAACCAACCCUUGAAAGAUUUCAUUAUCUGCCAGCACCAAGUCUCUAGCUAGGUGAUGCAGUGAUACGGUGCAGUAGAUUCUUCCGGCGGUAGAUCGACUGCAAUGGAGCGAAAAGCUUGCUUUAUCUUAAGCAAAGCCCCAUUGCAAUCAUUGAAAAGGCAAUUAACCAUUUCUCUAAUAUAUCCUCACCAUACCAAGCAGAAGAUGCCUGCACAAUCAUAGUGCAAUUGGUACAUGAAGCAAAAAAGAAUUUAAUCUGUCAAAAAAAAAAGAAAGAAAAGAAAAAUCCGAACUGAAUACGAAAUCAAAAAAAUCAAAAUAAGAACCUAUAUAGAAAAUGAAAAACAACUGAAAGAUUCAACAGUUCUAUGAAACAUAGACAAGCUAACAACAAUCAUUCACUUGUAAGCCAUGGCAAACACUGAAAACUAUAGUGAAAUAGAAAAUUAAACCUAAAUAAUAGUAGUAAUAAUAAUAACAAUAAGAAAAACCUACUGUUUGGUUGACAAGAAAAAUUGGAACCAACCAGUGCAAGCAAGCAUAUAGCGAUGCUCUUCUUAGAUUCAAUUCGGUUAAAUAUCAAGUAGUUGGCUUAAAGUUCCACUCCAUAAGACCUUUCACUCUCUCUCUCUUACUCUAUUUUCUCCCCCCGUCUUCACUCCUAAUCAUCCUAAACCAACUGAGCUCCUCCACAACCCAUUGAAAGACACCAAGUUGCACCAGCAACAGAAAUCAUAGCUGCACCAAAACUGUUGAACAACUCAAGAAGCGUGAUAGCAGUUAGGAGUUUGUUUUAGUUUGUUAUUAGGUUAAACUUGUUGAGAUAUUAGGAAUGCUUUUCUUGUAUCAUUCUUUCCUUAUAUCAUUCUUUCCUUGUAUCAUUCUUUCCCAUUCUUAGAAUGGUGAUUAUCCUCUAUAUAUACUCUGUACAUGAACGAAUAAAAGAAUGAAUGAGAUAAAUAAAUAAAAAACACACACCAUUCAUCAAUUUGAAGAUGGUAUCAGAGCCAUGAAACUGAAAUCUUGGAUAUUUUGUCUGUAAGGCCAACCAUUGCUUUCAUAUACAGAUUUGCCAUCCAGAUUCCGAUCUCCGUUACCCAAUUUUCUGAUUCGUUGAUCUUCUGUCCUUCGCUUUUGAUUUCAGAUUUAUUAUUAUUCAUGUGGGACCAUAGUCAUUGGAAUAUCGGAGUGAAAAAAAAAAGAAAGGAAAGAAAAAAAAAAGGAAAAAAAAAUUGAGUGAAAAAAAUACUAUUGUUUUUCAAUCUGAAGGUACGUUUAAUCCAUGAAUUAUUUUGACUGAAUCAAACUAUGACGUUUGGUCACAACUCAUGGAGAUGCAUAUUGCUGAAAGGGAAAAACUUUCCUACAUUCGAGGUAAAACAAAUCCACCAAAAGAGUCAGAAGAUGGAUAUGAAAAAUGGUAUGUUGAGAAUCAAAAGGUGAAGAUAUGGUUGUUAAUGUGCAUGAGUCUAGAAAUUAUGAAGUGUUACUUACGCUUACCCACUGCUCAAGAAAUUUAGAGUGCAUUAUCAAAGGCCUUCUAUGAUGGAAGUGAUGAAUUACAAGUUUUCACUUUGAAUAAAAAAGUCUUCACUGCCAAACAAAGCGGCAGGUCUCUUUCUGAAUAUUAUGGAGAGUUAACUGAGAUUUUUUGCGAAUUGGAUCAUCAGGAUAAGGUAGUCAUGAAAGAUCCUGAUGACAUUGCAGCAUACCAGAAAUCCAUUGAAUGACAACGAGUGCACAUCUUUCUUGCUGGAUUGGAUGGUGACCUUGAGCAAGUUCGAGGAGAGAUUCUACGCAAAGAUCCUCAUCCCUAUUUGGAAUAAUGAUAUGCACUGAUUUGACGAGAGGCAGUGCAUCAUGCUAGUAUGAAAGUAGAAUCUGAAAACCCUGACACCUCAGCUAUGGUAGUCCGACAACGAUCAACCCAGAAUUGGUAGGACCAAUCCAAGACCAAUCAUCCUAAGAUAGGCCCUAAUAUUGAUAAGUUAACCUUCAAAUGCACUCACUACAAUAAGACUGGUCAUACUAAGAGUCGUUGCUUUGAAAUUGUGGGAUAUCCAGAUUGGUGAGAUCAUAAUCAUGAUCAAUAGAAGAAGGAUUUCAAGAAAACCUCGACUACAGUUGUUGUCGAAAUAAAAAGAGAGGCUAAUGCUGUUGAGAAAGUCUUUGCAUUGGUAGCUGCUAUAGAUUAUGGUGGUAAGGUUUUAAAUACUUCCACACUUGUUAUUAAUAGUGCAUGGAUAAUUGAUUCUGGUGCUACAGAUCAUAUGACUUUUGAUUCUAGACAGGUCUCACCCCUUAGACCUUCCUCACAAAAAAUCGUUUCCAUAACCAAUGGUAACACAACCUCAGUCAUUGGGGAAGGAUCCUUAACUCUUACUGAUACUUUGAAUUUGGAUUUUGUUUUAAUUAUUCCACCUUUAGAUUACAAUAUUUUUUCAGUUUCUCAAAUCACUACAACCUUAUCUUGUAUUGUCAUUUUUUGGCCUGAAUUUUGUGUUUUUAAGGACAUCCAAACAAGACAGACCAUUGGUUAUGGUAUUAAAUGGGGAAAACUCUAUUACUUGGAUUUGCAGUCAAAGGAUUCCAAUAAGUUGCGACAAACCUUGAUGGUAGAUGGAUCUGAGGGGAAUGAGAAAAAGUCUGAAAUUUGGUUGUGACAUCGACGUUUGGGACAUGCUUCCUUUGGUUAUUUAAAAAAAUUGUUUCCUAGUUUGUUUGCAAGGAGUGAUAUUUUUGGUUUCCGUUGUGAUAUUUGUGAAUUGGAUAAAAGCCAUCGUACUUCGUUUCUGUUAAUUUUGAAUAAAAGUCUGCUUCCUUUUAUGGUUAUACAUUAUGAUGUUUGGGGCCCAUCCAAAGUCCCAACUUUGAGUGGCUUGCGUUGGUUUGUUAUUUUUAUUGAUGAUUGUACCAGAAUGACCUGAUUAUACUUGAUGAAGACCAAAGAUGAAGUGAACUUGUUGUUUCAAAAUUUCCGUAAAAUAAUUGAAACUCAGAACAAUGCAAAGGUUCGGGUUCUGCGUAGCGAUAAUGGUGGAGAAUAUCAGAUUUUUUAUUUUCAAAAGUAUUUGGAAGGACAUCGCAUCAUUCAUCAGACUACUUGUUCCAAUACAUCCUAGAAAAAUGGAGUCCCUAAACGGAAAAAUCAGCACUUGUUAGAGGUUGUUCAUGUUUCCUUGAUAGCAACAAAAAUGACGAUAUCUAAUUGGGGAGAAGCAAUCACAUCUGUCGCAUACUUGAUUAAUUGAGUAUCUUCCAGCUCAAUUGACUUCCAAACAUCUUUCCAAACUCUUACUAAUGUCGUAGUUACCCCAACUGUCCCAAAUCUACCUCCUCGUGUUUUUGGUUGCGUGGCAUUUGUGCAUCUACACAAACACCAACACACCAAGUUAACUUCCUGUGCAUUGCAAUGUGUGUUUGUUGGAUAUGCAUUACACAAAAAGUGAUAUCGAUGUUACCAUCCUCCAACUCGACGAAUGUUUAUUACAAUGGAUGUGGUGUUUAAUGAAGAUUCGAUGUAUUUUUCAUUUGAGUCUGAACUUCAAGGGGAGUACCAUAAAGAAAUUUAGACUCUCGAUUAUGAUUAUCAUAUCUCGGAAGGGGAUGAAUCCGAAAGAUCUGAACUAGUGAACAAAGAAGCGAGUGAAUUGGAUAUGAGUGGUACAACUCUAGAACCAAGUAGUAAUGAAGCUCCCGUGUCAGGAUGGAGAUUUCCAAGCCAUAAAUGUAAGUAGCUGAGCGUCAUAAAUGUUUUCAUUCAAAGUAAAGCUUUUAAUCGCUCUGACUUGCUUUGAAUGGCCAAUACUUGAUAACCUUUUGGUCUCAGUGGAUUCUUAUUGUUAGAUCCACUGAUGUUCAUUAGUUAUCUCCUACGAGCCAUUAUAUUGCAAGUCGAGGAGAUGACCUAUACCAAUAAAAGAGCAUUUAUGAGGUUCAGCUACCCUUUUUGUAAGUUUUCAAGGACUAAAACUCAGUUGUUAAACUCAUACCGGUUCGGGAAGUAAGCAUCACCUUAGUUACUUCCCCAACUCGAGGUGAAAAGUCCUAAAAUCUCCAUUUUUACACAGUGAGUUAAGCAUGGCUAUCCAAAGCUUUGAGAAAUUUCUUUUUCCAUCUUUUAACCUAUUUUCAUGUUAGUUUAGUUUACAACACCUUCAUCUUUUUAUGUUUUCAUCUUAACCUAAUUUUUAUUAAGAAAAGUUCACUCCAUCCUCUGAACUUCACCAGUUAAAGUAAAAACCCUUCCCAGUGUUCGAUCCUAGAGCCACUAUGCUAUAGUAGCUUUGCUACUUUAGUGUAAGGACCUUAGGUAUAAAUUUUGUUGAUACCCUUACAUGCCAAGCUACCAAGAGUCGGGUUAUCAAAUGGCGCCGUUGCCGGGGACAGUUGCCGGGGAAGGUGCUACUUCACUGUGAAUACAUUAGCCGGAGGUAACUUGUGAGACUUCUCAUGAGUGAGGUGAAUUCUAUCUCAUUUUUCAUUUACUAACUUUUUAUUUUAGUUUUAGAACAUUUUUAACUUAGUUUAGAUAAGUUUCUUUUAGCUUUUAACUUUCAUUUUUAGUUUAUUUUUCAUACUCUGUUUUUCCUUCCGCAUGCUCUGUUUUUUUUUUCUUUUUCUUUGUUUUAUUUAUUUGUUUUGUUCCAGCUGAAUCCGUGCAUGCCCUAUUGGAUUAGAGACCAAGAGGGAAGGUUAGUGCGGAUAGAGACUCCACGAGCUACUGAAUUAGAGAUUAUUUUGGAAGUCAUGGAGAAUCAGCCAGAGGAUCAACAUUCACAACACGGGCAGGAGAAUGAUCCGAACUUGUAUAGGUCCAUGAGGGACAGGAUGCACCCUCCGAGGAUGAGUGCACUAUCUUGCAUCAUUCCUCCUACAGAGCAAUUGAUUAUCAGGCCACACAUCGUGCCUCUGCUUCCUACUUUCCAUGGGAUGGAAAGUGAAAAUCCAUAUGCGCACAUAAAGGAAUUCGAAGAUGUGUGCAAUACUUUUCAAGAAGGGGGAACAACUAUUGAGCUUAUGAGGUUGAAGCUCUUUCCAUUCACAUUAAAGGACAAAGCCAAGAUAUGGCUCAAUUCCUUGAGACCGAGAAGCAUAAGAACAUGGACAGAACUUCAAGCUGAUUUUUUGAAGAAGUUUUUCCCUACUCAUAGAACAAAUGGAUUGAAGAGACAAAUCUCCAACUUCUCAGCACGUGAGAAUGAAAAAUUUUAUGAAUGCUGGGAGAGGUAUAUGGAGGCCAUCAAUGCAUGUCCUCACCACGACUUUGAUACAUGGCUUUUGGUGAGCUAUUUUUAUGAUGGCAUGUCAUCUUCAAUGAAGCAGAUAUUGGAGACAAUGUGUGGGGGUGAUUUCAUGAGCAGAACCCUGAGAGCUAUGGAUUUCCUAAGUUAUGUCUCAGAGGUUUCCCGNNNNNNNNNNNNNNNNNNNNNNNNNNNNNNNNNNNNNNNNNNNNNNNNNNNNNNNNNNNNNNNNNNNNNNNNNNNNNNNNNNNNNNNNNNNNNNNNNNNNNNNNNNNNNNNNNNNNNCCAUAUCAGUCACCAGCCCAAUUCAAGCCAACAAAGUCAAGGUCAAUCCUCAGUUGAGCAAGCACUCAUAAGCCUUAGCAAGGUUAUGGGAGACUUUGUGAGUGAGCAAAAAUCCAUCAACUCUCAACUAAAUCAGAAGAUUGACAACGUAGAGAGUACAUUGAACAAGAAGAUAGAUGGGAUGCAUAAUGAGUUGUCUAAGAAAAUUGACAACAUCCAAUAUUCCAUCUCAAGGCUCACAAAUUUGAACACUGUCAAUGAGAAAGGGAAGUUUCCCUCUUAGCCUCACCAAAAUCCUAAGGGGAUACAUGAAGUGGAAUCCAAAGAUGAGGAUUCUUCAAAGGUGAGGGACGUGCAAGCUAUUAUCACUUUGAGAAGUGGUAAGGAAGUGCAUCAGCCGAAGCAUGAUCAGAGGAAAGCCAAAGAAGACAAGGCUGAUAGAAAAGAAGAAAAGAAGAAAGAACAAAAGGGAAAGGAAAUUCAGAUGAAAGAAAGCAUCAUUCCUAGCAUGGAUGAGGAACUUCAAAUUCUUUUAAAGGAAGGCAUGAUGAAGAAACACAUGCCUCCUCCAUUUCCUCAAGCCUUGCGUGGGAAGAAACCGAUCAAGAAUGCUUCUGAGAUUCUUGAUGUGCUAAGACAAGUGAAGGUGAAUAUUCCUUUACUUGAUAUGAUCAAGCAACUACCCACAUAUGCAAAGUUUUUGAAGGACUUGUGCACUGUGAAAAGAGGACUCAAUGUUACAAAGCAAGCCUUCCUACUUGAGAAAGUGAGUGCUAUAAUCCAAUGCAAGUCUCCAAUCAAAUACAAAGAUCCGGGGUGUCCUACAAUCUCAGUCAAUAGUGGAGGAACCCAAGUGGAGAAGGCAUUGCUUGAUUUGGGGGCAAGUGUUAACUUGCUUCCAUACUUUGUAUACAAGGAGCUGGGGUUGGGAGAACUCAAGCCAACAUCGAUCACCCUAUCCUUAGCUGAUUGAUCAAUGAAAAUCCCCAGGGGGGUAAUAGAAGAUGUAUUGGUUCAAGUUGACAAAUUCUACUAUCCAGUAGAUUUUGUGGUGCUUGAUACGAAUCCUAUUGUCAAAAGGAUCAACUAUGUUCCAAUCAUCCUUGGAAGACCAUUCCUUGCAACAUCCAAUGCAAUCAUCAAUUGUAGGAAUGGGGUCAUGCAACUCACUUUUGGGAAUAUGACAUUGGAACUCAACAUCUUCCAUCUAUGUCAAAAGCCCAUCCAUCCUGAAGAAGAUGAGGGCCCAGAAGAAGUGUGUAUGAUAGAUACCCUGGUGGAGGAGCAUUGUAAUCAGAGUAUGCUUGAUCAGUUUGAAGAGAAUCCAGAUGAAAGCCAUGAAGAUCUUGAUGAUGGGUUAGUUGAACCCAUGAGAAUGAAUGUCGUUAUGUCAAACUGGAGACAAAAGCCAGUGAUCCUCCCUUUGUUCAAGGAUGAGGAAGAGAUAAAAGAAGCUAAGGAUGCAAUCCUUAAGCUUGAAUUGAAGACCCUUCCUGCCGAGUUGAGUAUGCUUACUUGGAGGAACGCAAUAAAGCCCCGGUGGUAAUUUCUUCUUCUUUAACCGUUUCACAAGAGGACAAUCUUCUAAGAAUCCUUAGAAAGCAUAAGAAGGCCAUCGAAUGGCAAAUUUCUGAUUUGAAGGGGAUAAGCCCAUUGAUUUGCAAGCACCAUAUUUAUAUGGAGGAGGGAGCUAAGCCAACUCGUCAGCCACAGAGGAGAUUGAAUCCUCAUAUGCAAGAGGUAGUAAGGGCUGAAUUGUUGAAGCUUCUUCAAGCGCGCAUCAUUUACCCCAUUUCAGAUAGCACUUGGGUGAGUCCAACCCAAGUUGUUCCAAAGAAGUCCGGGAUAACCGUAGUCAAUGGGGAAAAUGGAGAUGAAGUGUCCACACGCCUCACAACUGGUUGGAGGGUGUGCAUUGACUACAGGAAGCUGAAUACAGUAACGAGAAAGGAUCACUUCCCUUUACCUUUCAUGGAUCAAGUCCUUGAGAGAGUAUCUGGGCAUCCUUUUUAUUGCUUCUUGGAUGGGUAUUCCGGGUAUUUUCAAAUAGAGAUUGAUGUGGAGGACCAGGAGAAGACUACCUUCACUUGUCCAUUCGGCACCUAUGCUUAUAGGCGGAUACCUUUUGGAUUAUGCAACGCUUCUGCUACCUUCCAAAGAUGCAUGCUUAGCAUCUUUAGUGACAUGGUUGAAUGAAUCAUGGAAGUCUUCAUGGAUGACAUAACUGUGUAUGGGACUUCUUUUGAGGAUUGUUUGUCACAUCUUGAAGAUGUUUUGAAAAGAUGCAUAGAGAAAGACCUCGUACUCAAUUGGGAGAAGUGCCAUUUUAUGGUAAAUCAAGGUAUUGUUCUUAGGCACGUAAUCUCAAAGAAGGGUAUAGAGGUAGAUAGAGCUAAGGUGGAACUAAUUGUGAAGUUGCCACCUCCCACCAAUGUAAAAGGAAUAAGGCAAUUCCUUGGGCAUGUCGGGUUCUAUAGGAGGUUUAUAAAGGAUUUUCCAAGAUUGCCAAACCUCUUUGUGAAUUAUUGGUGAAGGAUGCCAAGUUUGAGUGGGAUGAUAAAUGUCAAAGGAGUUUUGAGCUUCUUAAGCAAUUCUUGACAUCAGCGCCCAUUGUGAGAGCACCAAAUUGGGAGUUGCCAUUUGAAGUGAUGUGUGACUCAAGUGAUUAUGCCAUUGGGGCUGUUUUGGGACAAAGAGAAGAUGGUAAACCUUAUGUGAUCUACUAUGCAAGCAAGUCUUUGAAUGAUGCUCAAAGGAAUUACACCACCACUGAGAAGGAAUUACUUGCUGUGGUGUAUGCUUUGGAUAAGUUCAGAGCUUAUUUGAUAGGGUCUUCCAUUAUGGUAUUCACGGAUCAUUCAGCUUUGAAGUAUUUGCUAACCAAGCAAGAUGCCAAGGCUAGGUUGAUUAGGUGGAUACUUUUGCUUCAAGAGUUCAACCUCCAGAUCAGAGAUAAGAAAGGUGUUGAGAAUGUGGUAGCUGACCACUUGUCAAGGCUCAACAUCGCUCAUGACACCCAUGGACUUCCCAUAAAUGAUGAUUUCCCUGAGGAAUCCUUGAUGCUUGUGGAGGAAGUGCCAUGGUUUGCACACAUUGCCAAUUACUUGGUCACGGGAGAAAUACCAAGUGAAUGGAGCUCUAAGGACAAGAAGAAUUUCUUUGCCAAGGUCCAUGCAUAUUAUUGGGAGGAGCCUUUUCUCUUCAAGUAUUGUGCGGACCAAAUUAUAAGGAAGUGUGUGCCUGAACAAGAGAAGCAUGGGAUCCUAUCUCAUUGCCAUGGGAAUGCAUGUGGAGGCCACUUUGCCUCUCAAAAGACGGCAAUGAGAGUUCUUCAAUCGGGCUUUUGGUGGCCCUCACUUUUUAAGGAUGCCCAUGAGGUAAGUAAAGGAUGUGAUAAGUGCCAAAGACUAGGCAAGAUUUCAAGGAGAAACAUGAUGCCUUUGAACCCCAUCUUGAUAGUGGAUCUUUUUUAUGUUUGGGGCAUAGACUUCAUGGGACCUUUCCCUAUGUCUUUUGGCCACUCCUACAUCUUGGUAGGAGUUGAUUAUGUUUCAAAGUGGGUUGAAGCUAUACCCUGUAGAACCAAUUAUCACAAAGUGGUUCUCAAGUUCCUAAAAGAAAACAUCUUCUCGAGGUUUAGAGUGCCUAAAGCAAUCAUCAGUGAUGGAGGCACUCACUUUUGCAACAAGCCCUUUGAAGCUCUUUUGGCCAAGUACGGAAUUAAGCAUAAGGUAGCUACACCUUAUCAUCCUCAGACAAGUGGCCAAGUAGAGCUAGCCAACCGGGAAAUUAAGAACAUCUUGAUGAAGGUGGUGAACACCAAUAGGAAAGAUUGGUCUGUUAAGCUCCUUGAUUCCCUAUGGGCGUAUAGGACGGCUUAUAAGACUAUCCUUGGGAUGUCACCGUACCGUCUUGUUUAUGGCAAAGCUUGCCAUCUUCCCGUUGAGAUUGAGUUCAAGGCAUGGUGGGCCAUUAAAAAGCUCAACAUGGAUUUAACUAAGGCUGGGCUAAAGAGGAGUUUGGAUUUGAAUGAGCUCGAGGAAUUGAGAAAUGAUGCCUAUCUCAACUCAAAAAUAGCUAAGGAAAAGCUAAAGAGAUGGCAUGAUCAGUUGGUGACCAAGAAAGAAUUUUUCAAGGGACAAAGAGUCUUGCUAUAUGACUCUAAGCUUCACCUAUUUUCGGGAAAGCUCAAAUCAAGGUGGGUAGGGCCUUUUGUCAUCCACCAAGUACACUCACAUGGAGUAAUUGAGUUACUCAACUCAAAAAGUGCAAAGACCUUCAAGGUAAAUGGGCAAAGACUCAAGCCCUACAUCGAGCCAUUUUCCCGUGACAAGGAGGUACUCAUCCUCCAUGACCCAUCACAUCCUUGAGAAAGUGUGGUAAGUUGAUGAGCUUAGCAUGAAAAGCUAAGUGCUCAUCUCUUUUUGUUUUAAUUUUAGUAUUACAUUCUUGUUUACUUUGCAUUUUUAAUACUUUUGCACAUAUGUUGUUUAGGUUUCUUAGUUUUGAUUUUGAUUUUUUAUGUUUUUAAUGGAGCUUUGAUGUCCAAUAGCAGGUACGAAAGCUCAUAAGCUCACAAAUGUGGAGAGAAAGGUGAAAUAGGGGAGAAAUAUAUCUAAGUCCAAGCUUAAAAGCCCAUUUCGCAACUCAAAAAGUGAGUUGCGAAAAUUUGGCAAGGUGAAUUUCACCUUGCGAAAUGCACAUUUUGGCAAGAUGCAAUUUACAACCUCUCGGGAUUGCACUUUCGCAAGGAGUAACCAGUGCGAAAAUUUUCGCAAGGAGUAACCAGUGCGAAAAUUUUCGCAAGUCAUUUUUCACCUUGCGAAAUUGUUUUCAAAGCAAAUAUCAAAAUGAAACCUCUCGGGACUGGUUUUUAAGGGGAGUAGCUAAUGCGAAAAUUUGGCAAGGUGAAUUUUCACCUUGCGAAAUUUUUUCUUCAUACUUACCAAGGAUUUGAUUCUUUUUAAAUUCAUUUUCAAACUUCAAUUUUGUAGUUUUAACACUCCUGAUUAGCUUUUGAGUAUAGUAUGGAUAACUAUCAUCUCCCCCCAACCUAAGUCUUUCUUUAAGCUUAACAAAAUUAACCAUCUCUUGAUAGGCUAGGAACGCACCUCUUAUUCACAAUUCUUUUCACUUACUAAACUUAACCAAUUCACCCAUGUAACAAGCAGAGGAUCGGUGACUCCCAACCAAUAAAGGCUUAGGGCACCAGGCUUUAAAGGCUUUCGCCACCCCUUCGGACCAUGCUUAGGUUUCAAGGCAAGCAAAGAAGUUUAUGCUAUUAUUAUUAUUUUUUUUUCUUUUUCUAUUUUUACAAAGACUCAUUGGUCUUUAUGAGGUGUCCCAACACUAUUAAAGAGAGGUUAAAGGUGUCAAAUUAUGAUUUCUCAAGCUUAGAGGGUGAGAUAGUUUCACAUCUUAUAACUGGAAUCUAAUGUAUGUGUGUGCGAAUAGCUUAAGUGGAAGAGAUAAGUUUGCAUGCAAUGGGAGUUUCAACAAUUCAUCAGCUUUNNNNNNNNNNNNNNNNNNNNNNNNNNNNNNNNNNNNNNNNNNNNNNNNNNNNNNNNNNNNNNNNNNNNNNNNNNNNNNNNNNNNNNNNNNNNNNNNNNNNNNNNNNNNNNNNNNNNNNNNNNNNNNNNNNNNNNNNNNNNNNNNNNNNNNNNNNNNNNNNNNNNNNNNNNNNNNNNNNNNNNNNNNNNNNNNNNNNNNNNNNNNNNNNNNNNNNNNNNNNNNNNNNNNNNNNNNNNNNNNNNNNNNNNNNNNNNNNNNNNNNNNNNNNNNNNNNNNNNNNNNNNNNNNNNNNNNNNNNNNNNNNNNNNNNNNNNNNNNNNNNNNNNNNNNNNNNNNNNNNNNNNNNNNNNNNNNNNNNNNNNNNNNNNNNNNNNNNNNNNNNNNNNNNNNNNNNNNNNNNNNNNNNNNNNNNNNNNNNNNNNNNNNNNNNNNNNNNNNNNNNNNNNNNNNNNNNNNNNNNNNNNNNNNNNNNNNNNNNNNNNNNNNNNNNNNNNNNNNNNNNNNNNNNNNNNNNNNNNNNNNNNNNNNNNNNNNNNNNNNNNNNNNNNNNNNNNNNNNNNNNNNNNNNNNNNNNNNNNNNNNNNNNNNNNNNNNNNNNNNNNNNNNNNNNNNNNNNNNNNNNNNNNNNNNNNNNNNNNNNNNNNNNNNNNNNNNNNNNNNNNNNNNNNNNNNNNNNNNNNNNNNNNNNNNNNNNNNNNNNNNNNNNNNNNNNNNNNNNNNNNNNNNNNNNNNNNNNNNNNNNNNNNNNNNNNNNNNNNNNNNNNNNNNNNNNNNNNNNGAAUUUAAAUGAAGCUGAUAGCAUGUACCCCAAAAAGAAGAUGAACUAUUUAGCUCAUCCUCCACUCACACACCCUACUUCAUGCUGAAUUCCCCCUGGAUCCCAAACAAAAUUGGCAUCCUUUCCCAUUUGGUCCAAGGGAAUUCGUUUCUCUUCUCUUCCCUGGAGAAGUGGAUGCUUUAAAGGGUUCAGGUAACCCUUUAUCAUCUUGAACCUUAUGAUUUUCAAUGGAAGGUUGGUCCAUAGAGUUGUCAUAGCAAUCCCCUACCAAAGUGUCGAUCUUUAAUACUUUCCUUAAUCUUUUUGCAUUGGUUCCUUGAAGGUUAUGGUGGGGUUGAGGAGGAAGCUUCCUUUUCCCCCUUGCUAUGUCGAGAUUGGUGAGUUUCUCAAUGGAGUCUUGAACUUUUUCUAUCCUUAGUGAUAGAUCAUUAUAAACCCCCUCCAUUCUUACAUUUAUUGAACUCUCCAAAUUAUCAAUCUUUUCAUUAAGAUGAGAGUUGAUCUUUUGUUGUUCACCUACAAAGUCCUCCAUGACUUUGCUUAUCUUCAAAAUGGCUUGCUCCAAUGAAGAUGUACUCAUUGAUGGUUGAGGUUGAGGUUGGGUUGUAAGGUUUUGAUGGUUAUUCCAACUUGAGGUGUAGGAGCUUUGGUAACCGUACAUGUCUCUCACAAUUGGAAUGGUAGGGCACUCCCCUACCGUAUGCUCAUAUGAAUCAUCUCCAUUCAAAGCAUACUUACUACCCCAUUGGCUUUGUUGAACUUGCCUUUUCCCUAAUUCAAUCCGAUCCCUCAUGGAUAGGUAUGCGAAUUUGUCCUUCUCAUAAUCAUAAUGAGAGCUUUGAUCUUCAUGUGGAAUUUCCAUUUCUAAAAAAAAUGAUAUUCAACUAAGGCUCUUUUCUUCAACUUGUACCAGGGUUCCCUCUUGGUCUCGAAUCCAACAAGGAAUGCACAAAUUGAAAUUAAAACAAAAAUAAAAGAAAAGAGAAUAAAAAAAAAUUAACUAAAUAAAAACUAAACUAAAAAAAAUUAUAAGAAAACUCACCAAACUUGUGAUGAAGAUCACAAGUUACCCUUAAUGGUUGCUUCACUGUGCUUGUGGCACUUUCCCCGGCAACGGCGCCAUUUGAUUCGACUCAUGGUAGCUUAGCUUUAAAGGAGUAUCAAUAAAAUUUAUACCUUAAAUACUAUUACUAAAGUAGCCAAGCUACUAUAGCAUAGUGGUUCUAGGAUCGUUCACUGGGAAGGGUUUUCGUAAACACUAGUGAUAUUCAAAUUAGGAAAAUAUGUGAUUUUCUUAUGGAUGUUAGCUUUAAAAGAAAGUGUAAAUGUUUUAGAAAGAUUUAAACUAAUCUAAGCUAACAUUAAAGACUAAAAUGAAAGGGUGUAAAAACAAGUUUCUCAAAGAUAGGAUAGCUAUGCUCUGGCUCUUAUGCAAAUUGGAAAUCUCAGGAUAGGCUCCUCGCGUUGGGGUUGCAACUAUGGUGAUGCUUGCUUCCCGAACCGGUAUGGAUUUAGCAAAUCAAGUUUUAAUCCUUUAAAAUGGCAAAACAGAUGGUAGUGAAUUUCAUCAAUGGUUAUUCACCUUAGACUUCUUUUGAAUGACUCGUAAGAGAUAACUAAUGGUCUAAAGCUAAAAGUUUACCAAAUAUUGGCAACUCAAAGUCAUUCCAGGUGAUAAACUCACCUUUCAAUGGCCAUUGAAAUUGGUUCUAACGGAUUAAUGCAAAACUUGGAAUUGAAAACCUCACCUUCCAAUAGCUCGUAGGAGAUAACUAAUGGAUAGAAAUCCAAAAGCUUAUCAAGUAUUGGCCGUUGGAAGUUGUCCAAAGGAAAUAAAAACCAAACUUUGCAUUAAUGAACCUUUAAUGAAAAACGACUACCUUACCUUCCAGGUGCGAGAAAUUUCCAUGGGAUUGCAUCCAAGUCAUCACAUAACAUCCAUACUUCGAGAAACUAAAAGUUUUAGCCAAUCAUCCUCUGAGGAAAAGCCCUCAGAGGCUGUUUGGCUACUAAGAAAAUAGAAAUGGGGAAGAACAGGAGAAGAGAGAAAAACAGAGCAAGGCUCCGUCUCUGUAUAUCCGUCUAUAUAUGUGUAUAUUUUACAAUGGAUGCACGGGAAUAUAAAUAGAGAAGUUUUUUCCAACCUUCCUAGCUAAGAAAUCUUAUGAUUGGUGGAUUACAAGGAGAAGAAUGGAAAUUUAUACAAAAAUAUCUAAAAGAAAAUAUCUCGCGUGGAGUCGGCAAAACAGAGGAAAAUUCGCACCACGCAUGGGCUGUGCGAAUUUUGAAGGUGUUGUGCGAGUGUUGUGCAAGUUUCGCACAAGCUUCGCACAAGAUGAAGGUGUUGUGCGAGUGUUGUGCGAGUUUCGCACAAGCUGAAGGUGUUGUGCGAAUUUCGCACAAGCUGAAGGUGUUGUGCGAAUUUCGCACAAGCUGAAGGUGUUGUGCGAAUUUCGCACAAGCCUGGAGCAGUUGUCUUCCAAAGGCCAUAUCUUCCUCAUUUCAGCUCCAAAUUGUAUACGGUUUAAAGCGUUGGAUUCUUGACUUCCUGAGCUUUGAAAUGGUAUAUAGCAUGUAGAAAAUGGACUUUGGAAAGUGCUCCAAAAGUGCAAAGGAAGACUGCAGCUGCUGUCAUCUAUUUUCUUCACUUUCUCUUUGCUUCUCUUUGCUUCUUUCCUUUGCUUGGCUUGUCUUAAUGAUCCAAAAAGCUGUCAAAACACUAAAACUAGCCACAAAUAUGAUUAGAAGUCAUUGCUAGGUCCUUAACAUGCCAAUUGGAAUAAAGAUGGAGAAUUACUACACAAAAGUGCUUAAAAGAUAUUGAAUUAAAGGUAUAAAAUAGCACUUUUUGGGUAGUAAUCAACUCCUCAGUUCAUCCCCGUACUUAGACAAAUUUUCAAAAAAAAUUUCAUGGCCAAAAACCCUUUUUAAAGCCUUCUCAACUUCAUUUUUCAUGCAUAAAAUACUAUUCCCCUUGCAUUUCCUCUCUAGGCCGCGUGCUUCAUUGUUUCAAGGUGAGUAAUUUUUCAUUUUUCUCCAUUUUUGGCUCCUUAAAUUGCUUGUUUAUGUCAUUUCUAUGUUUUAGGAACCAUAAACAUGCAUUUUCAUCCAUUAAAACCAUUUCAAAAAUCCAUUUUUUCAAAUCAAAGACCCAUAUGGCCGGCCACCAUUUUUGCAAAAAUCUCUAUCUUGCAAUGUGUUUUAGGCUCCCAAACUUACUCCAUUGCGUUUAGAAUCAUGUUUCCAUUAAAACCAUACCCUUUUUCUGAAUUUUAAACCGUUAAAAAUGAAAACUCAAAUUCAAAGUAAGCAUUGGAGAAGAAGAUGAAUAGUGCAUGUGAAUAGUGCUGCGUGAAUAGUGCCCGUUGCCAAAUUUAGCAACCACUAUUCAUGCCUUGCAAAUUUUGCACUGGUUACCAUUUCAACUGUAUUUUUGACACUUUACCCCUGGGAUGCUCUAUUUUUCGUGUUUUUCAGUCUUAUUUCAGUAUUUAUACCAUGGCACGGACACGGGGGACAUCCUCUUCAGCUAGUCAGCGUGGGGCCCACUCACAGAAAGGUGGUCAUUCUACACCAUAUCAGCCUGCCCAGACCCCAGUUCCCUCUACUCAGCACGGGUUCGAGACCAGACGAUCAUCUGGGUCUUCCAUGGCACCAAUGCCACCCCCUGUGAGCAGUCCUCCACCUAAGAGGACUAGGAUUUCAGGACUAGGCGAGUCCUCCAGAGCCCCUCCAUCACCUCCAGCAUCUACUAUCCCAGGCUCUUCACACCUAGCAGAGGUCCUCAAGCGGCCUAUGAUAGCAGGUCCACCCCUACCAGGCAACACGGAUAUCAGAGAUAGGCCAUUUCACGAUGAGAUCUGUAUGGAGCAUGAGACUCUCCGCCUAUUACCAGAGCUAGAGGAGUCAUACCGCCUUCUGCAGAGGUACCACAUCGAGCCAUUUAUGACUCCUAGGUCCUUCUAUUACCCUAGGGUAGUCUUAGAUUUCUACCAGACUAUGACUACUAGAGGCGUUCAGGACCCCAUAGCCAUUCAUUUUUUGAUUGAUGGCCAGCAUGGUAUUUUAGAGGCCCGAGAUAUAGCCGCCGCUAUGCAUUUUCCGCCUAUCCCUGAGGACCUUGGUUCCUUCCGGCAUUGGUCUCAGUAUUCAGAGCCCGACAUGGUGUCUACCUUAUCAGGAGGUAGAGUCACUGGUAGGACCAUUUUGAAGAGGGAGCUUCCUCCACGGAUGUUACUUAUCGAUUUGGUGCUCCGCACCAAUCUUUUUCCACUCCAGCAUGUCGUCCAGAGGAGAGGUGCUAUCCUAGAUGCACUUUACCGCAUCUCUGAGGGAUUCUACUUUGGACCCCACCAUCUAGUCAUGACUGCUCUUACCUAUUUUGAGGAAAAGGUGCAUAGGAAGCGCCUACGCAGAGCUGGUACUAUUCCACUCUUAUUUCCGAGGCUGAUCUCUCAGGUCUUAGAGGAUAUGGGAUACCCUUCUCAGCCCCACCUAGAGCGUCGUCAUCAUUGUCGAGAGCUCUUUACCAGUGAGAGUUGGACCCAUUUCUUAGACCGCUCACCCAUGGACCAGGGUAUCCCUAGACCAUUAGCUCCCGCGCCUCCAGCUUCUCCAGCACCUCCCGAUUCUCCAGCAGCUCCCGAUUCUCCAGCAGCCUCAGCACCUACAGUACAAACAUCACCAGAGCAGGACCCACAUACCACAGAGUCUUCUUCUUCAGUACCUGUUCCAGUGACUUGCAUUACUGAUACUCCCACCCCACCAGUCACUCCUGCUCCAGCCUAUGCUGAGUCUUUAGCCGGGCCAUCCAUCACUGUCUCCGCUAUAGAGUUCAGAGCUCUCAUGUCGUCCUUUCACUCAUUGAGCGCCUCUCAGGCCACCUUAGUCCGUGAGAUGCAGGCCAUCAGACGAUAGAUGGAUACCAUACAGACACAUCAGGCUCAGCAUAUAGCUAUUCAGGCUCAGCAUACAGCUAUCCUGGACCAGCACUCCGCCAUACUCUCUCAGAUCCACCAUCACCUGGGCAUAUCACCUCUUCCACCUCAGGAGCCACAUCCAUGAUUGGAUAUUUCUAUCUCCAUUUUGUAUAUGUUUUUUGUAUAUGAUACAUGUUAUAUCAUUCAUUCCUCAUCUUUUUCGAUAGAAACAUUGGGGACAAUGUUCAUCUCGGUUGGGGGGAGAGUUGAGCAAGUAAGUAUUUCCUAUUUUAGUUAGUUAUUUUGUUGAUUUAGUAGUUUUUGACCUUUUUCAAAAUUUUUUGUUUCAUUCUCUAUGGUUGUUAAAGAUAAUUUCUCAAAAUAAAAUAGGAUAAGUCGAGUUUUAACUUAAUUACUUAAGUCUUAGAGUUUGUUUUAUGCUUUCAAAGUUGAUAAUCUAUUGAAGCCCUCUUUGAUUUCGAACUUAUUUCUUCCAUUUCAAGCUUUACACACACCGUGCACAUUAGAUCCUGGAUAUAUGAUGUAAAACUUUCUCACCCUCUAAGCUUAGGAAAAUUUUGACUUGGUUCAUUACUUAAUCUCUUUUUAAUAGUGCUGGGACACCUCAAAAAGACCAAUGAGUCUUAAAAAAAAAAAAAAAAAAAAAAAAAGCUUCUACUCUUUCCUUGAAACCUAAGCAUGAUCCGAAGGGGUGGCGAAAGCCUUUAAAACCCAAUGCCCUAAACCUUGAUUGGUUGGGAGUCAUCGAUCCUCUGCUUGCUACAUAGGUGAAUUGGUUAAGUUUAGUGAGUAAAAAGAAUUGUGAAUAAGAAGGUGCGUUCCUAGCCUAUUAAUAGUUGGUUAAUUUUGCCAAAGUUCGAGAAAAGCUUAGGUUGGGGGGAGAGGAUAGUUGUACAUACUAUAUCCGGAAGCUAAUCUCAUUAACACUUAGCUCAUUAUGGAAGAGUUUGAUCCGGAACCUUGAGAGUAGAGAUUCUUUUGAUACUUAAUUGCAUAAUCUCCACUCUUUGUACUUUUUGUUUAAGUUUUAGCUUUGACAACUCCUAUUGCAUUUUGAAUCUUCAUAUCUUUAGUUCACCAUGUGAGAUGUGUUUUGAUAUCAGUCAUGCCACUCAAUUAUUUUUUGGAGUGAUUUGCAUGACCUCUUUUAUGUAUAUUAUUAUGUUUGCUUAGUUUUUAUCUCCUCCAUUGCUAAGGGACUAGCAAUGAGUCGGUUGGGGGGUAUGAUUACUACAGAAAAGUGCUAUUUUGUAGACCUAAUUAUAAGGGUUUUAAGCACCUUUGAGUAGUAAUCAUAUUCAUUUAACCUAAUUAAUUCAUUAAGCUCUUUAGUAAUUAGUUCUAACCAUUUUUAGUGGCAAGUUUACAUGUUUUUCAUCAGCUUAUGAACCAAUUCAAGCAUGCCAAUUGAUGGAGGAGCUACUUGGGCGAGUUAAGCAAGGAUUUUGGACGUUUACAGGCUUGAAUUUCAAGUGGAAACAUGAGCACAAGCAAUGGGAACACCAUUUCGCAAGGGGAGGCAAUUCACUUGCCAAAUGACCAAUUUCGCAAGGUGAAUUUCACCUUGCCAAAAUUUCGCAAGGGGAUUUUCCUCAUGGUGCGAAAUUUGGCCAUUUCGCACCAUGAAGAAAACCACCUUGCGAAAUUUCGCAAGGUGGAUUUAGGCACCUUGCGAAAUGCCAAAUUUCGCAAGGUGGCUUUUCACCUUGCGAAAUUUGGACCUUUCAUCUUCCCCCCUUGCGAAAUGCCUUUGAAAUCUCCUGUUUUGAGACGCUGUUGAUGAUAUUCCACUGCCGGUUCUCCAAGAUAUUUUGCUUGACUUUUAGCUUUGUAAAUACCUAUUUUACCCUUGUAAUCAACCAAUGAAAAGGUUGCUUUUGUAAUAACUCUUGUAAUUUAGCUUUUUAUUGUCUUUAAAUAAAGGUGAAGAGCCUCAGACACGAUCAUCUUGUAACCUGUAACUUUAUAAGUUAUAAGAGCACUUUUGUUCAUACGCUUCUUUUAUCUUUUUCUUUCUCAUUUUCUUAGUAGCCAAACAUCCUUGGAGGAUGAAAUCCCCAAGGAUGAGAGGCAAAAACCUUUUAGUUUCUUGAAGUAAUGGAUGCCAUGUGAAGCUCCCAUGUCAGGAUGGAGAUUUCCAAGCCAUAAAUGUAAGUAGCUGAGCGUCAUAAAUGUUUUCAUUCAAAGUAAAGCUUUUAAUCCCUCUGACUUGCUUUGAAUGGCCAAUACUUGAUAACCUUUUGGUCUCAGUGGAUUCUUAUUUUUAGAUCCACUAAUGUUCAUUAGUUAUCUCCUACGAGCCAUUGUAUUGCAAGUCGAGGAGAUGACCUAUACCAAUAAAAGAGCAUUUAUGAGGUUCAGCUACCCUUUUUGUAAGUUUUCAAGGACUAAAACUCAGUUGUUAAACUCAUACCGGUUCGGGAAGUAAGCAUCACCUUAGUUACUUCCCCAACUCGAGGUGAAAAGUCCUAAAAUCUCCAUUUUUACACAGUGAGUUAAGCAUGGCUAUCCAAAGCUUUGAGAAACUUCUUUUUCCAUCUUUUAACCUAUUUUCAUGUUAGUUUAGUUUACAACACCUUCAUCUUUUUAUGUUUUCAUCUUAACCUAAUUUUUAUUAAGAAAAGUUCACUCCAUCCUCCGAACUUCACCAGUUAAAGUAAAAACCCUUCCCAGUGUUCGAUCCUAGAGCCACUAUGCUAUAGUAGCUUUGCUACUUUAGUGUAAGGACCUUAGGUAUAAAUUUUGUUGAUACCCUUACAUGCCAAGCUACUAAGAGUCGGGUUAUCAAUAGGUUACCAAUCUAGGCAACCAAUCCAAUUGUUUUGUGACAAUAAAGCCACAUGUGGCAUUGCUCAUAAUCCAGUACAACAUGAUCGUACAAAGCAUGUCGAGGUGGACAGAUUCUUCAUUAAGGAGAAGUUGGAUGAUAAGAUUGUGGAAUUGCCUAAGAUUCGAUCAGAAGAUCAAUUAGCCGAUAUCCUCACCAAAGUUGUCUCAAGUCAAGUGUUCUCAAAAAUUUUAGAGAAGUUGGGCAUGUGUGACAUCUAUGCACCAACUUGAGGGGGAGUGUUGAGAUAUUAGGAAUGCUUUCCUUGUAUCAUUCUUUCCUUAUAUCAUUCUUUCCUUGUAUCAUUCUUUCCCAUUCUUAUAAUGGUGAUUACCCUCUAUAUAUACUCUGUACAUGAACGAAUAAAAGAAUGAAUGAGAUAAAAAAAAAUACCAUUCAUCAAUUUGAAGAAAACUGUUAUCAGUGUAUAAAUACCAAUGUAAAAGGUUAUUCUUCAAGAUAGAAAAUUGAAAACAAUAUCUUUCUUGAUACAAAGUGUCACUCACCUCCUCGGACCAUCACACAGAACAUAGUUCUACCUAAAAGGAAAUGAAAACUAAAGCUACGUGACAAGGUUCUUCAGUAAUGCUGAAAGUUAGAAAACCCAGUUCAAAGAAAUUUUUGGUGCCAAGCUUUGUAGAAAAGUCUUAGGGUUCUCAUCGAAGGCAAGCAAUGUGAUACCAAUUAUCAAGUUGAUAUAAAACCCGUAAUUCUAAGGGUAGAGAGAGAGGGAGAUAGGGCCAAACUUAGGGAAAAAAACCAAAAUUCAUUGAAAUAAGUUUGUUUUUUGAUUGAUCAUGAGAAUUAAUAAACCUUAGGACAUUUUUAUUGUUAAAUUUUAACACAUAAGAAAAUCUGGAUAUGGAGGCAUACAAGAUUUUACUUAAUUGGCUAAUAAAACCUCAAGGUCCUAUACAAAUUAACAUAAUUCAAUUGUUAUUAAUGUCUUACUUUUGUGAGUGAAUUGUUGAGUUUUGUGAUAUGGGUUUAACUUUUCAUUGACUUAAUUUGAAUAUAUGAAUAGACUACUUAAUUAAUUUGUCUUAUCCCAUAAUAACACAAUUUAUAUUAUGGAACAUAUAAGAAAAAUUGAUAGGAUCAAAUAUAGUUGGAUCUAACACAUUAUGUUAACAUUAAUACUCAUAUUCAAUUGUGUAUAUAAAUUCAAGAAACUAACACAUACACACAUGUAUAUAUAAGGUUUCAAUUUUAUAAAUAUUUGCAUAAUGAGUAUAUUUCAAAUAAUCAAUAAAAGUUUGUAUCACAUAUAAAGUGAUAUAUUAACAAAAUAUAAUUUAUAGUUAAAUCAUGUUUUCAAAGUAGUGAAAUAACAUAUUGACUAGAGAAUUUAAAAUAUGUAUAUACACACCAAAAACAUAAAUACAUUGAUUCUUGUUAACUUGUGAAUUCAAAAAAGUUUUAGUUUAGCAAAAUCAAUACCAAAAUUUUAUCUUGAUCAACUCAUUGUAUUGGGUGGGGACAUAUCUCUACUAAAAUAUUUGAAAGGAAAAUUUUACAUUUGAGAUGUUCUUAUCCUCUUGAAUUUGAUAGUUUGUUCUUAGUUUGAGAUUCUCUUGCCCUUUGAUAAAAUUAAUAGUGUAAGUACAAAUUGAUAAAAGUUUAGUCAAAAAUGAAAAUUUACUUGAAGUGUCUUAUUCACCUUAAUUAAUAAGGAUCCAUGAGUUGACUAAUCGAGUUUUGAGCCUUCAAGUUGUUUGAGCAUUUUAUCUUCAAUUGCUCAACUUUUUCCAUCUAGAUAUCAAUCAAACUUAAGACUAAGGUGUUAGAUUCCAUUAUUUUAUGUACUAAAUUCGUUUAAUAGAAUGCUUGGUGAUUCAAAAGUAAUAACCUUUGAACUUAAGAAUCAGUCCAAACAACAACUUUAGUAAGAAAAUCAAUGUCAUAAUUUGAUUUUUUAACUCUUUUGGAUUACUUAAGAACAUGCACCAACUUCUCAAAAUAUUCUUAAGCAAAAUAUUGGAAAUUGAAAUGUUCUUUCCCUCUUAAUUUGAUUACUGGUUCUUGCUUCAGACUCUUUAUCUCACUUUUAGAUAUUUAGAUUACAAAAUUGAAUCAAUUGUGAGUUCAAAUUAAUUGGCAAGACUUGGAUCAAAAUUAAAAAUUGACUUGAAAUAUUUGACAUACCUCUAUUAGUAAGGAUUUCCAUGGCUUAACUAACUGAGGUUGGCUCUAUCUUUAACCAAUUAGCUAACUCAAUGAUAGAUUUUUAGUGUCUUGGCAUAUCCAACAAAAACUUGAUCAAAUUCAAGGUUAAAGUGCAAUUUCAUGUACCAACUUAUCAAACAAAAUGUUUAAUACUUAAAGUUAACAAUGCAAUUAAGCUUAUCCUAAAAAUGCUUGAAAACAAGUCCUAAUAAUUUGAAUAAAACAAAUAUGGACUUUAGGCCUAUGGAGGCGUAUGGACUUUCAAAAUAGGGUAACUAGGAAAAAAAAAAAAAAGAAAAAAAAAUGAAAAAUGAAAAUCAUUAGAAAGAAUUUCAUCCCUUUAAAUCACUUAGCUAGGCAAUAUAAACUAAUGAGAGAAAGAAAAAGUGGUUUACCAAAAACCAAGAUAAAUGUUUAAUAUCUUCCAUAACGUAUCCAUUGAACAAAUUUGCAAAGGAACUCGAACCACUUGUGCAUAUGGUCAUCUUCAUCAUUUUGGGCUUCUUUGCCCAUCAACAUUAGUAUCUUUUGUAUAUAAGCCAAGAUGGACAGCAGACUUCAUCCAUGGACUAGCAUUUAGAUGAUGGAACAUCAACUAAUCCAAAUUCAUCAUCAUAGAAAUUAGCAUCAAUAUAAACAAAGUGAGGAAUUUAAGAUACUUUAUUAAAUUCCUUAAGUGAUCUUAAAAAAUAAAUGAAGAUAAUUUACCAAUGAUCUAUCAACUCAUUCUUGAGAGAAUUUGUUAAUAAUUUCAAAUACACAGAGUUAUCCAUGCUUAAAAAAAUAUAAAUUAAAAUCAAGGACAAAAAUACAAAAGAUAUUGGAACAAAGAAGUCAUUUUUUUUAAUAGUAUUCUCAUUUUGAUUCACUAUUAGCAUCUUUUCGACAGUUUCCAAAUUAAAAAUAAUAAGGUAAGAAAUUAAAUAAAAUAAAAAUUAUAAACUAAUUAAUUAUGAAAAACCAUCUUAGAAAAUUAAAAUAAAAUCUAAAAUAAGCAAAUCCAAAUUUAGUAAUUUUUAUUUUUCAUUUUAUUUUUAUUAGUUUAUAUUUAUUUUUGUUUUUAUAUAUGUAUAUUAUUAUUAUUUUUAAAGGAAGCAAAGUUGUUGCAAAUUACAAAAUUAUAAUUGUACUACUAUGAAUAAUUCAAUAUAUUAAUGUCACACUUUAUUUUGUCAAUUUUUUUUCAUAUGUUAAAUGAUUAUGUAUCUAUAGAUAAAAUCUUAAGGAUAAUAAAUGUAUUAUAUUAUAAACUAGUUUAUAUCUAAACCUCAUUAAAAGUUGUAAAAGUUUAAGAGCAAUAUGUCUUUAUUUCUUAAAAUAAAUAGGGAAAUAUACCAAGAAUGUAACUAAGGUACACAUAUGCAUGUGAGUAAUUAAAAAUAGGAAUAAUGUAAUUCACAUAUGAAAAAUGUGAUCAAAGUAUAAAAAUACAAAAAUUAUGACCGAUGUAUUAAGGUAUAAAAAAAUUCCGUUAGGAUGUAAAAAAUGUAACUAAGGUUAUAAAAAAUAUGACCAAGGUAAUAAGAUACAAAAAUUAUUAUUAGGGUAUGAGAAAUAUGACUAAGAUAAAAAAAUAAAAAAAUAAAAUGUUAUGAGGAUGCAAAGAAUAUGACCAAGGUACCAAAAAUGCAAUUAAAGUAUAAAGAAUGUAACUAAAAUAUAAAAAAUAUGAUUAAGAUAUGAAAAAUGUGAGUGAGGUAUUAUAAUGUAAAUAAUGUGACUAAUUCAUUUAUAAUUAGGCUCAAACUUGGAUAAAAGUGAGAAAAAUAAAUAUUAAUUCAUGCUUCAACCAACUUGAUUUAUAGUGUAAUUAAGAAAUUUAAGAAACAUAUAAUAAUUUUUAAAAUCUAAAUAUAAAAAUUAAUUCAAAAGUUUUGGUCCACCAAACUCAAUGAUCAUAAUAUUAGGAAUAUUUUCAACUUUUAUUAAUCAAUAUAAGCAUUCCAUUAUUGCCUUCUAUGAUAUAAUUCUUUCCUCUCAAUAACUCUUGCCAAAGUUAAGCUUUGGAUGAUUCCUAACAUUUAUAUAACCUAAAAAAAAAAAAAAACACUCCUCUUAUCCAAGAAUUGAGGAUGUCAAAUUUUCCUAAAAUUUUGGAGCAAUUGAAAGCAAACUAAUUAAAAGCAAAGGCAUGAAAAAGGAGAAAAAAAAAAAAAAAAAAAAAAAAAGAAAUAUUGCCCCUUUAAAUGAUUUGACCAUGUCUAACAGUAUAUUGAACUCCAUGUUCUUCCAAACGCCUAACAAUUUUAAAGUUGUGCAGAUGUUUCUUUCACUAAUUUUGAUACGUCUAAUAGCAAAUAAAAAGAGAGAAGGCAUACCUCACAGGAGGGUCAAGAAAAGUGUGUUGUGUCUAAAACUAGAGAUGUCCUGAUCUUUUGGGGUGUCGGUCCGCUUUUGGGUGAUCCUCUCGCCAUCACGACUUGUCUUGACAUGGAAACCAGUAUUUUCUCUCAAUAACCAUUGUAGGCAUAUAAUGAUCCUCUUUUUGAUUCAAUUCAGUUAAAUAUCAUGCAGAUGGCUUUAAGCUCCACUCCAUCAGACCUUUCACUUUCACUCGUACAUACUAUAUGCUCUCUCCUCCUAGCUCCUCACUCCUUACCAUCCCAAACCAACUGAGCUCUUUCAUAACUUAUCUCUCCAUACCAUCACACAAAACACAAUUCUACCUGAAAGAAAAUGAAAACCAGAGUUAAGUGAGUGGGUUCUUCAAUAAUUCUAAAAGAUAAAAAAAAAAAAAAAAAAAAAAAAAACCCACUUCAAAGAAAUUUUUGGUGCCAAGCUUGGUACAAAACCCAAUUCAAAGACAAGUAAUGUGAUACUAAUUAUCAAGUCCAAACAUAACCCUUAAUUUUAUGGGCAAAGAGUGACAGAUGUCGAUUACCAAGUCCACAUAUAACUCUUAAUUUUAAGGGCAAAGAGAGAGAAAGAAGUUUAAAUGAAAGAAUAUACCAAACUAGAGCAAACCAAUAUGCAAAUAUUCUAAAUUGAGAACAUCAUAGUGAGGGUAGAUUGUAGAAGCAACAUUUCAACUUAGAUGCAUCGUUUUGAAUUUUAACCUGAUGGAGAGAAAAUAAGAACUAGCAUCCUCGUAAGAUAAGAGCUUCCACAAUGCAUCAUCGUGGGAUCCUCCCUAAAAAUUGCCGCGUGGCUCCCUUUCCCUUGCGACACGUGGCACCGCCGACAUUCCACCCGGACAUCUCACAUCCGGAAUUCUUCUCCGCCGAUAUUCCACCCGAAUGUCUCACCGCCACAAUUCUGUCCGGCCAACGUUCUACCUUAUUCGGAUGUUUCACAGCCGCCAUUAUAUCCGGCCAACGUUCCACCUUCUCCGGAUGGGAGAGGAGGACGAUUCAACUUCCCCGGGCAGACAUGUCCGGAUCCUCUGGUGACACUUACCCGGACAGCUUGGCUCGUCAGAUACUCGUGAUUCGUCGGAUCCAUUUCCGCCAACAAUCAAAGAGAUAACUCUGACAAUACUGACGACCAAGUCUCCUGAACUAUCACUCACAUUUAAUGCAAGAUACAUUCGACAAGACAUUCUCAAGUUUUCUUAGGUCUCCUGACACAUCCCCGAUAUUUAAAGUCAUAAAUUGAAGCGGUGGAUGUCGCCUAAAUAUCCUCCUGACAGCUGCAAUCUUGGACCAGAAACGUCAUGAUUGCUUCAUCACCCUAUAAGCCACAAUCAUGACGAUGGGACCCGCUGGCACAACGAGGCGAUAUUUUCUGACUCAUAUAUAAACUCUAAGAAGGCUCUCAGGGAGGUAAGAGAUAAGAAAAAAAAAAACAAUAAGCAAUAUAUCAUUCUGGAGGUCAUAAGCCAAAAAAGAUAAGCAACAAAGGAUAAACAUCCUGCUGAGUGAUAAACAUCCUUGACAAAAAUCACGGAGCCACACUCCCAAAGGAAGACCUCAUUUUCCAUACAUCUUCCAAAAUACCAACUUAAUCAUCGGAGGGUGUGUCCGGACAACCCAUCCAGACAUCUUUUUUGCAGGAGGAAGAAGGAUUCACUGUAACGCGUUGAUCGAGAUCCCGUUGCUGGUGACGACUACUGUAGCAGUGGAACUUUGCCAUCAACAUUGGCGUCAUCUGUGGGAACGUCUUUUCUUCUCAGUAAAUCCUAUACCUUCCAACUGUAAAGAUGACUUCACCCUCAAGGAGUCGUUCUUCCGCCAGAGGAGACGAAGGUUACUUCGAAUGGCGAAACAUCAUGGAAAGACGAUAGCGAGAGAACGAACGGCAGACGCAAAUUCUGCUCCAAGAAACAAGGAAACUCAGGGAAGAAAACAAUGUCUUGAGGAUCCCAGGCUCUUCCCAACAUCAGCACUAUCAGCGGAGGCAGAAUCCCUACCACUACCAGGAAGCUCCAUUCCCCCUCGAGGCGAGCCCAACCCUCGAGGCGCAUCAAGCAUGGCCUGAUGAAACCCCAGUGCACGCUCACCGCGUCCGACGAAAAGAUAGUUCAGGCUCUACUCGAGUCUCGCCCAAGCGACAACGUGAAAAAAGACCCCAAAUAUCUGACGCGAUGCGCGCACGUCUGGGACCUCAAACACCCUGCAGAAACAGGCCUUACACAGCCAUAUCACUGGAGGCACACUCCGAGCCUUCAAGCUCGCCUACUCUAUAGGGACAUGUCGCCAGCCCACUCGUGGCGCGGGUUGGUAAAGAUCCCUCGCAUUCAGCCCCUCCGGGCUCUAUCAGCAGGUGCCUGGACGACAUACUCUCCACGCCUUUCAGCUCUCGUAUCAUUAAAUAUGAGCCCCCACGAGGGUUCAUCGUCCCGAAAUUCUCCACGUAUGAUGGAUCCAGCGAUCCCUUUGAUCACAUAAUGCAUUAUUGGCAGCUCAUGACCCUAGACAUAGGGAAUGAUAUGCUGUUGUGCAAAGUUUUCCUAGCCAGCCUACAAGGCCAGGCUCUUUCGUGGUUUCAUCGACUGCCCGCAAACUCGAUUGAUAAUUUCCGGGAUUUGUCCGAGGUCUUCGUGGGACAGUACUUAUGCUCAGCCAGGCAUAAACACAAUAUCAGCACCUUGCAGAACAUCAAAAUGCAAGAAAAUGAAACUCUGAGAGAGUUCGUGAAGCGUUUCGGACAAGCUGUCCUACAGGUUGAAUCGUACAGCAUGGACGCAGUCCUCUAAAUUUUUAAACGGAGCAUAUGCCCAGGGACCCCCUUCUUCGAGUCCCUCGCCAAAAAACCUCCUACAUCCAUGGACGAAUUAUUCCGGCGUGCGAGUAAAUACUCCAUGCUAGAGGAUGACAUCCGUGCCGCUACACAGCAGGUCUUGGUAGCUGGCCAGGCCGCUAAAAGCGAAGCCACCAGAAGCUUCAGAGCACCCAACCAUCCUGGGUCAUCCAACAGGGGGCAAGAUGAGCGACGUCCGUCAUUCAUUCGAACACCUCUCACCAAGUCGUAUGAAAAACUGCUUCCUAUAAUCCAUGAUCUGCCCGGCUUCAGAUGGCCAAUACCAAUAAGAUUGAACCCCUCAAAAAGGAACCACAACAAAAGAUGUGAUUACCAUAAAGAUCAUGGGCACACAACUAAAACAUGCAUAAACCUCCAUCACAUGGUAGAGGAUCUCCUAAAGGCGGGACACUUGAAGCAGUACGUCCGAACAGCGCCUAAAGGUGAAGGAUCUUCCUAUGAUCGAGGCCCACGCGCCCCAACGGCUCCUAUUAGGGCAGUGAUCAACUACAUAUACGGAGGACCCUUGGAUGACGAGUACAGUUCCAAAAGGAAAAGGCAGAGACUGCUACGAGCAGCCACGGUUCGGGAACACGUGAGCCCCAUCCGGCCGGGAUUAUCCAGUGGGAGCAUCCAUCCUAUAGAUGGAACCAUUCUCUUCCUCGCUGUAAAUCCCGCCCGAGUGCUGCAGCCGCAUCGAGAUGCUCUCAUCCUAACAUUAGGGGUGGGAGACUACGCCGUGAAAAGAAUCCUGGUCGACCCAGGCAGCUCCGCGGACCUGUUGCAGGUGGCGGUCAUCAAACAAAUGGAUUUCGAACUCUCCAACUUGGAGAAUCCCGGAAGAACCCUGUCCGAAUUCAACAAUUCUUCCACAACCUCACUUGGGGAUGUAACACUGCCGGUUCAAGCCGGGCCAGUCAUCCUAAAUGUUCUAUUCUCUGUGGUUGAGGAUUUAUCUCCUUUCAAUGCCAUUUUGGGACGCAUGUGGUUGCAUGGUAUGAAGGCCAUUCCAUCCACAUACCAUCAAAUGGUCAGCUUCAUCACCCCAAGAUGGACAAAUUAAUCUUUACGGAAGCCAACUCGCUGCCAGGCAAUGUUAUCAGAUCGCUCGCGAGGCCGGGACCAGCGCCGACCGCGAGCACUCCCCCAAAGAAGCAAAUGCUUCUGACCAAUAGCAACUAUAGCACCCGGCGGACAAAGAUCCCCCGGCAGCAGACCCGCUGGAGGCUGUCCGGAUAUCAAAAGGAUGUGAACGCUUCACGUAUGUUAGUACCCUCCUACCGCCAGCCGAGAGAUUCGAGCUCCAAAAGGUGCUCCAACAAAAUUGCGAUAUCUUUGCUUGGGCCCACUCGGACAUGUCCGGAAUACUUCCGAGCGUCGCCUCUCAUCGGCUCAACGUAUUAGCCACCUCCAAGCCCGUUUGACAAAAAAUUCAACGAUUCCACCCGGACAGGCAGAAAGUCAUUCGGGAAGAAAUGGAAAAAUUAUUGAAGGCCGGUUUUAUAAAGGAGGUGGAGUAUCCGGAAUGGUUGGCAAACGUAGUAGUGGUCCCUAAGAAGGGAGGAAAAUGGCGGGUGUGCGUAGGCUACACCAAUCUCAAUGACGCGUGCCCCAAAGACAGUUUUCCACUACCGCGAAUAAAUCAGAUAGUAGAUGCAACCUUCGGGCAUGAAAUGCUAUCCUUUUUGGAUGCUUUCUCCGGGUAUCACCAAAUUCCCAUGGCUCCGGAAGACGAAGAAAAAACUUUCUUCAUAACUCCUCACGGGCUCUACUGUUAUAGAGUCAUGUCAUUCGGACUCAAGAACACUGGGGCCACGUACCAGAGGUUAAUGACCAAGAUUUUUAAGUCGCUGAUUGGCGACAUUAUUGAGGUGUACAUUGACGACGUGGUAGUCAAAAGCAAAACCCGAAGUGAACACACCUAGCAUUUGCAGAAAGUUUUUCAUUUAUUGAGAAAAUAUGGCAUGAAGCUUAACCCAGCCAAAUGCGCAUUCAGGGUAAGCUCGGGGAAGUUCCUAGGGUUCAUGGUUACCCAAAGAGGAAUCGAAAUCAAUCCAGAUCAGGUGAAAGCGGUCGCUGACAUGCUUGCACCAACGAACAAGAAGCAGUUGUAACGCCUCACUGGCAAACUCGUCGCUCUCGGACGGUUCAUAGCUCGAUUCACAGACAAGAUGAAGCCUUUCUUUCUAGCACUCAGAGAUGUCAAUAAAUCUGGAUGGACGCAAGGCUGCCAGAAUGCUUUUGAAGAAAUCAAACGGUAUCUUUCUCAACCCCCCAUUCUAAGCAGUCCGCUACUUGGGGAAAGACUAUACCUGUAUCUAGCAGUUACCGAUUGGGCUGUUAGCGCGGUCUUGCUCCGUUCCUUGUCGCCCCGAGAACAAAAACCCGUAUAAUUCAUUAGCAAAGCGCUUGCCGACGCAGAGACAAGGUAUUCAAGGAUGGAACAGACUGCCUUGGCAUUGCGCACGGCCGCUCAAAAACUGCGUCCCUAUUUCCAAGCUCACCCCAUAACAGUACUCACCAAUCAACCCCUCAGAAACAUUCACCAUAAACCGGACAUAACGGGAAGGAUGCUAUGAUGGGCGAUAGAGCUGAGCGAAUAUGGGAUAGAUUAUCAGCCCAGACUAUCCCUGAAGGGACAGGUCAUGGCAGAUUUUAUAACAGAGUUGCCUGAAGAGCGCGCGCCGGACAAAAAAUCGACUCCGGAUGAUGGGUGGUCUCUGCAUGUUGAUGGGGCCUCCCGCUCGUCCGGAUCAGGAGUCGGACUCCUCCUCAAAGCACCAACCAGAGAACAGCUGGAGCAAUCCAUCCGUCUAGAUUUUCCCGCCUCAAACAAUGAAGCUGAAUACGAGGCCAUCCUAUCCGGAUUGGGCCUUGCAUCCACCCUGAACGCCUCAAAAGUCAAAAUCCACAGCGACUCCCAGCUCGUCGUGGAGCAAAUACGAAAAGAGUAUGAGACCAAGGAUGAGCGCAUGGCUAAAUAUGUCAUGACCCAAAUUCCGGGCGACCCAAAAUUUGGCCCGUGACCCCUGGUCAAAGGUUUGACCCUAAGGGUUUCUCCUAUUCCACGUUGGCAGUCAACUAAAACACUCUGAAUUUUUUUUUAUUUUUUAUUUUUUAUUUCAUAUAAGUCCCACUAGGGUUCUCACCAACUAACAAUAUUUUAAACCUUACUUAAACACAUCAAGAUUUAAUAAACCUCAUUGCAUCCCAAAAUAAAAUUUCAUAAAAAUCCCCUUAAUCAAACUAAGGUCUUAUUACAUUAUCCAUAAUUCACUUAUUACAAGGUCUCAAUACCACAACACAAUAAAAAAAUAAAACCUUUCCACUAAACCGCUCCAGGGGCAUCCUAAAGUCCUCCCUGUCCCAUCUGUGGAUCCUCAGGAGUGAUAUCUGCAUCUAAAAAUAUAUAAAAAGGAAGGGGUGAGCAUUUCCACAUUACUCAGUAGGGUGCCUAACACCCAAAGGGUUAAUGGGGGAUUACUAUAUUUUAAGAACCCAAACGCAACAAUUCACCAAUAUAAAUCAAGUCACACAAUUUAACAUACAACACUAUACUUAAUUCCACAACAUCCACUUAUUAAAUGAAUGCAUAUAAACGUGUGACACACAAUCAUACAAUGCACUAUCGUUCUCGGGCUUUCACCGAAGGAUACGCGUCCGCACCCAAAUAUACUCCCCAUUUGGAGUCUUCUCGAGGUAAACUUUUGGGUCUUUCACCCUAGGGAUCUCUCUCCCUUCUUAGUUCGCCUCACACGGGCUUUCACUUUUCAUCACUAUUUUAUUUUUUUUUCCAUUUCAUACACUUUUCACAAAUUUUUUUUUCUUCAUACAACCAUGAUGCAAAUGAAUGCUACAAACUCCAAAAUUCCUCAAAAAUUUCAACAAUUCCAACAUUUUCAAUAACCCAAUAAAAUAAAAUUUUCACAUUAAAAUUCCCGAAAAUAUACCAACGAAUUUUCGGAAAUUCACACAUCAAUAUACUUGAAUUUAUGUCACAAUUUCAGAAUUUUUCAAUAAUUCUAAUAAUUCCUAAUAUUUGAGAAUAACUAAUUUUUCACAAUAAAAUUACCGCAAAUAUUCCAAUCAAUUUUCAAAAAUUCAUAAGUCACUAGAUUUGAAAUCUUACCCUAAUUCCGGAAUUUUCCUACAUUUCUAGCAAUUUUUAACAACCUAAAAUAAUUAUUUAUUAAUUACAAAGAAUUCCGGAAAUUACAAAAAAAAUCCAGAAAAAAUCCCAAAUCAUUCCAGAAAAUUCACACAACAUCAAAAUUACCUAAUUAACUCAUAAUUAUCAGAUUUAUAAUUUUUUUCCAAUGAAAAAUACAUUAAAUUUGAGUUUUAGGGUUAGUUUUCCCCUACCUCAUAUAUGAAAAUUUGGCCAUUAAAAACAAAAUUAGCCACCGUAGACUUGUUCCUCUAGUCGAAUAGAGCACUUCCUCCGAAUUUGGGCCGAAACGGAGGUCGCUUGGCCGUCCAAACGGCCGGUCAAAGAUCCGGAGAGUGACCAAAUUUUCUGCAGUACUCUCUCUCUCUCUCUCUCCCCGCGUGCUACCAGUUUUCCAAUUCUCCCCCUUUUCCUUUUUUUUUUUUUUAACAACAAAGGCUUCCUACCACCAGCCCAUAUCUAAGCCCAAUCCAUUUCAUAUCUUUUUUUUUUUUUUUAAGACAUCACCCACUUAAGCCCAAAACCAAAAGCCCAACUCCAUUAUUAUUAUUAUUAUUUUCUUUUACAACCCAUUACCUUAAACGGCCAAUAUUCAAAGCCCAAUGAAUAUUUUUAUUUUAUUUCUUUUCUUUUCUUUUCUUUUCUUUAUUCUAAUUGUUUUAUUGGAUUUCCAAUUCAGUUUUUUUUUUCAUUUUUUUUAACACACAAUUUAUUUAUUAACAUCAAUCUAAAACUAAUUUUUCUCAAUUUUAUUAUUCAUCAAUUUAAUUUAAUUUUUCUUAAUUAAUUCUAAUUAAUUUUUUUUAAUUAAUUCAUUUUUUUUAAAAUUUUUCGGAAAAUUUCAAUUUCUAAAAUCCUAAGAAAUUUUCUACUCUAAGGCUGACAUGGCAUAAAAUUUCAACUCGUUUAAUUGACCGACACAAUAAAACGAAAUUCACCAAUCCGAAAUUAACACGUGUUCUCCAAACACUUUUCUUUUUGACUUUUCAACCAUCACACAAAAUAAGACUUUUCAAACUAAAAAUGCUAACGUGGCAUAAAAUACCCGGUCAUUACAAAAUACCUAUUGAAAGUACAAGAAUCACUCAGACAGCUGAGAGAGUGGGUCAUUAAGAAAGUCCCAAGGGGAGAAAAUGUGCAAGCCGACGCUUUAGCGGGUAUAGCCUCAUCAUUUCCUGUGAAAGAAUCAACGAUGCUACCCGUAUACGUUCAAGUCACUCCCUCCAUCGCUGAGUCACACGUUUGCAAUGUGGGCCCAAAAGAAAACGACUGGGCGGUUGACAUCAGAGCCUAUUUACAAGCGGGGGCAUUGCCUGAAGAUCCCAAGCUCGCCCACAAAAUUUGGGUGCAAGCGUUCCGCUUUACCCUAAUCGGAGGUGAUCUCUACAGGCGAUCCUUCGGAGGUCCGUACCUCAGAUGCUUGAUCCAGCCGGAAAUCCAAUAUGUUCUAUCCGAACUUCAUGAAGGCGUUUGCGGCAACCACUCAGGGGGCAGAACCCUGGCACACCGGGCGCAUUCACAAGGAUAUUAUUGGCCUACAAUGAGGCAGGACGCAGAGAUCUAUGUCAGGAAAUGCGACAAAUGUCAAAAACACGCGCCAUCCCACAUAUGCCCGCUGAGACAUUAAACUCAAUGACAAGCCCCUGGCCCUUCGUGCAAUGGGGGAGGGACAUCGUGGGACCCUUACCCACUGCAGCCGCUCAGAAGAAGUUCCUACUCGUUGCCACCGAUUAUUUCAGCAAGUGGGUGGAAGUUGAAGCCUACACAAGCAUCAAGGACAAGGACGUCACAAGGUUCGUCUGGAAAAAUAUAGUAUGUCGAUUCGGAAUCCUUCAGGCGAUCAUGGCCGAUAACGGCCCUCAGUUUGAUAGCUCUGCCUUUAAAGAUUUCUACGCGGAACUUCACAUCAAAAAUCUGUAUUCCACGCCGCAGUACCCUCAGAGCAACGGUCAAGCGGAAGCAACCAAUAAAACCUUACUGAGUGCGUUGAAAAAACGAUUGGAAAAAGCCAAAGGAAAGUGGGUAGAAGAGCUGCCCGACGUCUUAUGGGCUUAUCGAACUACACCCGGAAGGCCGACAGGGAAUACCCCAUUCGCUCUCACAUACGGAACAGAUGCCGUCAUCCCAACUGAAGUAGAUAUGCCCACAGCCCGGACUGCCGUCCAAGGUAAAAGAAAUGAAGAUGAAAAGCUUGCAAAGCACUUGGAUUGGACGGAUGAGACUAGAGAGGCAGCAUCCAUCCGGAUGGCCGCAUAUCAACAAAAGGUGGCUGCAUAUUAUAACAGGAGGGUGCGACCUCGGAUUUUCAAGGAGGGGUCAUUGGUACUUAGAAAAGUUUUUGAAAACACGGCUGACGAAGGAGCCGGAAAAUUUCAAGCCAAUUGGGAAGGUCCUUAUGUGGUGUCAAAAGCCAACGAAAAUGGGUCGUACCAUUUACAAACCUUAAAUGGAACCCCUCUACUCCGCCCUUGGAAUGAAAGAGAAAUUUUGUAAAGGUAACAUUUUUAUCCCGUCUUUUCUGACUGUGCUAGACAGGCGAUAUAAAAGGGGGCAUUGUGGGAUCCUCCCUAAAAACUGCCGCGUGGCUCCCUCUCCCUUGCGACAUGUGGCACCGCCGACAUUCCACCCGGACAUCUCACAUCCGGAAUUCUUCUCCGCCGACAUUCCACCCGGAUGUCUCACCGCCGCAAUUCUAUCCGGCCAACGUUCUACCUUAUCCGGAUGUUUCACAGCCUCCAUUAUAUCCGGCCGACGUUCCACCUUCUCCGGAUGGGAGAGGAGGACGAUUCAACUUCCCCGGGCAGACAUGUUCGGAUCCUUUGGUGACACUUACUCGGACAGCUUGGCUCGUCAGAUACUCGUGAUUCGUCGGAUCCAUUUCCGCCCACAAUCAAAGAGAUAACUCUGACAAUACUGACGACCAAGUCUCCUGAACUAUCACUCACAUUUAAUGCAAGAUACAUUCGACAAGACAUUCCCAAGUCUUCUCAGGUCUCCUGAUACAUCCCCGAUAUUUAAAGUCAUAAAUUGAGGCGGAGGAUGCCACCUAAAUAUCCUCCUGACAACCGCAAUCUUGGACCAGAAACGUCAUGAUUGCUUCGCCACCCUAUGAGCCACAAUCAUGACGAUGAAACCCACUGGCACAGCGAGGCGAUAUUUUCUGACUCAUAUAUAAACUCUAAGAAGGCUCUCAGGGAGGUAAAAGAUAAGAAGAAAAAAAAAAAAGCAAUAAGCAAUAUAGCAUUCUGGAGGCCAUAAGCCAAAAAAGAUAAGCAACAAAGGAUAAACAUCCUACUGAGGGAUAAACAUCCUUGACAAAAAUCACGGAGCCACACUCCCAAAGGAAAACCUUAUUUUCCAAACAGCUUCCAAAAUACUAACUUAAUCAUCGGAAGGUGUGUCCGGACAACCCAUCCGGACAUCUUUUUUGCAGGAGGAAGAAGGAUUCACUGUAACGCGUUGAUCGAGAUCCCGUUGCUGGUGACGACUAUUGUAGCAGUGGAACUUUGCCAUCAACAAUCACUACUAAAAAGAUUGAUUAAAAUAAGAGAAUUAUUAGAAAUUGUAAAAAAGGAUAACAAAAUUUGUAUACCUCAAUUUGAGAAUGCUUCACCCUCCCCCUAAAGCCAUUUAGAUGAAUAUUAUUCAAUAUAAUGCAGUAGUGUACUCUCAAGCAUGCUAAAAUGUAAGGAUCGAACAAAAAAAACAGAGUAUAAUAAUACUCAAAGUACUUUCUGAAUCAAAAAAUAACUCAUCAGGGUUUGAGAAUUCUUAUUACCUUUACAGAUUGGCAAAUCAUAAGGCCUUUGCAAACCGAAGGUACUAGAAGACUUACUAGGUUUUUUUAAGAGGCGUGAUGAGCUUGGAAAGCUAACCACUGAUGUACAAUACUAAGCUUAAGCAAGAGAGAAACUAUUAUUGACAUGAAAUUGAGAAAUGGUAAAUUAUCAGCUUUAGCACUAGAAUUUAUCUUUUGAUUGAUCAUGAGAAUUAAUAAAGUUUAGGACAAUCUUUUUUGUGAUUAAAUUGUAACACAAGAAAAUCUAGAUGUAGACACAUUCAUGAUUUUACUUAAUUGGCUAACAAAACCUCAAGGUCCUCUCCAAAUUAAAAGAAUUCAAUUUUUAUUGAUGUCUUAUUUUUGUAAAUGCAUUCAAACAUAGUGGUAUGGUUUUAACUUUUAUUCACUUUAUUUAAAUAUUAUUUACAUAUUGGGUAAUUAAUUAAUGCUUUUUCAUAAUAACAUGAUUAACCCUAUGGACAUAGAAGAAAAGAAGUUAUAAUAUAUAUAUAUGUAUAUAUCAAUUUUAUAAAAAUUUGCAUAAUGAGUAUAUUACAAAUAAUCAAGAAUAUUUUGAAUCACACUUGAAAUCAUAUUUAAUUCAUACUUAAAUCAUGUCUAAAAAAUUUGAAAUAUGUAUAUAAACAAACAAACAUAUAUACAUCUAUUAUUGUUAACUUGUGAAUGAGAAAUGGAUUCAAAAAAGUAUAAAUUUAGCAAAAUCAAUACCAUAAUUUUAUCUUCAACUCAUUGCAUUGGGUCAAGAUGAAUUCCUCUACUAAAACAUUUGAAAGGAAAAUUUUGCAGUUGAGAUGUUCGUCUUCUCUUGAAUUUGAUAGUUUAUUCUUAAGUUAAGAUUCCUCCUUCCCUUUAUAAAAUUAAGUGGAGUGUGACUAUAAAUUGAUUAAGAGUUUAAUCAAAAUUGAAAAUUUACUUGAAACAUCUUACUUGCCUCAAUGCAUAAGGAUGCAUGCGUGACCAAUUGAGUUUGGGCCUUCAAGUCAUUUGAGCUGUUCACCUUCAAUUGCUUGAGCUUGAUAUAUUCCUUCUAGACAUCAACUAUACCCACGACUAAUGCAUUACAUUAUUUAAUUUUCUGUUUUAAAUUGGUUUAAUAGAAUAACUAAUGCUUUAGAAAUGAUAACUUUUAAACUAAAAAAAAUCAAUCCAAACAACUUUGGUUCAUGAAAUCAAUAUCAUAAUUUAAUUUUUAACUCAUUUGGAACACCUAAGAACCUAGAACAACCUCUCAAAAUAUUCUAAAGCAAAAUAUUUGAAAUUGAAAUGUUCUUCCCCGCCUAAUUUGAUUACUCAUUCUUACUUUGAGACUCUUAUCUCCUUUUGAGACCAAGAAAUAUAGAGUACAAAAUUGAAUAAAAUGCGAGUUCAAAUAGGUAAGACUUUAAUCACAAUUCAAAAUUGACUUGAAAUAUUUUAUUUAGUUAGAACUUCCAUGACUUAACCAUUCAAGUUCAAGGCUAAUGUGUAAUUUCCUCUAUAACUUAUUUAACUCAAUGUUUAGUAUUUUGAAAUUAACAAUGCAAUCAAGCUGAACCUAAAAAUACCCAAAAACAAGUCCUAAUAGAUGUGAUUUUUUUUAAUAAAACAAAAUUCGGAUUUUAGACUUAAUGGAGGCCUUGGACUUUCAAAAUAGGGUAGCUAGGAAAAAAAAUAAGAGAAGAAAAAGUAAUGAAAAUCAUUGGAAAGAAUUUAAGCCCGUUAAAUCACUUAGCAAGAGCUUACCAAAAGAGAGGUGGCUUACCAAAAGCUUGAGAUGAAUGUUUAGCAUCUUCUACAGCAUAUCCAUUGAACAAAUUUGCAAAUUAAGAAGCUCCAUUCACUUGUGCAUUUGGUCCUCUUCAUCAUCUUGGGCAUCAACAACAUUAUCAUUAAUAUUUUGUGUUAUUGUAUCCAUUGGAGAAUGGUUGUUGCCCAUACAUUGUAUGUCGUCACAGCUUCUCUGUGCAUUAACAUCAGCAUCAAGUACUGAUUUGGUGCCACAGCUUCUCUGCACAUCAAGGUACCGUGUCUUUGCUGCAUGCUGCAUGAUUGUACUUGAUGCCUUUUAUAUUGGUAUCGUGGGAGGUGGCAAAACAAACUGCCUCUCCAAGGAGGUAUCCUCUGACAUUAUGAAAGAAAGAGAGGGUGAUGGAGAAAUCUUCCCAUAAAGACAAAUGUAGUGUAUAGUUGUGCAAGCUUUAACAGAAUCUUCUGGUCUCGCAGCCCAACAUUGAUCUUCAACCAAUUGGCGAUCUCAACAAGCCUUGAAAACUUACCCAUCAUCUUUCACAUGCUCUCCUGAUAGAUUGGCUGCCUCUGUCAAUGCACCCCUCCACCUUUGCACCAUCUCUUUCUUCUCUUUUGUAUCUUCUUUAUAAUUCUUAAAGGCUUCUCCAAAACUUCCUGUUUGCUUUCGUACAUGGGAUGGACCAACAUGGUAGAAAAUUGAGAGGACGAUUUGUCCCAUUUCUUUCCUGCACUCCAUGAUCUUAACAAGCUCAUUUAAACACCAUCUUGAAUCAGCAUAGUUUUUAGAGAAAACGAUUACGGAAAACCUUGAUCUUUCAAUGACUUUGAAGAGUUCUGACCCAAUCUCUUCUCCUCUCUUAAGUUUAUCAUCUCUGAAGGUGCGAUUGCCUCUCUUAAGCAAAGCUUGGUAGAGGUGAUCAGUGAAAUUAUAGCGGGUGUCUUCGCCUCCAAAACUCAAGAAAACAUCAUAGUUCUUUUGAGGGAUGGAAUUAGUAGUAGUCGUAGCAGAGGAAGAAGAAGAAGAUGAAGAUGAAGAUGAUGAUGAAAAGGGUAUUAGAAAACUUAGGAACGCAAUUAUGGAAGCUAUUAGGGAAUUUAUGAAAGGCAUGGUUGGUUUUUGUUUCAAAAUCACAAGAGGGUGUGAGGCUUGAUUUCUCUUGUGACUUGAGGAUAUGUAGCAAGCAAACUUUGCUUAAUACAUAAACUGUUUCUUAGUAAAAAGCUGGGGAGGUAAUUAAGUGGCUUCCACUGACCUUCCUAAGCAACUUCAAUAUUUGUAGUUUGGUAGAUAGGAAAGAAGGACAGCAUUCCCAGUGCCGAAAGAAAGAGAUUCUCUCAUUCUUACAUUUGCUUUUCUUUUAUCACUUUUUGCUUUUGUUUUGUUGUCUCACAGGUAGGCCAUUCAAUUCAAUGAUCAGCAUUUGGUUCUUGCACUUUUCAGUGUAUUCUUCAAGCCAUGAAUGGAAUUGAAAGGUAACUGUCAAUUUUUUAAUGUACGGCUUCACGUUCUCUUUUUUACUUUUGCUUUUGUCAUCAUUACUGCAAUGCCAUUUUUCUUCAAUUUUCCCUGUUGCCUUUCUCUUUUAUUAUCAUUCAGUUCUCUUUGAACGAGCUGAGCGGGGCCAGCGGGCAAAGAAAAGACUUCUGUAUACCUUGCGUCUGUUUUUCUUGCCACUUUUUCACUUUUCUUCUGUUUUCAUUUGGGUGUUGCAUGCACUCAACUUCCCUUUUAAAAAAUAAAAAUAUUUUACUCUUACUAAAUAAUAAAAAUAAUUUGUUGAUUUUUAUUUAUUUCUUAAUAUUUAAUAAAAAUAAAAUAUUAAAAAAAUACGUAACUUAAUACUUGACACUAUUAAAUAUUAUUUAGUUUUAACUUAUAUUUAAAAUUAAAUAAAGAAAACAAAUAUCAUCUAAGACCUUUUUUUUAAACAUUUCAAUAAUUUAUCUAACCAAAAGUGAAGAAAACUUGUGUUCCUAGAUUAUCUGUAAUUUAUCUAACCAACAGCCCCAGCCAAAAAUAAAAAUAAAUGCAACCAUAUCAUAUUGUUGCAAUUGAAGUUGACCGCCACAAAGCUGGAGCAAACAUAGUAUAUGGUUGCGGCUAGUGUUAUUUCCCCUAUUAUAGUUUGAAAGACAAGGCAGCAGCCAAAAGGAGGGUGCAACUGAAGCUUCCGGAUAUAGUUGUGGCAGUUUAAUUCCCUCCACCAAAAGGUAUAUAAAGCAAUAUAGCACCUGUUUUCCGCUGCUGUAAGCAUCUUAUGGUCAAACAUUAAAUGGUGGCUGUAGAGUUCCACAAGUUACUUUGUGGUUUUUUUAUAUAAAAUGUCUGUGCAGAUAUGCAGACUUAGUUUCAGUGUACCGCCAUCUCACUUCACAGGUUACAAACCGGCUAUUAUAAUAAGUUUUUCAGAAUUUAAGCACAAUGAACAAUACAACAUAUCAACAACUAAAGUUGAUUGACUCUGCUAUUUUGGGUCAUUGACUGUCCUUGAGAGUUCAAGUUGUCAUGUUUGUACUUGCUUUGCAUUACUAUUGCAACAAUUACAUACUACAGUUGAAACCAACAUCAAUGAGACUUGACGUUUACAAAUUAAAUUUUCCCAGCUAGAAGGUGGGGUCUCACUUUCCUCACCAAGCCCUGAACUUCAACAGCAUCUGGAAACAUGCAUUCAAUGCGGAUGCCAUAGUGUUUCUUAACAGUAUCCAAGAAUUGAUAUGUUUCCAGGUUGAACCUUCCGGUGUUCAAGUUGAACACCUUUAAUGGACAAUUCAGCAGCAUCUUCAGCACCACUGCCAAAAAAACAGGAAAGCAAAUAUUUUUUUCAGUACACAGCUUUGAUUCUGAUUCCACUAGUAAAGAUGAUGCAGAAUAUCACACAUGGAUUGAUCAAUGACAGAUACAGGAGUAGCAGAUAGAGAUAAAAGAAACACAAUAUAAAGUACUUAAUUCCAUUCUGGUGGAAAUCCCAGUUUUUCAAUUGAAAAUGGAGUACCAGUACUGGAUUAAUCAGGUGUUCUGUUUUGAAACAAUUGUCAGAUAACCAUAUAUAGAGCUUCAAAUGUUGCAUAUUGCAUACAACUUCAUGAUUCUGCACAUCCCAAUAAAAGUUCCUACGAGAUCCAGUAUAAAAGUAUAAACCUAACUCCCCAAAUCAGUAAUGCUGGCAUUAAAAUGCUAGCACUAAACUAAUGGCUACAGUCAACUUGUUGCACACUUUUUCAAGAAUGAGUCAAAACACAGUAACGUUAAUGGAUAUGAUGAUCUGUUGACAAGAGAACACCAUUCCAACAAGAUAUCUCAUGUGUUUUCUAAAACCAGAUAAGGUUUAGAAACAGUUACAAUAGCAUGCAAGCAUGUCUGCAAAAUCGUAACUCCACAGAUCUAUUAGAAUAUGUAACACAAAUUUCAUCUACCUCAUACCUGCUUUUACAAAAUCUGUAUGUUUAUACUGAGCUUUUCCUUUAACAUCCUCCUCUGUUACAGAAUGUACAUGAACACAAAACUCAAAUCAAUGUCCUCUAUAGUCAAUUGGUACUCCUUAUCUUCUGCUCCAACUAUUAUCACUGGACUGUUCCAUCCUCUUCUUAACCAACUGAAAGACAUAAAUAGAAAAGCUAUGUUAUUUUUUAAUUUCAACAACAGUAAAAUCACUGCUUUGAAAAACCUCACAGUGAUGUAGAACAGCUGGAAACAGGUUCCAAAUUUUAAUAGGAUUUAAUGAUUUUAACUGUAGGGAUUGGAACAUCUUGACCACUCCCUUUUCAGCCCACAUCUUCCACUCCCUCCCUAUUUCUCCUCAUAAUUCAUUGAGGGUUCAAUUUCCUUUAACUCUAUUUUUGUCUUCUCGCCUAAGCAUACAUUCCUGAGAUGCCAAAGAUAACUCCCUCCUUGUCAACUGCAAAGAGGAGUUGCAUGGCCUCUUCACUUCGCAACACCUUCUCCUGGAGUCCCACCACACUCCAGACAUUCAUGGACAUUGGCACUUAACUGCCAAAAUCAUGAAAAUCUAUGAUUGCCCCUAACAUUAUAUGAAAACUAGUUGCAUAUUAUGUCAGAAAAAUUCAAACCCCCAGCCCAUAUGCUAUGGCCCUCAACUUUGCCAAAGAAAUAGGCGUUAUUUUCCAAUGGUGUUAAUCCCCAUAACUGGAAUGCAAAUUGGAUUCUACUUGUUUGUUCCAAAGGUAUAAACUAACACAUCCCAGGCAAGCUGACCUUGUAGCUAACCAACUUUUUGUAGGUAUUCAGAAAAUGCUACUUGAACAAUGAUGCAGGUGUGAUCGAUUUACAUUUACAUAUUUGAAUCAUCAAAAAAAGAAGCUGAGCAGCACAUAGGAAGUUCAUUUAACAAUAUAUUCAUUAUUUAUAACCAGCGGCUUAAAUUAUGAACAUUCAGUGAAAAUUACCUGUAAACCCAUUCAUUAUCAUACCAAGAGACCAACUUGAUAAAGUUGUCAUUCAGAGCAAUUCCAGCCUUGGCAUAAAAAAUACUCGACCUGCCAAAGGGCAAGUGAUUAUACAAUUCACUUGCAAAAUAAGAAAAGUAUUGAAGACGAGGAAGAAUAAAGAUAUUGCAAGAUUUGCCUCACCUGCGGUCCCCGAUAAAGUCACUUGAUACCACAUCAUCCUUAGUGUAACCAAGGAUUUCCUUCAAAUUUCCCUCAUAUUCCGCCCUGAAAGAGAAUCAGAUGGUUAAAUUAAUAAGAAUAUCUCGAGUUAUUCUUUUUCAUCCUCUUUUCUUGCAAAUCAGAAGGUGCAACCAGCCAAGAAAAAGAAAUAAAUAAAUCCAAAUCAGAAUAUGAUAGAAAUUCAAAAAGAAAAAAAAUUCCUUCUAGAUCCAUUUGUAUAUAUGAAAAAACUCUCACAAACACAAACAUAUAUAUUAGUCAUAUUAUUGUGGAACUAACUAUAAGUAAUGCUAAUAAACAUUGAAGAGUAGUUAUGGAGCAACAAAAUUUACUCUAGCAGCAACUUUCAAGAAGAAACCAUCCUCAAAAUCGGUGGCAUAUAUUGAAAGGUUGAGGCCUUAACUCAAGAGUAGAUAUGAAUGGAGAGAGAGAUUUGGAUGAACUACAACAACAGAAUGGAAAACAUAAGAACAAGAUGUAAGUUUGAAUUCAAGAAUGGUCUAAAAGUUAUCUCUUGUUCCGAUUUAUAGAAACUUACAGUACACUGUCCAAGAAUAAUUCUUGAAACAUUGCUUAGUUUAAGUUGUUUCACUUUUUUGCCAGAGUACCAUAUCGACAUAGAUUCAUCCUGAAACAUGACCUAGGAACACAAAUAUAUGGGAACAGAGGAUGAAAGAAUCAAGAGGAAACAUACCUGUAACUUGCUCCUCCUGUAAGAGCAAAUUGCAACUGAUAGAUGCAGCUUCUCCAAGAUAAACUGCACACAAUAAAUACCCAGAAGCACAUCUUCUCAAAAAUGAAAAAUUUUCAACACCUAUAAAUGAAUGGAUUUGAAUUAGACCUAAAAGGUAAAUAAAUCCUUUGGUUCCAAAAUAGAAGCCAUAGGAUAGAACAUAAUUCCUACAAAAUUGGGGCAAAAAAUAGAAAAACCAUAUAAACCUACCAGUGUCACUAGGUCCCAAGGGUUUUACGGGCCUAAAAUGAUUCAGGCCUAUCUAUUCUCCACCAUCUAGAAUCUGUAAAUCAGGGGUUACCUAAGCACAGGAAUGAGUUAAAGAUCCUUGAGAAAUGAAUUUUCAUAUGGAGAAGUCUUUUCGUCUAAAAUACAACGAUAUCCAAGUAGGUGGAUGAUCUUCAUACCUUUCCUGUCUAAAACACCAGUAAAGCCUUUUGGGGCACCCUCAGGUGGAAUUUUCAUACCUACAUUUAGGGCUUCAAAUUACACCAACAACAUCUUUGAGAAAUCAUCAAACUUAAGAGAUUAUCUCAAUCCAUAAGAAAGGAAGAAAAAUCAGCUAGAAAACCUCCAAAUCGAAACUUCUACAGUAAUGAGUGGACAAAAAAAUGGAGAAGUCAUACCUGAAAAGCCACCAAAUCCUCUGGUAACUUGAAACCCUAGCAAUUCAAAACCCUAGAGAAAACCAUAAGGUAGAAAAUAAUAGAGUGAAAUCGAAAAAAUAAAAAAUAAAACAAAGUGGCAAUGUUGAAAGAAAAAAAUACCAAGCCGCAUCCCACAAUGCCUGAAGAAUCAUCCAGCUAUUACAAGAGAAAAAAAAAAAAACAAUGAGUUCGGUACCGACAAUGAUGAAAGAGGAAAUGGGUUUGGCAAUCAAAGGUGAACGGGAGAGAAGUGGGUUUGGCAACGAGGGCAAGCAGGAGAGAAAUGUUGCAAUUUAUAUAUGGGUUUUAUGGUAGCGGUCUGGUGGCGUCCUGGGCCAUAUAUGGUAGCGGCCAAUUUUAUCCCACAGCUAUAGGAUGUUUAUAGCAGCAUCCAAUUAAUCCUGCAAACUAUAUGUCUGGUGGGAACCACUCUGCAACUGCGACUUGCGUAGCUGUGAGAUUAUAUAUAUACUUUUUAGUUGCGGAUGUUGUCGACCCUUCCUAAAAUUACGCGACUAUAUCUCACUUUUUUAGUAGUGUGAUUAAUGUCUCCCCACAUUUCCAGAGAUUACCUUAAUCUCCCACAUGGUUUUCAAUACAGAAAAGAAGAAAAUCAGAGGUUUGAGAGAGAAUUGCAUGUCAAGGAAGUAUUUAAUUGUAUUGAAAAAAAUCUUUUAGCUUAUGCAGAACCAAGAUAAGCUGCCAUGAAUAUACCCCUAACAAUGUGACCAAGAUACGAGCACCACUGCAACCUAUUGGAUGUCCCAAAGAUAUAGAUCCACCAUGAACAUUGACCUUUUCCUGAAUCCACAAAAGAGCACAUGCUUAUAGAGGCAGAAAUAUGAAAAUGCUCAGGAAAAUAAAAUUGUACAAAACUGAAGUAAACAAAUUCAAUGUAUAGUAAGUCACUAUAGGUUAAAAAAAAAAAAAGUUGAGACGGUGAACCAAAACACUCACAGGAUCAAGACCGCAACUUUUAAUUAGCAAGAGCUACAACCUGCAGAAAGCAAAUGAGAUCAUAAAAUUAGCAUAAACUGUUACUUGAUAAAAGAGAUGGUAGAAGUAUAACAAGCACAAGAAUAAAUCCUUACGGCGAAAGCCUUGUUUAUUUCAUAGUAAUCAAUUUGAGAAGCCUUCAGGCCAGCAUUAGAAAUAGCUUUUGGAAUUGCAAGGGCUGGGGUAGUUGUAAACAACUCAGGUGCCUGCCCAAGCCAAUCAUGUUUUAGUAUCAAGUCAUCUGUGGUCAUAUCAAGAUCGAGACAAAUAUAAGUUAACUUUUUAACAGUACCUGAGCAGCAUCACCAUAUCCUGCAAUCUUAGCAAUCACUUGGACUCUAAGCUCAACUGCCUUCUUACCAGUCACUAGCACUAAUGCAGCCGCACCAUCACUGUCCACAAGCGAAUAGCACCAACUUACAGUGAAAUGAUUGGCAACACCUCAUGGGUUGACAUGCUUGGUUACAUAGAAAUAUACAACAGAAAUCUAUCAAAGCAAUAUAUGGGUUUAACUAAAAUCUGAUGAACUAAAAGAAUCACUAUCUCUUUAGUGGGUUAACAAAAAAGUAUAUGCCCCUAACUUAGGUGUUUAGAUAUGAAUUUAGUUAUUUAUUUUCAAAGUGAAGCCCUAUAUAAAGAAUCUGGCAAGAGUUUCUCAUUUGGCCCAGAUGGUUGGGAAAUUCAAUUGUUCAUCUCACAUGCUACAACAAGAUCAGGUGUUUGAGACUCUUAAGGACAAGGCAAGCAUGUGAGAGCACACACACACACAUACCUUAUGCUAGAAGCAUUCCCUGCAGUAACUGAACCCCCAUCCUUGAAACUUGGUCAAAGUUUCCUUAGUUUUGCAGCAUCAAACUGUCAAGAUGGAAAUGGAUAUCUUAGAAAGCAAGGAAAAUAGAUGGUAUUGAGAACCCAGAACAUGAAUUUGUUUCAUGACAGGUAAGGUAAUUACUGGGUUAAAGAUGAUCUGACUAAUACCAUUUGGUGAUUAGAUCCUAUAUAUUUGUUUUCAUACAUCAAAUUACCCAUUACAUUACAGCAAUGCCCAGGCCCCUUUUAAUUGAUGAAGAUUGAAAUGGCUUGAUAGAAAAAUUGAAGAAUGAUUCGACAUAUUAGGCAAAGUAAAUAAAAUGAAGAGAACGGCACAGGAUUGCUUAUAUCAAUAACCAGUUGCAAAUGGAAGAGUGGCGUCAACAACUUUUCCCAAAUUACAUGUAUGAAUAAGAAAUUUAUAUUUCAGAUGAUGUACGUGAAUCCCUAUGCCCAUAAAUAAUAUUUACCUUUCCUAGACCUUCAUCCUUAUCAACAAGUGCAGAUGGCAAAGUCACAUGGACCCGAUUAGUAUUUUCAAAGCCAUUUACAGUAACUUUAAGAAAAAAUGAUGUGUGAUAGUCAACACAUAAAUCACUCUUGCAAGCAGUACUGUUAUUUUAAUUUGUGUUCACUUGUUGUUCUUGUGAUGCAUGGUUUCACCAAGAGUUCGUUAGACAUGUCCACUCAAAUGAAAUUAGACCGAAGAUUGAAAAAGUAGAAGAAGAUACAAACUAAUCACAGUACAAUUUUCAACCCUACUUGGUAAAUUUCAUUUAAGUUCCAAACAACUAGUGGGUAAAAAACAUUGAGGAAAAUUUCUCAACAGACUAAUCAUUCCAAACUGUUACCUGUUGUUCUCUUGUUAUCUUAUGCUGAUCAGCACAUAUUUCUGCACAAAUUGCCAUUCCAAAAUCGUUGUAAACAUCCCAGAGGCCAUCUUUGGCCAUACCAUCAACAGUAGUAUCAUGGCCUAAUCGAGAUCCAUUUCUGUUUAUAAGCUCAGAGUCAGCUUAGAUACAUAGACACUUCUCCCUAUUAGUAAGAACGGCAACAAUAUGUACUGGCCCAACAUGCUUUGUUCACAUACUGAGAAUCAUGUUAAACUAAGCAAGCAACUCAAUAGACAAAAUUGAUCACAUGACCCAAAAAGCUAACGUUGCAUCUACUAGGUAUUUAGGCGCAUUAGACAUACUUUCCAUGCCACCAGCCACAACUACAUCAUUUUUACAUACUCUCAACCCUCUUAAACUAUCACCAAAAAAUUGUAAAAUAAUCCUGAUCUUUAGUAUAGUCAUUUGCUGAAAGUUCAAUUUUUGAAGGGAGUAUUAUGGCUGUUUAUUCAAUUGUGAGCACCCAAAUUGAACUCCCCUAUGAAGAUGGGAUUGACUACACACAGUUCUCAAUUUUCUUCUCUGAUAGAGAGGCAUUGGAACCAGGUUACAUGAUAGGGCAGCUCCGGCAAAUUCCCAAAGAGAGAUGGGCUGAAAUGUGGAGGCAUCUAAAGUACAUCUCUCAUCACUAUGAAUUCCAGUACCCCUAAAGAAAGGAGACAAUAUUGAUAUGCUAUGGAGACAGGUAAAGCACAAGCUUCCCAGGGCCAACCUUGAUGUACAUAGAAGCCGAAGGUUGAAAGCUCCAGACUGGUGGGACCGCAGGAGAUAGUUUCUGCAUCCUGCCUUCAUUACCUUGUAAAUUAAAAAAUCAUUCAUAGUGGCUACAGUCUUAAAGGGGGAAAAUUUUCCACACAACAAAUGGAUAUAUCAAUUCCAAUGUGCUUUGCUGGCUCUUCAUGUCUUGGAAGAAUUUAGAAAGAACCAUCACAACUUUCCCUUCAAAUUUAUGUCCACUAUUCUAGCAUUUUCUCUGAAUAAUUGAGGUGGUUGGUUGCCUUGAAAUUGGUUUUCCCUCUAGCCUUAAUGGGGAGGAAGAAUUUUCUGGACGUUAUAUUUUCCUAGCAGUGUUGGUGGUUGAAAUGAAUUCUUGGAAAUGUAUAUGUUUUUGGUGGUCAUCCUUGCUAGCUGUCUAUGUUUAUAAUGGAAUUUCAAUGAUGAGUCAGCAAUCUUCUUGUUGGCUUUGAGUGAGACAGUCUUCUUGUAUUCUGUUAAACCAGAGAUUGCCCAAUAAUGCAUUAAUAUGUUAAUUCUUUUUUAUUUUAGUGCCUACACAAUUUAAUUUUUAUGUCUCAGAAUAGUAGUGAUUUGAACUCUCGUAUAUAUCACUCAGUGAACAGACCGAAAUACAUCUGGAAUCUGGAUGGGUGCCUUGUCCUUCAAGGCAAACCUGGGUUUUCUGAGUUGUCUCAUAAUUCCUAAUCAUCUCUCACAAUCCCUGAGAGUUAAUGCAUUACAAGGAAAAGAGGAAAAGGGAAAAGGCUUAUUAUGGUUGCCACUUAGAGCCAUCCCACCAGUUGAUGGGAGUGAAUGCUGAUAUCCAUCACCUACCUGAAAAUUGAAAACCUUGGGACUAAUGGUUGUCAUAAUCUGCUCACUGAGUUUCUUUGUGAUGCUCUUGGAAACAAAGCUUAUUUAUUAUUCUACCUUUAUGACCCAUUUCCAUAUUAUUCUACCUUUAUGACCCAUUUCCAUUGUGUAAAAUUUUUUAGUUGAGUUUCAUUUGGAGAGGGAGACAAAAGCUCCUACUGCCCCCAAAAAAAAAAAAAAAAGAGAGAGAGAACAGAAAAACAGAAACUAGUGAUGAGCAGGUGCUGGGAUCUGAGAUUCCCUAUGAUUGGGCCUCAAGCAAGGAAGCAGAGUAGUGCAUUGCAAUUGAGCGGUGUUGGCCCCCAAAACAAAACAAAUCAAACCAAGCAGGAGGCAUCCAGACACAAUGAACCCACCACAACCACUCAUGUCCACAACUUUCUAUUACAUCUUCUACUUUACCACUAUCACUACUAAAUAUUUGGUGGUAGCAAAUAAAAAGAAAAGGGAAAUCAGAUAUCUGUAUAUCUGAGCUUUAGACUAAUUAGGCUUCUUUGGUGGUAGAAAUGAUUCUAAAUGUAUCACUUUCAAUCAGAUCCACAAAGUUUCCCUAAGGCCAAAAUCCAUAUCCAUGAAAUCUACUAAUCACAAUGCUAGCGUGAUUAUUUAAAUCGCAGAAUUUAGAUUAUGCAAUCAGAUCUACAACUCAACCAACCAUAAUCAGAUUCGCAAGUCUAAAAAACACACACCGCAUCAACACUGAAAGUGUAUCUCUCUAUUUCCCCAAGGCUACUGUGAACACAUCAUCCAUGAAACAAAAAUCAACUAAACAAAACCGACUGGAAAAAUCAGGGGAACACAUUAUCCAUGUUCUAAAUCCAGUCAUCCAAACAUACACCAUGAUUCGAGAAAGUGGAGAACAGAAACAUUAUAGUAGAUAAACAAAACGAGAAGAUUUUAUUUCUUACCAUGUUGCAAAUUGAAUCCUUGGGCAUGAUACUUUGUAAAUAAGAUUUCAUUGAAUCGUAGGCAUGAAAUCAAAACAUACCUUAAGAAUUGAAAUUAGCAAAUCGAAUCCUACAAAACCCUUCAAAUCAGCAGAUCCUCAUACCUUAGGGCUUAGUAUUGGGCUGAAACAAAGACAAUGGGCACUUGAGAAAAUCAAAAUAAGGAAAUGUGAAAAAUAAGCAAAGCAAAGCAAGGAGAAAGAAAGGGUCCAAGGAGAAAGGCCUGACAUUAAGAGUUUGGCUAUGGAGAGGCAUAGAGAGGGGUUUUUGGCUGAGGUUUUAAAAUGGGAUAUAUUGCAGCAGCGAGGUUCAUGCGGAUUAGAUGCAGGAGAAAGCAGCCUGUACAUGACUGCAUCCACAAGGAAACUCACUAUCCUUUUAAGCACGGUAAUGAUAGUGGUCUUCACUGUAGAUUUUUCCCGAGGAAAAUUUCCUGCUCAUGCUUGUAUAUUUAGAUGCGGGUGGAAUAUUAUUGAUCCUGUAUAUAAUCUUUAGUUGGGGACUUUUAGACCCCUACUAAAACUGUCACCAUAUCUUAUGUUUCUUGUAGUGUAUAAUUGGACUUUCAAAAUAGAGUAGCUAGGAAAAAAAAUUAAAAAUAAAAUGAAAAAAAUGAAAAUCAUUAGAAAGAAUUUGGGCCUGUUGAUAAGAAAGGCGGCUUACCAAAAGCUUGAGAUGAAUGUUUAAUAUCUUCUGCAGCAUAUCCAUUGGACAAAUUUGCAAAGAACCUCCAACCACUUGUGCAUAUAGGCGCCAUUGGAGAAUGGGCGCGGCCUGUACUUUAUGUGUCGUCACAACUUCUCUCUCUAUGCAUUAACAUUAGCACCUUCAAGUACUAAUUUGGUGCCAAAGCUUCUCUGCACAUCAAGGUACUGUGUCAUUGCUGCAUGAUUGUGUUUGACGCCUUUUAUAUUUGUAUCUCGUGGGAUGGUUCUGUUGACAGUUUUGGGCAUAUAUAAAAGAUGGAACCCACACUCUUCCACUUUCACUAGUUUACCAGCAAUGAAACCAUGCAAUGAAGCCUUCAAAAGCUUCCAUUCAUUUGACCAAUACUCAUUUUUAAUAGCAACCUUAGGAUAAUAUGCCACCCAAACUUGAUUUGAUUCACCACCAUUAUGGCAGCAGGAAUAACCGCAUUCAAACAAGAGAUCAUCCACAGGCCAACAUUUAGAUGAGGAACCACCCAUGGACCAGAAGUUAGAUGGUAGAUCAUAUACAAAUUCAAAUUGAUGACCAUGGAAAUUCAAUUCACAUUCUAAACUACAAGGAUCUUCCUCUGAUUCAAUAUGAAAAGGAACAUAAACAGAGCAUAAGGCAACUCCCAAGAAGUCGUUAUUCUAGUACCAAUCCAUAGGAGGCUCUAUUGUUAUUUCAGAUCUUUUUUUCUGUUGGCUUAUCCACUCUGGAAUUCCAUUAUUUCCUGGAAUAACAAUUUGGAUUUCCUUGAUCCAUUAUCCGCAUUCAAACUCCUGCAAGAAAUAGUGUAAAUCUUGUGUUUUCAUUAACUGACAUGAAGCAUUUGAACAAAGAAAAUUGAAAACUAUUUCGAAAUCCAAAAUUAUCCUAAAUAAUAGUAGUAAAAAUAAUAACAGUAACUAAAAUAUGUUGUUUGGUUGCUGAGAAAAACAGAGCAACUAAAGGUAUUGGAACCAACCAGUCAAGGCGUGUAAAGGGAUCCUCUUCUUGAUUCAAUUCAGCUAAAUCUCAAGCUGAUGGCUUUAAGUUGCGCUUCCGUAAGACCUUUAACCCUCACUUUUGCCAUAUGUUAUCUCUUCCUCUUUUCUUAUCAUCCCAAACCAAAUGAGCUCCUUCAAAAGGUUGUCUCCUCAGGCCAUCACAUAGAACACAAUUCUACAUAAAAGAAAAUGAAAACCGAAGUCAAGUGAUCAAUAAUGACAAGAUCAAAAACCCAAUUCAAAGAAAUUUGUGGUGCCAAUCUUCAUACAAAGGCCUUGAGGUUCUCAUCAAAGGCAAGCAAUUUGAUACUAAUUAUCAACUUCAGAUAAAACCCUCAAUUUUAAGGAUAGAGAGAGAGAGAGAGAGGUGCAGCCAAACUGUUUAAACAGAAUUGUAUACCAGGCUACAGGAAACCAAUGUGCAAAUAUUCUAAAGUAAUAAAGCAGCAUUCCAACUCACAUUGUUUUGAAUUUUAACCCGAUCGAGUGAAAACAAGAACUAGUUGUAUGCAUCCUUGUCAGAUAAAAGCUUCCAUAACACAUCGCCACUAAAACAAGAGAAUAAUAUCUGUAUACUGAAAUUUGCGAAUACUUCACCUCCUCCUAAAGCCAUUUAGAUGAGUACUAUUCAGUAUAGUGGAGUAAUAUAAACUAAGAAUUUUAACUCUUUAAAUCACUUAACCAGGCAAUAUAAACUAAGAAGAGAAAGAAAGGUGGCUUACCAAAAGUUUGAGAUAAUGUUCAGUGUCUUCUACAAAAAUCCAUUGAAAAAAUUUGUAAAGAAACUCCAACAAUUUAUGCAUAUGAUUCUCUUCAUCAUCUUGGGCGGCAUAGCUUUCCUGUCCAUCAACAUUAGCAUCUUUUGCAAUACAAAUCCAUGAGCCAGCAUUUAGAUGAGGGGAUCAUCCACUAAUCCAAAUCCAUCAUCUCAGAAAUUCACAUCACAUAGCGAAUUACAACCAUCUAUAUGAACAAAGUAAAGAAUUUAAGCUAUUUUUAGUAAAUUUGUCAUGUCAUCUUAAAGAAUAAACAAAGGUAAUUUACCUAUAAGUCAAGGCAUUCUUAUAGAAUUUGCUAAUAAUUUCAAAUACACCAUAUAUAACAACAAAAAUAGAAACGAUAUUUGAACAAAGAGUUUUUUUUCUCAAAAAAAAAAUAAAAAAUACUAUUCUCAUUUUGGUUCAUCAUUAGCAUUUUUGCUACCACUUCUAAAUUAAAAAUAAUAAAAAUAAAUAAAAGGUAAAUUAAAUUAAAAUUAUAAGCUAAUAAAAUCUACAAAAAUCAUCUUUAAAAAAUUAAAAGAAUAUCUAAAAUAAGAAAAUCUAAGACAAGUUAUUUUUAUUUUUCAUUUUAUUUUUGUUAGGUUUAAUUUUAUUUUCACUUUUGUAUGUCUAUUAUUUUUUUUAAGGAAGAUAACGUAUGUAGACUACAAAAUUAUAACUGUAUUAUUACAUUUCUAUGCGAGUAAUAAUGUGUGACCUAAAAGAUGUGAUCAGAUUACUAAAAGAUGAAAAUUGUGACCUAAGUACAAGAAUAUAAUUAGGGUACAAAAAUGUCAUUAUAAUGUCAAAAAUGUGAUUAGCAUAUACAAAAUCUGACCAAGAUUAUUAGACACAAAAAUUGUGAUUAGGGUGUGAAGAAUAUAAUUAAAGUAAAAAAAAAAAUUACAAUGAGAUGAAGAACAUGAUCAAUGAAUAAAAGAUAUGGUUAGAGUAUAAAGAAUAUGAGUAAAGUACAAAAAAUAUGGUUUAGAUAUAAAAAAUGUGAGUGAGACAUUAGACUAUGAAAAAUGUGACUAAUUAAUUUAUAAUUAGGAUCAAACUUAGACCAAAAUGAAAAAUAAAUACUAAUUCUUGAUAUAACCAACUUUGACUUACACUAUAAUUAAGAAAUUUAAAAAAUAUAUGAUAAUUUGUAAAACUUAAAUAUAAAGUUAAUUCAAAGGUUUUUUGUUCACCUUUUGUUAAUCAAUAUAUGCAUUCCAUUUUUUCCUUCUAAAUUCCGGACUUAAGACUUCUAAUAUCUAAAUAUGGUCAUUUCCUUCCAAUAACUCAUUCCAAAGAUCAGCUUUUGAGAAUUCCUAACACAUUUUCAACAAAAACAAAAAGAAUUUAGGUGUUUCAGCCCAACAAUUGGGGAUCUCAAUUUUUUUCCUGAAAUUUUGGGACAAGUAAAAGCAAACAAAUUAUAAAAUAAUAUUAAAAAAAAAACCAUGAAAGAGGGAAAAAACAAAAACGGAAUAUCAGUUUGUUUAAAUGAUUAGACAUGUAACAAUUUUAAAAAUAAAUAUUCUAACCUCUAGUAAAUUAAAAGAAAGAAGACAUACCUUACAGGAGGGUGAAGAAAAGUAUGUUGGGUUGAAAACUAGAGAUGUCUUGAUUUUUUGUUGUGUGGGUUCUCUGCAUCAUCAAGACUUCUCUUAACAUUGAAAUCUGUAUUUAAGAUGUCGGUUUUAUAUAUAAGAUGAAGCCCACACUCUUCCACUUUCGAGUGUUCACUAUGAAAUAAAGCCUUCAAAUGUAUCCAUUUAUCUGACCAAUAAUCAUUCUCAAUAGCAACCUUAGGAUAAUAUGCCACCCAAACUCUAUUUGAUUCACCACCAUUAUGGCAACAGGGAUAACCGCGUUCAAACGAGAGUUUAUCCAGGAACCGGAGUUCAUAGAAAAAACGUUCCGGAUAUUCUAAGCAAUUAUGGAAAUACAAUUCACAUGUCAAACUACAAGGAUCUUCCUUAGAUUCAAUGUGAAGUGGAACAAAAACAGCAAAUCCCAAAAAGUUGUUAUCCUCCCACCAAUUCACAGGAAGCUCUGUUUCUAUUUUAGAUCCUUUUUUCUUAUGGCUUAUCCACUCCGGAAUUCCAUUAUUUCCAGGAAUAAAAAUUGUGAUUUCCUUGCUCCAAUAGGACCGGCACUCAAACUCCUGCAAGAAAUAUUAGUGUAAAUCUUAUGUUUUCGCAAAAUAAAAAAAGAAAAAAAAAAAAAAGGUUAAAUGUCUAGAAAAUCAUACCUCAAUUGCUGAUUUGAAACAUUUGAAUAGAGAAAAACCAAGUGAACUUGAGGGACUUGAUAAAGUUUCCAAGCAAGGACAACCAUGGGCAUCAAGAAAUCGUAAACUUUGGGGAAGCGUUGGAAUUUGUACAAGCUUCUGGCAGUGACUCAAGUCGAGGGUUCUCAGUUUAGAAAGUUGAAUGAUGUUGGCAGGUAUUCUACUAAAAUGGUUCCCAUCCAGAGAUAACUUUAGCAAUGAUGACAGGUGGCAAAUAUGAUUGAGGAUCUCUCCUUCCCUUAGAUUGCAGUUACUCAGAGAUAAUUCUUCCAGUAAAGGUAAGCUCCAAACAUUCGUAAGGAUUCCUUCCUCCAUUAGAUUGCAGUUAUGAAGAGAUAAAGUUUUCAAUGAAGAAUAGUGGAAAAUAUCACUGAGGAUUCCUCGUUCCAUUGUAUUAAAGUUACCAACAGAUAGUACUUUCAGUGAUGAUGGAUGGAGACAAUCACUGAAGAUUAUGCUUUCCAUGAAUGUGGAGUUUCUUUCACAUAAUUCUACCAGUGACAACAGGGAGAAAACAUGAUGGUUAAGGACCUUUCCUUCAUUGUGUCGUUUGAAUGAGUAGAAACUCCGAUUGCCCCACCAUAUUACUCUUUGCUUUAGAAAGCAAAAAGUUAGAUCCGAAGAUCCCGAAGAUCUUGAAGAUCCCACUAGGUUCACCUCCAAUCUCUCCAGUUUUGGACAUCUUUCGACAUUAAGUGUUUCAAGAGAGCUCAAAUUGAAAAUGCUCUCCGAAAGACUCCUUAGGCUUUUGCAACUAGACAAAUCUAGGUGUUGAAGAGCCUUUAGACGUCCAAUUGAGGAUGUAAGCUCUUCUAUACUUGUUUCC
RNAcentral lists this long non-coding RNA (113864 nucleotides) under Vitis vinifera (wine grape). Its description in RNAcentral is "long non-coding RNA (VVIN_LNC006338)". Lineage: Eukaryota; Viridiplantae; Streptophyta; Magnoliopsida; Vitales; Vitaceae. The record is from RNAcentral.